ACAUGGCUUGGUAUUAACUUGGUAACUUUAUCAGUGCAAAGAGGCUAAAGAACAAGGCAGUUUUCAGCAGGAUCCGGUCUUGCUAACCUUUAUUGUAGUUAAAAUUAUGUUAAUCAAACACAGGUGUGAGUGUUGGAUACGAGUAUAUGUUAGACAUGAGCAUGGUCAGAUUUUAUAAGUUUUUUCAUGUAUUUGAAAGAUCCUUGGAGGUUAUAUCCCCAUAUUCGUCUGCUAGGCAUGAGUAUUGGACACAGAUACUUCAAAAGAAAUGAAGAGUUGGAGCAGAUAUAGAGUUAAACAACCCUAUCAUUUGAAUCAAGUAAAUACAUGCAAUAGCUUGAUCAUACUUUACAUAUGGACAUAUAUAUAUAAUAAACAUAUAUAUGCAUGCCAAUGAGCAUAUUUGUUUCUGUAUCUCUGAAGUUGAAAGGAAUGUAUAAAAGUGCAUGCAGAUCACUAUUACUGAAAGAAAACAACAUACCUUGUGUAUCCGGAUACGCUCAAUGGAUUCUCUAAGUGAAUCUUCCAUCUGCCUAAGAUGUUCUAUGUUGUCAAUUUUAUCCGGAUUAUUCCAGUAGCUGAAAUCAUUGCAUGAUAACAUAAGAAUUACCCGAAUGACUCCAUAAAGAAAUUAAUCAUGUUUUUGCAGUGAUAAUAUGCACAUGUUACUGUCCAAACUGUAUCGGAAAACACAAACAGUUAAGAAGGAACACAACCAAAAUAAAGAGAUAGACAGGGUACAGAACAACCAAAAAUCAACAUAAUUGCUACCAUCCGAAGGUUAGAGGUGAGCUAUAGAUUGAGAGCAGUUACAGGGUUUGAGUUAAAGCAAAGAUUUGAGCUGAAUAAGGCUUUCAGCAUCAGAGACACUUAUUUUUCACAGAGUGAUGUGAAAAUCAAAAUUUUUAAAUCCAGGUUUAUAUUUUUUCUGCAUGAUGCAACCUUAAAUGGCAAGCAAAUCCCUUGAAUUAUAUUUUUCUCAUUAUAAUAUCCCCACGAUAGUAUAUAGUAACAUUAAAUAUAUUAAUCAAGUUCAUUCCCACUAUAUCUUAAUUCUAUUCAAAUUGGCGACAAACAUGCCACGUAAAAUCCUAAUGCAGAAAAUGCUGAAACUUCCAUAGUGGCAUCAAAAUGCAUCUUGUAUUUUCUAUACUCGGGAAAACAUUAACCUAAACCACCAAACUCAGAAAAAGUGGUUAAUUAGGGCCUAAAAGAUUUGUAUAAAAGAUGUUGCAACGGACAAAGAUUGCAUGUCUUGCAGUAUACAUUAGAGUUUAAGAAUAUAAUUAGCUGUAACACAUAAUUGUAAACAGUAAGACCUCUUCUUAUCUCAUGCAAACAUUUUAUAAACAAGACCAAAAAGAAAAAGCAAUACUUUAACAACCAAAAGCUCCAAAGGUGCACCUCAGUCUCUUAUGUACUUCGUUAAGCCGAGCUUGCAACAUUGAUACUUCAUUAGUCAUUUCCUGAAAGUACCAAAUAUCCAAGAAACUUAAAAAAAAAAAAGAGGAAUAACCAGAAAAUCUAAGAUCAAAUGGGACACACGUAAUGCAGGCAAACUUCAUACCUCAACAGACUGACUGCAGCACCGGUAAAAAAAGAAUGGAAAAAAUAAAAAGAAAAGAAAUUAGAUUCUUCCCAAUAUCUUUCUUAAAUAGAAACACAUUAUCUAGAAGAAAAUGAAAUAAUGGUCACAUACGUUGCACCUAGAAAGUCUUGUAUGUUUAAAUCAUGAUCCAAUUUCUUGAAGGUUUUCUUCAGUGCCUAUAUUCUCAAUAACACGACUCAAAAAUUAGAAUGAUAAAAGUGCAAUAAUGGUUUACUCUUAAGUUGAAGCAGAAGAUAUUGAAGAAAAUGAGUUUCAAGGAGUCUUACUUCAAGGCUCUCCAGCUUCCUGUUGAAGACCAAUGAAAACCAGUUAGCUAAAAUGCCAUUUGAAUACGAACAGAUUAUUCAAGAGGUCAAAAUUCAAAGUGCACACCUUUUUGCCCUUUCUUGUGGUGUUAAUUGUGCAAACUUCGCAAUAACCUCUUCAAUAGUGCUGGGAGAAAAAAAGAAAAAGAAAAGAAAACAAGCACAAAAUAUGAACCCCAUUACCUUACUCUAUUUUCUUCUACAAACAUGGUAUCUUCUUUUAUAUACACAAUAAUGCAUAAAUAUAUGAUUAUUUAGACAACAAUAUAUCUAUGGCUAUUUCAGAAUAGCUUGUUAUGUGCCUGAUGCUGUGUUAUGAGGAAAGCGAAGAAUCACAGUAAUAAUGGUUCUAAUUAAAUAAGAAAAAUCAAAAUACAGCACAAAUUCAGAGAUAAAGAAGGCAAAGAACAUACUUUAUUAAAAUCCUAGUCCACUCUAGCCAAAAAAAUAAAAACAUCUUAGUCCACCAUGUUUACUAAUUAAUCCAACUGAUCAUCACAACUGUCUAAGAAAAAAAAUGAAAGGAUAUCUGUAUCUGUUAAUAUAAAACAUACACAAAUUCUCAAUAUAUAUGUUCUACUUCUUACACUCAUGUUAUAAGUUGUGUUGAUAUGAAAUUGAUUUCUCUAUCAAAGGAAAAUAAAUAGAUAUCAUUAAUUCAGGGGAUGCACAAAAAGUAAUAGCAUUAAUUCAGCAAUCUCUUCUGAAACAUAAACUUAGGCCCUCCAAGAAAUUAAAAUAUGAUUCCAUUCUUCCAAUACCUGCGCUCUCCAUGGAAUAGAGUAGGCUUUCCGGUUGGAGAAAACAUGAGAAGGAUAAUAUGAAUGUCACAUAGUAUUGAUAAUUCCUUAGCUUUCUUCAAGAUUCCAGUUCUUCGUUUGGAAUAUGUAACUUGUCUGUUGCUAUAGCUCUCUAACCUUUUAAUUUUUAGUUUAACCCUUCCCAUUCUGCAAAUUCACAAGAAAAUCUUAGGUCCUUUUCUUAAACCAUAUUUUCAUUCUAAGUAAAAAAUCUCAACAUUUACUCACUUUAACUAAGCAAAAUAAAGCUGUGCAAGUGUUGUUCUCAUUCCAGGCACCAACCUUAAACAACCAUAUGAUCUUCAAUAGAAUUUCAAACACGGAUACUCAAAACUGGAAAAUUAUCUGAAAAUUUAAUAGAAAAAUGUCGAAACAUAAAAAAGAAAAAGCAUUUGUUGACACCCAUCAUCAUGUUCCCUUUUCCACACAAACAGAGCAUAUCUUAUCAAGCGGAAAAAAAAGGUUUUAAGUUGAAUAUGAUUAAAUUUUCAAAAACCCAGAAAGGAAAUAUCAAAAAAUAGAAAAUAAAAUAAAAUAAAAUAAAAAAGAGAGAAAAUUUUUAACCCCAACAGAGAGAACAAAUAUUUUCUCUUAUUGACAAUAAAAAAAAACAAAUAUUUUGUCUUUGUCCCAAAAGGAAACCCAAUUUACAGAAAUGGAGUAUACCCAGAAGAGAAAAUCGUAGAGGAAUAAAAAAACAACAAUAGAUGUGAAGAAUUCAUUGAGAUAGAAAAGGAAAUCAAUCAUACAGUGAAGCUAAAGAGGAAAAAAAUAAAAGAAAAAACAAUGACAGCUUACAAUUUAGAAAGGAGGAGGAGGAGGAGGGGUCAGGCUAUGAUUUCGGUGGAUAAAAACACACUGAAAUUUCGUUUCUUCACGAAGAAGAGGAGAGCUUAGAGACGGUGGAGAGAGCCAGCCAAAUGGACGGUGAAAUGUUCGAUAAAAUGUCUAACAAAAUCUAAACCAGAGGAUUGCAUAGCUUGGGCCGGGUCGGUAAUCUUUUUGUUUUAAAAACACCCGAUUCAUUAUUCAAAAAAUAACAAAAAAUUUUACAAUUAUAUUUAUAUAUUUUUAUUAUAAAUUAAAUAAAAAAUUUAAAUUAUUAAAUAGCAAUUUCGAUCCAUUCAAAUUUUUAAAAAAAAGUUACGUCCCAACUCGAUUUGUGUGUUGUAUAUGAGCCAAGCUUUACCAAAUCGCAUACAAAUGGACACAUGGAGAUGUAUAAUCUAAUAAUAAUAAUAAUAAUAAUAAAUUAUUAAAAGUAUUAAAAAUAAUAUUAUUAUAAUAAUAUUUUAAUUAUAUUUAUAAGUGAAAUUAAUAAAAUUAGUUUAUUACUUUUAAAAUUAAAUUUUAAUAAAAUUUAAUGUAGGAUCAACAUUUACUAUACUUUAUCCAACACCAUAUAAAAUUAAAAAAUAACCCUUGAAUUUUUAUUAGUAAAAUAAAAGAAAGUUAUAAGGUUACUUAUUCAAUAAAAAAAUUAUUAAUAUUUAUAAUGAUUACAAUAAGUGAUAUAAUUAAUUAUAACUUAAAAAUUAUGUUCAAAUUAUUAUAUAAUUAAAAUUAUUUUAUUAGGAUUCAAAAAAUUAUCCCAAAUUUGAAUAAACAAAAAAUUUAUUAUCUUAAACUCUUAUCAUAUAUGUUCUUUUUGAUACAAUGUCUAGAACUACACAUAGUCACUGCACUGACAAUAAUAUUUAUACCAAUCGAGCUAAGAAUCAAUCCGCUUGACUUAGUUAUUAUUUAUUACUAAGCUUUACUUUUAGUUACACUUAUUCUCUAAUCAUUUACUAUUUGACUUAGUUAUUAAUUUAUUAUUAAAUUUUAUUUUCAAAAUUUGAAAUAUUAAAUUACAAAUUUAUCAUAUAUUAAUUUACAAGUUUAUUAUUUUUAAAGAUAUUAAGCAUUUUUUUCCCCUUUUUUUGGAGGGAUCAAAAAGUAAUUUUAUCAUAUAUCAAGUUAUAAUGAUGGGUCAGAUAUGUGUAGAUAUUUUAGUAACUAAUUUUUAAUUAAUGAUGUGUUGAUUAGAAAUUAAGUUAAUAUGCAAAAGUCAUAUGUUAGAGUUAUGAUCCCCAAAUUACACAUAACCUAACUUUUUUAAUAUCUCAUCUUUAAAAAAGAGAGAGUCACAUUCUCUAUAUUACUUGUGUAUUAAUUUGAAAAAUCAAAACUAUAAUAUUUAAAAAUUUUAAGAAAUCGAUGAAUUCAAGUAUAUUUUCACAUUUAAUUUUAUUGUUAAUGUUGACAUAGAUCUUUUAUUUAUUCAAUUUUGUAUAAUAAUUUUACAGUUAUAACAAUAAUAUAAGAAGACUAAGGAUCAAGGCCUUUAUCUAGAGAGGGCCAAACUUAAAGUGCUUGAUAGAUUUUGAACUAAUUUACUGUAAAUCUAAGUGUUUUCUUUUAAGUGAAAGCAAGAUUGAUUUUCUUUUUACGAAGGAUAAGGAACAUUUAUGAAGAUUACUUGUGUUGUCAUGCCUUGCUCUGCUCACUAUAUAAAAUUCCAUUCCUUAUAUAUACAACUAUUAAAAGAGUGACGAUGUAAAAAUGUGUUAUAGAAAUAACUUAUAUGUUUCAUGUUUAUUUGAAGAAUUAUGUAUACUACCUACCAAGCCCCUUUAUUAUAAAUUAGUAUUCUUAUUAAAUGAAUUAAUUUAAUCCUUAUACUAUUAAAAAGAAUUAAAUAAGAUUAAUUUGUAAUAGAUUUAACUCUUAUUGGUUAAAAUUGACAUAAAUUUUUUUUUAUUCAAUUGUAGUCCAACACCAAACAAAAGAUAAGUCUAAAAAAUAUUAACUUUAUUAAAUAGUAAAUGAUAUUUUUUAAAUACUAAAUGUUAACUCUGCUAAUAUGUGACAUUAUUUGAUUCUUUUUUAAUAGUACAGACUCAAUUAAUCCAUUUAAUAGUAGAAGAACUAAUUUGAUCUAAUCCUCUAAUAGAUGGACCUACCAGGUACUUCCACCUUAAAUACUUAUUUACCUUUGAAAAGAUUAGAAAUAUUAUAGUUAAUAGUAAAAAUUAAAUUGAAGCGAGUAGGAUGGGACAGAGAUGAAUACAUCCAAUAUCUAUAAAAGUAGUAAUAAUUUUUAAAUUUAUACAUUAAAUUAUUUAGCGUGGGGUAAAGCAUGCCAAACUAAAGUACUGAUAGAUUAGAUAAUAUUCAUCGUCACCCUCCUCUAUUGUCAUCUCCUAAAAACUCUCCUUUAAUCAAAUCAAAUUUAUAUUAAUAUUAACAUUAUUUGUUCAAUAUUUGAUCUGUAACCUUAAAAUUUUCCAAAUCGUUUGUAUUUUUAAAUAGAUAAUUUAAGUUAUUUGAGUCUAUCCAAUAUAUUUAAUAAAAAAUGUUAUUUUUUUAUUUUUAUUAAAAUUUUAAAAAUUGAUAUUAUUUUUAAUUUUUAAUUAUAAAUUUAUAAUAUUAUAUAUAUUUUAUUGAGAAAAUAUUUGGUAUACUUUUAGUGAGGUUUUAGACUUCAAAUGCAGGGUCAAAGGUUAACAAUUAUCUUAUAAGGGUAUAGUAAAUUAUUUAAAAAAAUAAAUUUAAAAAAAAAACACAAGGCAAAUUUCAAGGCUACUUGCGGAACCUUUUAAGUAGGAGAAAAAUAUGAUUCGGUAUAUUCAAACCCACAUCCUCUUACACUAGUAAUAAUAUCAAUAUCAACCGAGCUAAGAUUCAAUCAAUAUAUUAUCCUUAAUUCUAAAAAUGAGAUACUUGCAAGAUGAAAAUGUAAUAUAGUCAACCCUCUCUAAAGUAGUCCUAUUUGUUUGCUCAAUUUUUACUUGUUAUAAAGAGGUGGUUGUUAUACACAUAAAGUAACAUACUAUUAUAAAGAAAUAAUUAUUAUAAGCUUAACAUAUAAUUCAUAUAGUGAAUUUUUAUCAAUAAAAAAGUGAGAAUUAUGUUUUAAAAAAAAGUGAGGAUCAAAUCAACAAAAUAAAAAGAUAUAUAACAUGUGCAACCAUUUUUGCUCAUCUUUUUAUCAUUUGUUAAUAAAUUUAAGUAAUCAAUUUAUAUAUGUUUAUAGUGUUCCAAAUUUAUAGUAAAAUAUUUAAUUACGAAACUUAAUAAUUUAUUGCAAUGAUAUUUUAAUUUUACUCAUCGAAGGUUAUUUUUAUUUAAUAAAAUACGAUCAUAGAUUUAUUCACAUCAAAUUUAACAUUUUAUUGAAAUAAUAUUUUAAUUAAAAUAACUUUCAUUAUAAUUAAUAGACUUGUUUAUAUGAAAUAAUUAUUUAUUUAAAAUUUUAAUAAAGUGCUGAUUUAAUAAAAAAUGUUGUUCAUAAUAAUACUGUUAUAAGUGAAAAGUUGUUAUAAAAAAGCUAGAUCAUUACUGUGGAAAGGGGCUCACAUCUAACGGUAAAAAAAGGGAAAGUUACUAUUCUGUUUUGAAGGUACAUGUUAUGAAAAUAAAACAAAUUUAUAUAAAACUAGUACAAAUUUUAUUAUCCCUCGAAUGCUGAUUACAGAUUGCUUCACCUAAAAGCAAAAAUUGUAGCAAACCAAAAAGAAGAGGCGGCCGGCAGGUUUUUAAAUCAAAUACCCACCGCCACCGCUGCCAAUUUCUCUGUCUCCGCCUUCGUCAAAAGAGAGCAGAACAGAAAUAAAACAGCAACCACCACCACCACCUUUAAAUUUAAUUUCAAUGACGAGGGCCCAUCUUAAAAUUAAAAGCCUUCUCACCAUUUCAACUACUCUACGAAUUUAAAGGUUUUUUUUUUUUUACUUGAUAUAGAGUUAUAACCUCAUAUUAUGAUUAAUCUAUUCAUUUCGACCACUCUACCCCUAAAAACAUUAAUCUUUUACACCCCGGCUUAAUUCAAACAGUAAUAAGACUGCAAUGCAAUAUUACGAUUAUCAUCACUAUUAUAUUACGGAUUCUGGAGAGUUUAGGGGAACUGUGAGCCGGUGAAGGUUUGGCCAAAGGACCAAUUAGGAGGGACGACAUUGUUAGAGACAAGAGUUCGACCAUCACUGGUGGUGACCUUAAAGGACAGACUUUGUCCAUUAAGGUAAGUGUUGCUCUGCCAGUUUUGGCCCCAGUUCCUCGACAGGGGUUGCCAACCGGUUCUUGAACCUUUUAUGGAAACCGAUACAACAUCGCCUGCACCUCCUACGUUGGUGAUUAGGACUAGGUUGAAGUAUGAAUGUCCAUUGAUUGUGAAUCUUAUGCCUCCUCUCUUCCUGCACGCUACCCUACAAAAACUCCACACAAUACCAAACUCUUAUCUGAAAAACCAAAGAUGAAAGUUUAUCUAUCUCCUCUCUCCUCAUUAUUAUUAUACAAGUUAAUCCAAUUCAGGUAAAAAGGACAAAAAUAUAAUGAAAAAAAUUCAUUUAUUAAUAAAUUCCAAAAUUCAUAAUUUUUUUCGGUUCUUAGUCUUUUAAGAGUUCUAGUCGAUUUCUUAGUUUUUCAGUCGACCAAUCAUUUGAAGUUUUAUCUUUUUUGAAAUAAAUAAAUUAUCAUUAUUAUUAUUGUGAUUGGGAACGUCAGUAAAGGGUGAUAAUACCUUCUAUAAGCUACAGGAACAAUCCCAGCUUUGUAAUGGGCGAUUCGUUGGAAAACAGGUUGAGAGAGAUCAAAAUGAGGCAGAGGAGGGUUGCACCAGCCGCCAGCAUUGUUUGGGAGUGCACUAUUUGGUGGGCAGAAGUUGGUGGCAGUGACCACAAUCGAGCCAGGCAGGCACCACCGUGGGUCAUUCACGCACUUUAUCUCGAAACAAGCUCCACAAGUCAUGCCAUUAUUAAACAGCGCAGUGCUUAAAGCCGCUGUAUUAGUCCCAUACCCUUGGGUGUAUAGGUUCCCAUAUCCACACGCCCCGCCUUCAAAAUUAUCAAAACAAUUGCUUUACACUUCAAAAUUUAACCCCCCCCCCCAAAAGAAAAACAUCAUUGACGAAGUUUGAUUAGUGUGAUACAUCCGACAUCCUUACUUUAAUGUGGACAAGUAAACCAAAAUAAAAUUUUAUCUUAUGAUAAAAUCAACAUCAAAAUUUCACGUUUAUAAUUAAGAAAAAAAAAAUCAUAUCUGAAACGUACCCAUUGUGCCAGAGGCAUCACCACCGCCGUAGAAUGUGGCAUGAGCAUCAACCCAUCCCCCACCAUAUCCAUAAGCAUAGGAGAAAAAAUGAAGAAAAACCAUGGCAAGUAGAGGAAAAAGUGCCAUUUUCGUGGUGAAUUUAUGAAAUGAAACUUGAGAGAUUGGGUGUCCUUUAGGCUUUAGGUAGCUUAGGGAGGAAGAAAUGAAGCAGUGGUAUAAAUUAAAGACAAGUUUUUGUUUUGAGUAAUGAGGGAAGGAGGAGGAGGUGGGGGAAUAUAUAGAAAGGCGACGAGUGGGAACGUCACACCAUCUUGGCUAAUGAGGUGUGGGGGUGGGACCUUUCAAACCGCCAGGUGCAAGCGGUUUCUUCCACCCUGUGGACCCGAACUCAGCUUUCCAUUCAAACCACGUUCUUUUCUGCUUCCCUUGGCUCUUUUAUUACUCUCGACGGUUGAUGCAUUCGAUUUGGGUGAAAUGGAGUUCAUUAUUAUAAGGUUUUAUAUUUAAUGUUGUCAUAACACCAAAGUUGUUAUUCGGGAUGUUUGACUGUGUGUAAUAGGAGGUAAUUUACACAGUGAAGAGUGUGAAACAACGGUUCACAUCGUGAAUGAUGUGGAGAACUAGAAUCAAUAAAAUUAAGGGUUUAAAAAAGUUUGAGUGAAUCUUGAUAGUGUGUUGAUUAUAGUUAUCAUCUCUUUUUGAUGGGGAGUAGAUGGUUGGGUGUGUACUCUAAUUAUUGAGUUCUUUAUUUCAUGGAUGUCAUGAUAGAAUGAUGGAUGGACAUUGUUGGAGUUAGGAGUAACAGCAAAAGGUUAAAAAAAAAAAAAAGUCUUAUUCCCCUAAAAUUAAAAAUUUAAAAUUUAUGAAGUUUUAAAUUAGUGUAUAACAAAAUUAUACUUUUAAUUCUAAAAAUGAUAAAAUUUUAAUUUAAUCUAUUAAAGGUUAUAAAAUAUAAACUAUUAAAGGAAAACGAAAGUGUAAAGUUUUAAAAGUUAUUUUUUUGGUUUAAUCUCUAUUUUUCUUUAAUAUUAUUUUCUUAAUUCUCUCAUUUUAAAUUCAUAUACCUUUUUUAUUAUUAUAAAUAUUGUUGGUAUAACUUAUGAGAUCCUUUAAAAUAUUAUUUGAAUAAAAAAACUUAACAAUACAUGGUAUUUUAUGAUUGAUCUAUACAUUUUAUCAUUUCAAAUAUUAGCACUGUUAAACGAUUUUAUUAUUUGGAUAAACGGUAAAAAAGUUAAAAGAUAUCACAUUAAAAAUAAUAAUAAAUUAGUGAACCAAAUAUCACAUCAUCCCUUGUUUUUAAUUGAAAAAGACACAUUUAGUAAGUAAUUGCUUAGUGGGUGUGACAUUUUUCCCUUAAGAAAAGGGGAUAUGUUUGGGCAGCCUUAUGAUCGACUGAGACUAGGAUAGGAAUGACGACAAGUUAUGUUAAUUUGCAGUUUUUGUCAUAUUCGAAUUUAGGUUUAUAUAAUUACUUUAUAAUUUAAAAUUAUUUAUUAUAUUCGUUGUAUUAUUGAAUUUAAAUAAAUUUAUUUAUGGAUUUUUUACAUUUACUAAAUAUAAGUAAAAAGAAUUUUAAAAUUCCAGCCCAAAUUUAAUUCAAACGAUGAGAAUUUGAACAUUUAAAUAUGUUAUCUGCAAAAUCAAGUGAAUUCCUAUAAUUAAUAUAUGUAUUUGCUUCAAAUCCAAUAUAAAUUGUAAUAAAAAUAUUUAAAUAUAAAUCUCAUUCGACUCUAUAACUAUCCAACAUUAUUUUAAAAAAAUUCAGAUUUAUACAAAUAUUCAUGUCUAUAUUAUCUAUUGUCAUAUCUAAUUUUAGUUUUUGAUAAAAUUUGAUUUUAUAAAAAAUAUCUAAAGUUUUGGGGUUAAUAUACAGUUUUGUCAUUAUACUUUAAGUGAAAAUCCAGUUUACUUCAUUUUAAUUGCUAUUUGUCAUUAUUCUUAUAAAUUAAAGAUAAAUUUAUCAUUAUACUUUAAUUUCAUGUUUAAUUUUGUUGCUUUACUUUUAUUUAGUUGAAUUUUACCAUUAAAGUAUUUGUAUUGAAAUUUGCUAUUCAAUUUUAAUUUAAACUAAUUUGAAAACAAAACUUAAUAAUAAUUUUUAUAUUUUACUUUAAUAUUUAACAACAAUAAGUUAAUUAAUAUACUGAAAUUAAAUAAAAUGGUUAUUUUAUAAAAAUGAACUUGUUUUUUUUUCGAAAUUUUUCAAGUUUUUAUUUCAUUGAAUAGAAAUUUUAAUUUAAUUUAUUAAGUUUUAAUAUUUAUAAGUUAAAUGAUUAAAAUGAAAUUAUUUCAAAUCAUCAAAAUUAAUAUUGAGUGGUAAAAAUUGAAUUAAAAAAGUAAAGUUGAUAGCAAAAUUUAAUAAAAUUUUAAGUUUUGUAGUAUAUUUCAAUCAUAUAAGAGUUGAAUUACAAAUGUACUCGUAUUUUAAAAAUAUAUUGACAAAUAUCAAUGAAAAUAAAGUAUAAUAAUAAAUUUCAAUAUUAUAAAUUUUAUAGUAUAAUGAUAAAUAUAGAGGAGAAAAAACCACCGUACCCUCCUGUUCCAAACCCUAUUUAUAAAAAUAAACAAUAAAGGAAGUUACAAAUAUUAAAAAAGAAAAAAAGAAAAGGAAUAAAGGCUAAAAUUAGAGUCUCACUUGGUAGAUGAUAAAAGAGAAGGAUUGGUGUGUAAAUAAAAAAAAGUAAGAAAAAGUAGGCAAGGAUAAGAAGGUGCAUUGCACUUGGAAUCCCACUGUUUUCAAAGAUGGAGGAUAAACAAAUUUAAGAGAGUAGUGUAAAUGCAAUAAUUUUUUUAGACAUAAAGAAAUUUUUUAUUCUCCAUCUCUAUUUUUUUUACUACUAACAACUUAAUCCAUAUUUAAAAAAGAAGAACAUUUAUUUGUAUGAUUCGGUAGAGGACAUGUCACCAAAUUUGUUCAUUUCUUGACUUCUUUAAUUACAGCCGUUAAUUAGGGAUUUAGACUUUGAACUCCGGUAUCAAGUGUUUCUCAUUUUAUCAAAUAAAUUAAUUUUACUCAUAUUUCAACCCUACCAUUAAUCUCAUUAAUAAUUUUUUUUUUAUGAUGAAUGGUCGAUUUUAUCUCUAUUUAUUUUUUUUCAAACUAAUUUGGGAUCCUGGGCUUUUAAAUUUUAUUUUCACAAAAAUGGUUUUGCUUUAUGGUUUUUUUAAGAUUAUUUUGUAAGGUUUCAAAAAUUCUUUCACAAAUAUUUCUAAAAUAUAUAAAUUUUCAAGUAAAUAAAAAUAAUCAAUAAUUUUUAUAUUAUAUUUUUUGAAAAUUAACUUUCAUAUAAUAUUUUAAGUUGUUUUCCACUAUUUUUAAUAUUAAAAUAUUUAUUUUUACAUUAUAAAAAAUAAAUUUGGUUUAUAUAAUUAUGAAUUUUAACUUAUGAAUCAAAAAUCGUCCAAAUAAAUUCAAAUUAAUUUUUAAUUUUUCGUUGUUUUGUUUAAUUUUAAGAGGAGAUAUGUAUAAGAUAAAAUAGAUAAAAAUAAAAAAAUAUAUAAUAAAAAUAAUAUGUAUGUAUGUAUAACAUAACGAUUCAAUGUCAUUUUACCCACGUAUAAAUAAAAAUCAUUUUAAUAUACUAAAGUUAUUUUUUAAAAAAUACAUAAAAUAGAACAAUUUUAGCAUUUGACCACAUGCUUUAGUUUUGGCUUUGAAGAAAACUGAUAAUCCAAAUGGAAGACGGGUCAAGUUUUAAUUGAAUUCUCAUCAUUUAAUUGAAUGCCAACAAAAUCUGUAAAGGAUGAAGCUGACAGGCAGGGGAAAGGGUGAGGCUGCACAUGGGUGGUGCUGGUAUCGGGGAAAUUAAAAGGUGGUUACAUCGGGAGGACCAAAAUAACCUCUUUCUCAUUUAUUAUUUUAUAUUCUUAAAUUUAUUCAAUCUUCAAAUGCUAACUUACAUCUCAGCUUUCGGGAUCUUUUUUUUUAAAUAACUAAAUUUAAUUCAUUAAUUAUGAAAAUAUUUAAUUUUAUAAUGAGUUGGUGUGAUUUGACAUACUGGCGACACCAUUCCUCAAUUAUGACCUAAUUAUCAUCUUUUUAAAUAUAUAUUUUUUAGGUGUUGUCACGAUAUUAGUAUGUUUUUUUUAAAUACUUGUUAAAUAUAUAAGUAUUUAGGGAGGAAAAAAAUUUAAUGAGUAUUGUCAGUGUGUAAGGCGGCACAAAAGAAAUUUUUAAAAAAAAAUUGAUUUUGUCAAACAGUAAAAGAAAUCAAAAUUUUUUUUAUUUGACGAUGUGUCAAGCGGCACUAAUGGGCCCCCGCAAAGCCUUUAGGCAACACCAAAAGCCUAUAUAUACCUAAUCUUCGGUGCAAAAUAUGUAUAUGUUGAAGUAAAUAAUUUUUUUUUAAAAAUUCCAUUGAAGAGAAAAAGAAAAAAGAGAAAGUUUUGUGAUUAAUAGUAGGGGAUAGAACAAAAAUAUAUAUAUCAAUGUUUAGAAUAAGGGGUGAAGAAUUUUUUUUCUUUGUGCUUGUGUUUUAGGGAGAAAUUGUGAUAGUUUUAAGAUAUGUUUGAUUUUAUGGGAAUCUGGUGGUGCUUAAACACGAACAAAUUUUAUAUGCCGUUUGGGGAGUGCAUCAUCACCUUAGAAUAUGUCACAUUACAACUCGGGUUCCCAAUUGAUAGUUAUGCAGUCACUAAUUCAAAUAAAAAUAGAACUCCCAAUUGAAAGUGGUUAUACGGUGACAGGUUCAAAUUGAUUAAUUGUUAAGAGAACCUAGUUUCAUGGCACUAAAAUAGGAUGCUUUAUUACCUCCAUAAUAAAUUUGAAAUUAUAAUCAAUGAGAAAAUUUAAACUUUGUUUCUUCUCUAGUCAACUCUAAAGCUUAUAUAAGCUCAUAUAAGACUCAUGAAAAAUUUUAAAUGAUAUUAUAUGAUGGAAAUGAUAAAAGUUAAUGAAUGGUUUGAUUUGAAUUAGUGGUGUAAUAUGAUGUGAUGAAAUACAGUAUAAUUGAAUAAAUAUUAAUAUUUAAAGAUGAUGAUGGAUAAAAAUUAAAUUGUGUAUGAAUGGUCAUGGUAAGUUAGUACGUACAUAUAUUGAAUAUUGAAACUUAUAUGAAUAUAAGCAUGUUAUAUUGUAUUGGUCAGUGUUAGAAUAUAAAAUUUGAUAAUGAGAUUUAACAUGAGUUGCAAUUGUAAGAGAUUAUGCAUAGCGGGUUAUGAUCCAGACGGUUGGGAUGAAUUAAUCGACUCGAUUUGGAAUAUAGUAUGCUAACAUGUUAUACUCUUGAACUAGUUUAUGGAACUCAUUUAAAUGAACUUAAGCGGAAUAAAUGAUGUACUUAGUAGUAUGUUUUGAAUAGGUGUAAUUAUUGAGUCUUUUUAUUAACUUAUUUGUUUUGAUAUUGAAUUUGUAGAAAUACCACUGAGUUGAUAACUCAGCAUACAAUUUGUUUUGCAUUGUAGAACGCUUGGAUGAGAGGCGACCUUGCAAUCCUAUUUGUUUAAAUCCAUGCCAUUGAUCCAUUACCAACGUUGGUACAUGGUUAACGAGUUGCAUUAUUUAUUUAAGGAUUUAGGAUUCGAGUUUGGGGUUUAAGACUCUAGUUUGGGGUUCAAUGUUUAGGGUUUAAGGUUCAAGUUCAAGAUUUGAGCUUGAGGUUUAGUGUUAGGUUUGGGGUUAGAUUUUAAUAUCCUGGAUUCUGGAUUUAGGGUUUAGGGUAAAAAAUUACUAAUAUUAUGUAUCAAUGUCAUGAAAAAAUUAGUGAAAUAUUGUUAAAUAAUUGAAAAAGAACGAUGAAUGAUGUGGUGGAAAGGGGUCAUAAAAUAAUUUCUCUUGUUUCAAAUGUCCUUAUUUGAUAAGAUAAGGAUAAACUUAGCAACUUAGAUAUUUGUACUUCUUCAAGUAAUUAAAGAUGAUGCUGACGAGUUUAAAGUGUUAGCUUGAAACGUAUCAAUAUCUCGUUUAGCAAGCUACAGUCAUAGCCCAUAGAUGUCAAACAUACCAACCAACGAACUUUGUUCUAACAUGCUAUGAAAUAUUAGAGUAGUCAUAGUCUCCAACAAUUAUUUUUAGUGCUGUUUCAAGUAGGAUCAUUUGUUUGAUAUUUAGAAUAAUAUACAGUUAAUUAGAGUAAAUUGAUUCAUAAUUGUUUGUUUAUUCUAAUAAUUAGAACAAGUUAGCAUAUUAAAGUGAUCCCUAUGAGAAUGAAUGAUUAAAUUUAAGUGAACUGUUGAAAAAUAUGGAAUGACUCAAAUGUGUUUGAGGAAGUGCUCACUUUUUAAAACAUUACGAUAAACUAGCCUGUCUUCAUAUUUAUGUGAUCGACAAUUUGCUGAACUGGAUUUUUUGGAUCGUGGUGACAUUGUAUAUUGUAUCUAAUCAUUAAUGAAUAUCAUAUCACUUUGAAAACAUGUUUAAAGGAUUGAAUCAUGUCUAUUUAAUCCCGUGAAUCGAGGAAGUUAAAUCAAUUGAAACGAAUGCUUUAUUUAUUACAUUUACUUUUACUUGAAUUAUUUUAUUAUAUCUUUGUUCAUAACAUGGUGGUCAUAUUAGGUGGAUUGGCUGAAAUUGGAGGGUUUGGAAAAAAAAUAUAGAUUCGAAAAAUGAGUUUGAGUAAAAAAAUAAGACCCGUUUAGAAAAUGGGCCGGGUCGGGCCUUGGGUAAGAUUUUUUGGUCAGGGCUCGACCCAGCUUGAAUUUUUAAUUAAAAAAUUCUUGUUGUUUUCCCAUUUUUUGUCUCUAUUUUGUUACUAUUUCAUUAUUAUGUUGCUACUAUUUUGUUUUUAAAAUUUUUGGAUAUUGUACAAUACUUGUUUUAUUGUUAAUUUUGCUACUAUUUUAGAUGCAUUUGCUUGUUAAGUUGCACUUAUCUUGGUGUUAUUUAAAUAUAAAGACUUUUUUAAAUUUAUUUUUAAUUUGUUGGGAAAUAUUUAUUUUAAUAUUUUUAGUGUAUUUGGUGUAUUAUAUUUUUAAAAACUUUUAAAUAAAAAUUAAAUUAAAAAAAUUAAUACAUGUAGGGCCAGACACAAAUUUUAGCAUUUUUAUUUAGAUUGAGUUUGAAAAAAACUAAUAUUUUGAAUUGAGCUCCUAAAUUUUGUUAAGACUUGAUCCGACUCGGCCUAUAGGUAACUCUAAAACCAAAUUUCACAUUAUUUUGAAUGAUUUUCAUUAGUGUGGUUAACAAUUUUACUGGCUUACAUUAUGUUAAAAAUACAAAGAGUUAACUAAAAUAAAAUUUAAGUAAAAAAGAAGAAGUUAUUGCUAAGAGGGGCCGACUAAAUCUGUUGAAUCACUUGAAAUAUCAAAUUCAACAAUCAAGAGUUAAUUUUAUUAGGAACUAUGAUAUAUCAAACUGUUCAAUUAUUAUUUUUAUAUUAAUAAGAAAUAAACGCGUCAUCCAUUUGAAUCCAUAUUUAAUCUUGAAAGUUACAAAUUGAUUAACAUAAUUGUUGAUAUCAGUCUGUCCAAAUCGUUAAGUAGACAUAAAACAAUAACCAUUGUAUUUUAACUUUUUACGACAACAAUUCUAUUAUUUAAAUUCAAAAAUAAAAAAUAAAAUAGUGUUUCAUUCUACUCACAACUCAGAGGUUGAAUAAAUAGAAUGCACUCUUCUAUUUGCUGCUUUAUUCAGAACAACUCAGUAGCUUCGUUCUAGCCUUUAUUCAUUUAUCGCAUUUAUUUCUUUUAAUGGAAGCCAGACGUGAAUGAGAAAAUUGAUUAAACAACAUCCUUAAUUUUUGUCCCCAAUAAAUAUUUGAUUGAUAGCUUAAACAACUAAAACCAUUUUAUUCAUGAAAAAUAAUAUAAAAAUUAUAUAACAUAAAGUAUUAGCACGUUUAUGGUAAAUAACAUAUAAUAUAAACACUAAAUCCAUAACUUACAAGGACUAAUAGCAAAAUUUGACCCAAAUCACUAUCAUUUCCCCAUUUUCGUUUGAUAUAAAGAAAACAUGAUGAACCAAAAGUCUUUUGUCCCCUUCUUCUUUUACUGGUUUUACUUUUAUCUUCACAAAGUGAAGUGAGGCUUCAGCAAACUUUUAUCACUAAUUUAGACCCAACAAUUCAUCUAUUUUAUUCUAUCAUAAGUGUAUUUGAAAUGACUCAUAUUUUAUUUUAAUAUUUUUUAUUAUAUAGAGUUUUUAUUAAUAAAAAUAAAAACAGAAAAUUAAAGGAGUUAGGUGAAAUUGUAUGGGUCUCUCUUACUUUAACCAAUAGUCGAGAGUUUGAUCCUCAUUUUAAAUAUGGAAUAACUUUAAAAUUCGUGGCCAAAGUUACUGAGCUCGCUCUAGUGAAUACAAAACUUGAACCCGUAUCAUUCAAGUAUUAAAUUAAAACUCAUGUCACUAAAAUAAAAUGAUUUUACUAUUAGAUAAUAAUUUAAAAAUUAUAUAGAAAAAGAAACCAUAUUUAUGGUCUGAACUCGGAUUAAACUUAAUCACAAAUCAGCAAACAAUGUAACAUGAAUAAGACAGUGCCGUAAGUAAGAAGCCAAAAUAUAACAUCCAUUGCUUCUUCCUAUUAGUUGUUAUCAUGAUAUCUUAAGGAUUAUGUUUGAAAGAUGACAUUAAAGAUUUCGCUUUCAAAAGGAACUACACAAUCAGGCCCUAACCUUUCCUUAUUUUGUAAUAUUACACAAUAUGUCCCAUGGGAUGGGGCCUAUACCUAUCAAAAGCACCCAUCAUGUAACGGGAAUCGACCUGGUGAACACCUUUAGAUGGGGCCAUGGGGGGGGGGGGGGUCAAAUAGCUGAAGCUCAUUUUGAUUUUGGUGGUGAAAUACUGUGAAUCUGUUCCUGUCCCCAGCUUGAUGGUGAUGGAAUCAAUGUCUUUUUGCUUUACCAUUUCCAAAUUGCUGCCGUAAACUGAAAUGAAAGAAACCUUGCAUGAACAUGAACCAUUAACUUUUUUUUUUAUAUGCAUUUGACAAGAGUUUUAGGAAUUACUUUUCUCCUUGGUUGCUUGUUUUUACUGAAAUAUUAGAUAGGGAUGCGAUAAGGUUUAAUUGUUCAUCCAUCGAAUAGAUAUUUGAUUAAGUUGGGCUUUGAUAUAUAAACUUCAAAUUUACUUCACCAAAAUUCAUACAUAAAACUUGUUUACCCUACUCAUAUAAUUUUCUAAAAACACUUCUUUUAACCAUUGAUAAUUUAUAAUUUUCCUCUUGUCAAAGUUCUUAAAUUUCAACUACUCGACAUCUUUUUAAUAUUUAACUAUUAUAUGAUAUAAAUCAUAUAUAGAAUAGUAUGUACAAAUAGAAGUAAAAAAAUAUUGCAUAAAGAUAUUCUUGAAUGUUAAAAUAAAAACUAUCUAUACUUUUCAUAAAAGAAACAUUAAUUAUAUAAAUUUAUUUUUUUUUUGAGUUCAAAAAUUUUGUCUAGACUCAAAGAGGUAUAAGGUACACAAAUAGAGAUGGAUUAAAUUGGUUUCAAUCAAGUUGUGAAAAGGUAAGAAAUGUAGGUCACAUCAUAGAAUUGGAAUAGGACAAAUUUAGAAGAUGAUUCAGCAUAUGCAUAAAGAUACAAAAGAUUGAGUUUGGUUUAACUCAAUGCGUCAUAAUUAGCUUUGUUGGUCAGUGCUCCAUCAUCCACUUGCCAUUUCCUCAAAUUCCUUUUAUCUCAACCUCUACCAUGUAUGCUAUGAUCCAAACAGAGAUUGUCAUAAAUUAUUCUGGAUACAAAAAUAGGACUAUAGAUAUCUACUUUCAACACUGGAAUAAAAUGUGUUAGAAUUUUUUUUGUUGUUGUUGAAAACUGCUCUCUAAUUCAGUAAUUAUAUUUGCACAUUGAUUUUCCCUCGUGAUAGAUAUGUAAAAGCGAGGCUUUCUCAAAUUUAGAUAUAGGCAACCUACAAUCGUUUACAUGUGCAACAAGAAAAAUAUUGUUAUUCCAAUCAUUUUUAAUAAAUUUAAUCAUUGUUUCACCGUCAAGCUCAAUCUCUAAAUUAGAAAUAUUCAGUUGUAGUGCUAAGGAAAGUCCAUCUUUGGGUGCCCACAACUUAGUCUCAACACUGGUAGCCGAUAGAAUGUGCCUAUACGACACUUAAUUUCCUUUCUCAUUUCUGAUGAUGGCAUCACCUCCACCUUUUUUGAGGUUUCCUAUUGAUGAUUCACCGGUGUUGAGUUUGAAUAAGCUCACUACUGGUGCACACCACUUGACUUGGACCAUCUUAAGCAAAGAUUUAGAUGGCAACCUACCAAACAAAGCAAAAAAUUCUCUUGUUUUGCUCAUAACUUUAUUAAUUAUGUUAAACUACCUUUGGUUACUCCUAAAUACUAUAGAAUUUCUCAACAAUCAUAUUUCCCAAAUAAAAAAGCAAAAAAUAAGAUACAUUUGUAUUCUAUAGACAAUGGUUAACUUGUACUAGUUUUCAAAUGCAAGAAAUAAAGUAUGAGCAAAAGUGAUAGUAGAAGUGGGCACUUCUAUGUGACAUUGUGAUAAAUAAUAGAAAAAAAUGGGACAACAAAUUUUUUAUACAAUUUGAUUUUCCUACAUCUGUGGAGCCUAGCUCAGUGAGAUGAAUUCAUUAUCCUUGAACUUAAUACAACAACUAAUCCUAGUUCUAGUACACCUUAGUGAAGAAUUUUUACUUUUGUACUUUAGGGACUAGACCUCUCACCACUAAAUUUUCCCUUGAGAUCUUACUUUGUAAAACCAACAACAAAAGGUUUUACAAUCUCAAAUGCACCCUUACAAUAAUGUUCUUCAAUGAAUUGAUAAGUGCUCUAAAAGAUACUUAGUACAUAAAUCUAUUCGGGUUUAGGGAUGAUUUGAUGAAAGUUAAUUGUUAAUAUUACAUAGAUUGACUCUAAUAGCCUUCCUUCCAUGAUUGGUCUAUUGGUAAGUUUUAAUUUUCGAUACACCUUCACGUCGUUAGGCUUGUAAACUGUUGAAAAAAGUAUGGUUUGAAAACGGUUGUCUUGCACAACGGAAAAUCAAAAUUUUGAAAAUCAACCCGGGUUGUGAUAUUUAUAGCAAUAAACCCUAGACCGAAAUCGUACCUAUGUUUUCGGAUAGAAGGAUCCUUGUCGUUCCCAGCUUUCAAACAAACUAUUUACUCCACUAUUCUCCUAACUUGAAUUUCUGAGUGUGGGCUCGAUCAAAUCAAAUCAAACACAGAAACUAGAAAUAGUUUUCUUUUCUUUUAGGGUGAAAACGAAAGUUCUCUUCUCAAAAGAGAAACCCACAGAAUCGUCAUUCCGAAAAAAUAUAUUUAAUAAUUGAGAAUAAAUUCUCUCUAUUUUUCUACAUAGUAAUAACAUCUUAAAGUUGUGCUUAAAUAGCCUUAUCGGUGCCAUCUAUUUAUAUGAAGAGGAAGUAGAACCUUUGUUGAAUUGUAGAAGUUUAUUUUCAUUAGAAAAACAACUUCCUACUUAAAGUAGAAGUAGGACAACAUCCCCUAGUAUUCUUACUAGGGUUACCGCCCCUCCAUAUUCCAUGUGCGGAUUUUGGACCUCUCUCACAUUGGGUCAAAUUUCGAAUACUUCCCAAACUUUUCCACCUAAUACUUUGUAAUCUUAUCUAACCAGAUUUUGUUUUUCUAUUUUCCAAUAAACUUUAAUAUUUAUAUUCAAUUAAAUAAUUUUCUCAUUUCAAUUUUACCCCACUAAAAUUAUGAUGAUUUUACUGAGAAACUAUAUUUAAUAUUUUACUAUUUAACUUGUUCACUAUGAUCGAAUGAUUUAUUUUCAUUUUCAAACUUUAAAAUAACUCAAAAACAUAAACUCAUUAUUCUAAUCAUUUCUGAGUAAUCCAUGUUCAUUUGCAAAUAAAUCAUUUCUCAUUUUCAUUUUUCAUUUCCAUUUUGAGAAAACCAUAUUCAUUUCCAAAUGAUUCUAUUUCUCCAUUUCCAAGAAAUCUAUAAUCAUUUCUGAAUGUUUUCCUUUUCUCUAUCUUACCAUUUCUAUUCAUUUGAUUCAUCAUGCAAUUCAUUUCUGGUUUCAAUGAGCUAGCGAAGGGACCAAUUGAACAUAUACAAUUAAGGCUUAAAUGAUUUAUAGCUAAGUUCUAGUUUUUCGCCUAUUAAUUAUAAACUCAUUUAGUUAUGAAGUCAUUCCACUAUAGUAUCAUGACUAAGCUCUCCCCAACGCAUACCAUUACGAAAGGAACUUGAUUAAUACUCGUCCAAUGACCUUGUCAUAAGUGUGUUAUCCUCAUAGGAUAUCCUUAAUCUCUUUGGGAUAAUAUUCAUUCUCACAAUAUGAUCCGAUUUUAUCACAUGGUAAUCGUUACAUAUUCCUUCAUGAAAAGUCAAUUAUUGUUAAAUAGUGAUCAAGUCAUCCAUCACAAAGACAAAUGACCUAUGACCACGUUUACUUUUCAUCAACCAUGUAAUGCUAAUAAAAUGAUAUCAUUUACCCAUGUUUCGGGCAUGAAUUUCACUAUUGUGAAUGACACUACAUACUGGAAAAGUCAUAUACCCAACGCACUAGCUUUCAAUUCCUUAUCUAUUCAAACUCAGACUUUUACUUACAUCAAAUUGUACGAGUCACGCAUACGUAUUUCAUCAUCUACUUAGGAUUUAAGCAUGUCACACUAUGAAUGUCACAAGUGAAUAAAUCCAUAAACAGAUUCAGGAUCUAUUCUAUUUGGAUCUUGUCCGAUGUAUUGUCAUUCCAGUCAGUCACAUCUCUAUCUUCUGGGAGUCAUCCGCUCUGAUGCCCAAGACAAAAUAUCUUCCCGAUUGGACUUGAUAGACGACAUAUUAGUCUUUUAAUCAGUUUGCUCAUUCCCAAUUAGACUAAGGACAUGUUUAGGUUCGCCGACUAAUAUAAGUUGCCUUUCUGUAUUAUGAUCCGACUAUGUAAUACUGCUUAGUAUUAGUUAAAUAUUAAACAACCAAUGAGCAACAUUUGCUUCCAUUUUGCUUUGCAUGCAAAAAACAUGUGAAGACAAUAUACAAAGUAUUAAUGUAAUUCAUGAAUAAUUUUAUUAACCAAUCUUUUUGAAAAAUUACAAGUGUACUUAAACGAAAAUACUAAAUAAUUUCCAUUUUAUGUGAGUUGUGACACUAAUAACAAAUUCUUCUUUAUGUCAAGCACAUGAUACACGUUUUAUAAUUUCACCUUGUGUGGACUGUAACGAGGGAUGUGUUGCAUAUGGUGCCCUAAAUGUAGUAUAUUUGUUUUGUAUACUUGUAUUUUUUGAACAAAUUGGUUUAAUAAAAAUAUUCAUUAAUUACAUUAAUACCAAUUUUAUAUUGUCCUUGAUGUUUUUGCAUGCAAAGCAAAAUGGAAACAAAUAUUGGCUCAUGGUUGUCUAAUGCUUAACUAAUAUUAAACGGUAUUAUGUGGUCAAAUCAUAAUAUGGAAAGACAACUUGUAUUAGUAGAUGAACCUAAAAGUGUCCUUAGUCUAAUCGAAAAUGAGCAAACUGAUUAAAAGACUAAUAUGCCGUCUAUUAAGUCCAAUCAAAUAGAUGUUUUGUCUUAAGCACCAGAGUGGAUGAUUCCUAGAAGAUAGAGACAUAGAUGUGAUUAACUGGAUUGACUGUAAAUCGGACAUGAUCCAAGUAGAAUAGAUCCUAGAUUCAUUUAUGAAUUUAUUCACUUGUGACGUUCAUAGUGUGGCAUACCUUAAUCUUGAGUGGAUGGUGGACAAUAUAUGCGUAGCUCAUACACUUUGAUGUAAGCAAAAGGCUGAGUUCAAAUAGAUAAAGAACUGAAAGCUGGUGGGUUGGGUAUUCGACUUCUACAAUAUGUAGCAACAUUCAUAAUAAAGGAAUUCAUAAUAAAGGAAUUCAGAGCCUAACUAACAAGUAAAUGAUAUCCUCUCAUCGACAUUACAUGAUAAAUGAAAUGUAAACGUAACCACGAGUUGUUUGUCUUUGUGAUAAAUGACUUAAUUACUAUUUAACGAUAAUUGACUUUUCAUGAAGGAAGAUGUAAUAGUUACCAUGAAAUAAAAUAGGAUUAUAUUGGGAGAACAAAUUUACCCUUAAGAGAUUAAAGAUAUCCUAUGAAGGUAACAUACUUAAGAAAAGGUAAUUGGACGAGUACUGAUUAAGUUGCUUUCGUAAUGAUAUAUAAUUAGGGAGAGCUCAAUCACAAUACUAUAGUGGAAUGACUUUGUGAUUAAAUAAGUCUAUAAUUAAUAGGCGAAAAUAUGAAAAUUAAUUAUAAAUUAUUUGAGCCCUAAUUAUAUAUGUUUAAUUGGUCCCUCUACUAAUUCGUUGAAACAAAAAAUGAAUUGCACGUAGAACUAAAUAAACAAAAAUGAAUAAAAAUAAUGAAGUUAGUUAAAUGAGUCGCAAUAAAAAAUAAAUUUGUUUGACUUGGAAAUUAAUUUAAAGUUUUAAAAUUAUUAUAUUAUUUAAUAAAUUAUAACUAAACAAUUGAAGUUCGAAAAUAGAAUUAAAUUAAUUAGUCAUUAUGAACAAGUUGAAUGGGGAAAUUAAAUAUAUUUCUUCAUAGGUUCUUUUACAGUAAAGUUGUCAUUAUGAAUAAGUUAAAUGUGGAAAUUAAAUAUAUUUCUUCAUAGGUUCUUUUACAGUAAAGUUGUCAUGACUUUAACGGAAUUAGAAUUGAGUUGAGAAAAUUAUUUAAUUAGAAAAUUAAUUUAGUUAAUUUAAUUAAUUAAUAUUUAUUUUGGGAAAUAAAAAAAAGUAUUGGGUUGGAUUAAAUUAUAUAGUGUUGGGUAAAAAGUCAAUGAAACACAUAUAAUUGGACAAAAUAAAUAAGAAGUCCAAUAUUAUCUUUCAUGAAUAUGAAGUGGUAGCACACCCUAGUAAAUUACUAGGGUUGCUUCCCACCCCUCUCAGUUAGGUUGGGAGAGGGUUUUUUAUUUAAAUAAUAUCAUUUGUUUAAGCCAUAUUCAAUUAGGAUUCUCCUAUCUCUUCCUAUAAAUAGAUGAAAAUGGUAGAACCAUUUACGCACAAGUUUCAUAAAUUGUUAUUCUGUCAGAAAGUAGUGGAAAUUCAUUUUCUAAGAAUAAAUUCUAUUUUUUAGGAAUUAUAAUUUUCUACCGAUUUCUAUUAAGAGAAUUAAUUUCCUACUAAAAGUAAUUAAAUUGUUUCUUGUUCUGUGUUUGGUUCGUGUUGCUCGAGCUCAUAGUCGAUACAAUUCAGGGUAAGAGGAUAGUAGAGAAGGGCAUUCGGUUGAAAGUCGACAAUGAUACAUAUUCAUCUCGCACAGAGCAAAGAUACUUUUCAAGAAAAAGUUUAUUACGAUAAAUAUCACAAACCGAUUUGAUUUUCAAAAUUAUAAUUUUUCAUUAUGACUAACUAUCAUUUUCUAGAUGGGAUUGUUCCAAUAGGAUACUCAUGGUAUGACCAAUAUAGGAUAUUGGUAGCUUGGAAUCAUUGACAGUAACCACAAUUCUUCAUUUUUUGUACUCUAUUGUGCUCAAUAGCUUCUUUUUAUCUCUAGUCAUAUGAUUAGACCAACGAGAAUCAAUUAUCCAGUCUUCUUGAUAAUUGAUCGAACAAUUCUUUACCAUUGCUUGAGCAUGAUUUGCCAGUGGCUCCUCAAUCUAUGAUGCUGCAAUUUAUUUUCCAACAUCAUCUACUAUUGCACAUGAGGCCUGAAAAUCCCACUCUUCCUCACUAUCAUCUUUUUUAAGAGUAGCAACACUUUCAUUGUUGGAAGUUGCAAUGUUUCCUUGAACUUUUCUUAUCCUACAAUCUCAAGCAAAGUGUUCGAACUUACCGCAAUUAUAACAAUUACCUUACCUCCUGCGGGUAUUUUUUUCCUUUUGAUUAUCUUACUUUGACUAGCUCUCCCUACUUUUGUCUCUUCAUCUAUUUUACUAUCUUUGUUUAUGGCCUUGAGGUACUUGUACUUUCUUCAAGCUUGUCUUACUUUGUUGACUUUAUUCUUGAACAUCUCGUUUUUUACUAAUCAUCGUUUUUCCUUAUUUUUAAUCAAACUUUAGACAUUUGAUUAUCUAAAGCUUCUCGAUUAGACAGUAUGAUUUCCUAUUUGGUAAUCAUUGGUAUGGAAUAUAAUAAGCAUUAAUUGUAAAAGUUAGUUAAGAUAAUUAGUUAGGUUCAGUUGUUAAAUGGUUAGUCAGUUAGCAGUUAGUGAAUGACCUUUUGUAUUAAAUACUAGGCUUAUUCUUCUUUUGCAAUAGUAAAUGAAGUUAGUUUACUUCACAACUAAGAACAUUAACAUGGUUUCAAGAGCCAUGGAUUCUUUGGUAUAAAUUUUUUUUCCUAGUUCCUCAUGUUCAUGGCAACAGACGCCGUCCCAACAGUUGACACGACUCGGCAUUCUACCAAUACUAGUGAAGCAGUCCAUCAGCAUGGUCCUGGCAGCCUUCCUUUAUUCGAUGUUCAUUACUUUUCCAAACAUGAUACUAUUAAACUCAGUGAGCAUAAUUUUCUUUUGUGGAAGCACCAGCUGUUGUUGAUUCUCGAAGGUUAUGGUCUUGAAGGGUUUGUCUUAGGCACCACUCUUCCUCCUUCUUAUUUUCUACUUGGGACCGAUGGUCAACUUGUUGAUAAUCCUGCGUUCAUUGUGCAUAAAAAGCAGGAUAAAUUCUUAGCCUAUUAUCUCUUGUCCACAGUUACGGAUGAAAUCUUAAAGCAUCUAACAGUGGCCAAAACCAGCUUUGACAUUUGGACAACCAUUGACAGAAGGUUUGGUGCCAAGUCCAAUAUCAAGAUCUCGAGUAUGCGCCAUGCAUAAUACUCGAUCAAGAAAACAAAUCUUACCAUCAAAUAUUACAUUUCCAAUGUCAAGAGUAUAAGUGACAGUCUGACUGCAGCUGGUAGCCUAGUUACUGAACAAGAAUAGGUCAGCAUUAUCUUGGAAGGUCUUUUCAUCGAAUUUGAGUCCAUUCGAGUACUUGCUUUUGCCACUCCCAUGAGUCUUAAACCGGUCACUGAAAUGUUUCUUGAUUAUGAAGCACGACAAAUGGCCUUAUUGGUAGAAGUACCUUUGCAAGCUAACUUGGUGUCUCGGUCACAACAAGGUAAUUUCGACAACAUGAAAUCUGGUUCAGAUUCCAAUCGUGGUUCUCAUCAAGGACAUUGAGGUCAAGGUCGUGGGUGGUCCUGCUCUAAACCACAAUGUUAGGUAUGUAGUAAAAUAGGAUACAUGGUGCAAAUGUGUUAUCACAGAUUUGAUGAGAAUUUUUCUGGUCUUGGUUCGAGUCCCUCAAUGUCAAUCAAUUAUCAGCAGCUUAAUGAGUCUCCUACAUCCCAUUUUUCCUUGACUCACUGUUAUGGCUCAUUUUCACAGCCUUCCUCUGCAGCUCCUCACCCGUCCUCUCAAGCUCCAUCUUUCCCCGAUUCUGGUGUAACUAACCACAUCACCCCUACCAUGACUAGUCUUACCAAUGUUUCUCCUUACACAGGUACAAGUCAAGUCUCUAUGGGCAAUGAUGAGUCUGUUUCCAUAGCUAAUUUAGGCUUAUCAACCUUUGUGGUUGGUUCUCAGUUGCUACAUCUAAAAAAAAUACUAUAUGUUCCUACGGUUUGUAAAAAUUUGAUAUUUGUAGGGCAGUUUGCAAGAGAUAAUUCAGUCUAUUUCGAGUUUCAUCCCUUUUUGUGGUUUGUGAAGGAUGUCCUGAUAGGGAGAACUCUACUGGAGGGCCACAUGCAUAAUGGCUUGUAUAGGUUUGACUUCUCUCGAGCUGUUUCACAUAAGCCUGGUCCUGCUCAAAGCGUAGGGUCUCCUCUUUUGUGGAACGUAUAGGCUCCUUCCUCUUUUGAGCUGUGGCACAACAGACUUAGACAUCCCUACCAUAAUACACUUGCUCCUGUUUUGCAUUUUUGUAAUGUGUCUUUCAAGCAUAGCAACUUAGAUUUUAUGUGUACACCUUGUAAAUUGGGCAAAUCUCACAAGUUGCCUUUCAGUACUUCACAAACAGUGUACUGGUUUCCCUAUGAAUUAGUCUAUCAAAUGUUUAGGGACCAACACAUGUGCCCUCAAGUGAUUUCUCUUAUUAUGUUUCCUUUGUUGAUAUGUAUAGCAGACAUACUUGGCUAUAUUUUCUUAAAAACAAGUCUAGGGUUCUUCGUUGUUUCCUUUAUUUCCACAAAAUAGUUCAAGUUCAAUUUGGAAAGUCUAUUAAAAUGCUGCAGAAAGACUGAGGAAGUGAGUAUCGUUCCUUGUCCACUAAGAUCUUUCAACUUGGUAUUCAACAUUAAAUAACUUGUCCUUAUACCUCAAAACAAAAUGGGGUUGUUGAAAUGAGACAUUAACAUAUUGUUGACAUGGGGCUCAUACUACUAGCUAGAGCAUCCAUGCCUUUGGGGUACUGGUCAACUGUUUUUUCUCAUGCAGCUCAUCUGAUCAACAGGUUACCAACGCUUGUUUUGAAAAAUUAAACUCCUUAUAGAGGCUAUAUAAAGCUUAACCUGACUAUUCUAAACUAAAAAUGUUUGAGAGUGCGUUUUCCUUAACUAAGGCCCUUUCAACACCAUAAGCUACAAUUUUAAUCUCUGAAGUGUGUUUUUCUCGGGUUUGUUCUAACCAGAAAGGUUACAAAUGUCUUGCUGAAGGUUGUAUGUUUGUAACUCGUCAUGUCUUAUUUGAUGAAACAUAUUUUCCAUUUCAAGCUGGCUUUACUUUAUCAACAACCUUGGCUCCUGUUAGGUUCCUUCAUCAAAGUUCUCAUGUUCCUAUGGCGAGUCCUCCUUCUCCUGGUUCCUUACAUUCACUUGAAGCUCUCCCUGCCUCAGCUUCAACCCAGCCUCCUUCUAUCAUGUGAUCUCCUAGUUCAUUACCUUCACCUAGGAAUUCUUCUACGAUGGCUAGUUCAUUUGCAUCCGGUGCUCCAGAUGCCAUUCCUGUAAUGUCACCUUCUCCUGUCAACUGUCAUCCUAUGCGCACUAGAUCGAAUAACGGUAUUUCUAAACCAAAACUUUUCUCCUCUACCUUGGAAGAAAAGGAGCAAUCUAACAUUGCUGAGGCCUUUAAAAGUUCUGCCUGGACUGCAACUGCACAAGCAGAAUAUAGUGCCUUAAUGGCUAAUAACACAUGGAACCUUGUACCUCUACUUGCAGGCCAUCGAGCUGUGGGUUGCAAAUGGAUUUUUAAGGUCAAAAGACAUGUAUAUGGAUCAGUAGCUCGAUACAAAGGAUGAUUGGUUAUUAAGGGCUAUCUACAAGAGGCAGGAACCGAUUUUUCAAAGACCUUCAGCCCUGUGGUCAAGCCAACAACGAUCCGAGUAGUGCUGGCCCUUGCUGUUUCUCUAAGGUGGUCCCUUAGACAAGUAAACAUCAACAACGCGUUCUUGAAUGGGGGGACCUGCAUGAGGAGAUUUAUAUGACACAGCCACUAGGAUUUGGGCAACAACAAACUGAUGGUCAACAGCUUGUCUGUAGACUACGAAAAGCUCUUUAUGGCAUUAAACAGGCACCUCGAGCAUGGUUUCAUAAACUGAGGGAGUUUUUGUUGGCUACUAAGUUUGUCGCCUCUAAAGCUGACAAUUCUCUUUUCAUUCGACGAGCAGGAUCCCAGCUACUCUAUGUUUUAGUAUAUGUUGAUGACAUAAUAGUCACUGGCACUAACUUUCUUGGCAUUGAUCAGUUUGUCAAAAACCUUGAUGUUCACUUUUCUUUGAAAGACUUGGGCCAGUUGUGUUAUUUUCUUGGAAUUGAAGUAACUCAUACUCUGAAUGGUGUUUUCUUGAGUCAGAAGAAAUACAUCUUGGACUUGCUUCAACGAGCUUUCAUGGAUAGGUCAAAAGCUUCUCCUACCCCAAUGAUGACCACUUGUCAAUUGUCAGCUCAUGAAGGAAGCCUGAUUGAGGAUGAACACUUAUUCAGAAGUAUUGUGGGUGCCUUAUAAUAUGUGGUAAUAACGAGGUCAGACGUUGCCUUUUCUGUGAACAAGGCUUGUCAAUUUAUGCACAAACCCUUGGAUACACAUUUCAAAGUUGUUAAACGGAUUCUAAGGUACUUGCAAGGGACGCUAGAUUAUGGGUUACAGUUUACCCGAACAUCAAAGUUCCUUCUUGAAGGCUAUUCCGAUGCAAGUUGGGGAUCGGACACUGAUGAUCACUAGUCAACCUCAGGGUUGUGUCUUUCUUGGAGGAAAUCCAAUUUCAUAGAGCUCUAAGAAGCAGAAAGUGGUGUCGAAAUCCACCGCAAAAGUAGAAUAUAGAAGUCUGGCCCAUGUCACUGCUGAAAUAGUUUGGAUUCAGUCGUUGUUGUCUGAAAACAAAGCACUAGUUUGGUGUGAUAGCUCAGUCACGGUUGCUGUAGCAAAUAACCCUGUCAUGCACUCCAAAUUCAAACAUGUUGAAUUGGACUUAUUCUUUUUCAGAGAAAAGGUUGCAAACGGGUUCUUUCAAGUAGGUCAUGUAUCUAGACAGGAUUAAAUUGUUGAUAUCUUGACCAAACCCUUAUCAGUAGGGUUGUUCAACAGAUUUAGAAGAAGGCUGACAUGAAGAAACAGGAGAAGUCAAUAAGCAUGGGGCAUGUUAUGGAAUAUAAUAAGUAUUAAUUGUAAAAGUCAGUUAAGAUAGUUAGUUGGGUUCAGUUGUUAAAUGGUUAGUCAGUUAGCAGUUAGCAGUUAGUGAAUGACCUUCUGUAUUAAAUACUCGGCUUAUUCUUUUUUUUGCAAUAGUAAAUGAAAUCAGUUUACUUCUCAACUAAGAACAUUAACAAUCCUGAACUCUUUAGACUAACCUCUAAUAGCUGUUACAAGACCAUUAUACUUUUGAUUUAAGCUAUGAAUUAUUAUUCUUCAUAAUCUGGCCUCAUUGGGCAUUUCAUCCAAAGCCAAUUUUACAAUUCCACUACUAAUAAACAAACUUUGGUAAAGUACUGACUUAUCAACAUGCUUCAUUGGUUCAAAGUCAUUCGUUGCCAGAGUGUCCCACAUUUCAUUUGGUGUCUCGACAUCCUGUAUGUGCUACAAAUAUUCAUCAUCUACUGCAAAGAUUAGAUUGAACAUCGUAUUCGCAAACUUAACCUCUCACUUUUCCAUGUCAUUAGCUUCAGUUGAUGCUUCAACCUCAUUCCCACCAACUACAUUCCACAACUCUUUCCUUUUCAGAUAAGACUUCAUCUAAAGGCUCCACGUGUUGUAAUUGCUCUCGUUGAUCUUCUAAAUUGUGUUAGCUUGCGCACCAAAAUAUGUCAUUAAGGAUUUAUUAACUCUUGUGCUACCUUAGCUAUGUUUAGUCCCAAACCAUAAAUUAAUUCCAACCCUAAACUGUAAAAUUAGUAGCACUCCUCUUAUGAGUGAUCCUUGAUCAAGCUAGCUUAUGUUCGCAAUGGUCCCAGAUCGCUAUUUAACUAGCUUCGAGAUCACUUAUUGCAGCAAUUGAAGGAGCAAAUAUAAACUAACUUAGAUAAUAAAAGGGAGGGACAAAUUUGAAAAGAAAACAAAACAAACUUGGAUACUUCAAGGAGCAAUAACACUAAAGGAGACUUAAGAAAGCAUAUACUCGACUUUUAUUGCUUUCUAACUCACAUAUACAUAUAAAGAAAUUCAUAACCUAUUUAUAAGCUUCCUUAAAUCGAUUUAAGCUUAGAUAUCUACAAAUAGUAUUAUUUUAAUUUAGUUAUAAAUAAACUUUUGAUUAGAUAAGGAUAAUGAUUGAUGAAGAAAGAUCGAUCAAGAGAGAAGUCAAUGACUUUAACACAUUGUAGUUGUGUACAUAAUUUUUUUAAAUUUCUUUUAUAAUUAUUUCACUGUUUUUUUUUUGUAAAUUUUAAAAUUUUUCGGAUAAUGACAUCAUUAUAACGUUGUGAUCUAAUAAGUGGUGAAUAAUGAGGGACUGAAAGUUGCAAUCAACAUUUUUUACACCGAUGGAGUCUUAAACAUAAAAAAGGAAAACUUUAAAGGCCAAAAUAGAAAUAAACGGAAUAUCUUACAAAAUCUUGAGCAUAUCUUUAAACCCGAUUCCCCAACACAAGGCUCAAACUUGAAACAAACAACCUGAUUUGUACCUGCACCUGUCUGGGCCGAAGAGCUCAAACCAAUGGGCAAAAUAUAUGGGCUGCAUUAUGUACAUUAGCCCAUCAGUCGUCAAACAUAACCCUUAACCCUAACCUGGUACCCUUCCCUUCUCACCUCUAUAUAAAUAACCCACAUAAACCUAGAAGCUUGCCUUGAAAAUAAACCCCAAGUUCUUUGGGUUGUAUGGCAUCCUACUCUACCACUUCCUCUUCCUGCAUUUCUUAUAAAAUCCUAACCUCCAUAUCUUUUUAUCUUGUUUUAUGCUUCUCUGUUUGCCUAUGAUGGUAUUAAAUAUACUUUGAGAGAUUUUUUUUCCUCAUUGAAAACGAUCAAAUCUGAGGCAAAAAAAAAAGAAAUGGAUACUUUUUAAUUCUUGCCGUUACAUUGUGAUUUGUUGUUUAGUUUUGAUUAUCAUAAAAAAAGGGGGUUUUAUCUAUUUAUAUAUACAUAUGGAAGUGAUAGGCAGAUGAUGAUAAGAAUAGACAGGGACAUCUGCACUCCCUUCUUUGGGUGAUUGAUGACUUAGUCUUAAAUGGGAAUCUCUCUGAUGCUUUAUCUUAUUUCUUUUCAGUUACUCUGCUCUUUUUGCUAGUUUUGUCCACUAAAGUUUAAACUUGCUUUGUUUCAUAGUUACGAAGAUAGGUUUUAUAUAUAAAAUCUAAAAAUGGUUUCACAUCGAUUUGUUUUGAAUUGAAGUUUUAACUGUGGAGUAUAGAUUUUGGUCAGAGCUCACUGUUCCGCUUUAUAUAUAUAUAUAUAUAUAUAUAUUUAUAUUUAUCUUUUAAAGUAAUUUAUAUAUUUGUAUUUUUUGGGAAAAAUUUUAUCACACCAACACCCAAAAUAUUUAUAUUUAUAAAAAUAUAUGGGAGCGAUAAAAAAACUUUAUAUGGUAUGAAAUAUUACUUAUUAUUUAAAGUAAAGAGUAUUUAAUAAUUUUAUUGGUGCGUGAGCAUUGAAUAAGCUCGUGUGGUCACUUUCUAUUAGAUAAUAAAUUAUAUAAAAUUAUUUAGUUUUUCACUAAUACGUUUUCUUUUACAUGAAUAUUUUAAGAAAUUAAAAGAUUACUUAAAAAAAAUGAAAGAGGGGUUUUAAGGUAACUUCCUGAUUAUAGGUUAUGACAUUCAAUAGAAGCAGUGGAAGUUGCUGGAAAUUUGAUCUGUUCAAUCGUUUGGUUAAUCCCGAAUAUUUAUUGAAUUUUAAAUAAAUAAAAAAAAUGGUAAGAUUCAAAAAUGAAUUUGGACAAAUUAGUGGCUUAAUCUAAUAUUAUAUUUAUAAUAAAACAACUUUAUAUUUAAAAAUUACAAAACCAAUUGCUUCGGUCGAAACCCAUAUUUAAAGCCCUAUUAACUUGAUCUCAAAUCAAAAUCUAAAAGCCUAAAGUCAUUCAUCACUUAAAAAAGACCUAAUGAAUUAUCUUUGCAACAUUAACAUAACUAUCAGCCGUCACUUCUACUCUCAAACUCUCGUUUCUCUUUUUUAUUUGGUUAAAUUACAUCUUAGGUCAAAUUAAAAUAAUAUUGUUUCUAUUUUGAUCAUUUUAAAUUUUUAUUAUCAAUUUAAUCACUCUAAUUAAGAUAAUUGUUUAAAUUGGUCAAUUUUAUAAAAAAUUUCGUUAGUCCAUUAAUGAAUUAUUAAUGUGACAUUUUUUUUUACUUUUGACUAAAGUUAAAGGGUCACUUUAUAAUUAGUUCAAAACAUUUUAUUUGGUUUAUUUGCAAUAUAAGAGCCACAAAAUUUUCUCACCACCUAUCGUCUAUGCACCAUCUUUAUUGCUCCUCACUCCAUAGGAAUAAUGUUUCAUCACAAGGGUGUACAAAAAGCAUUGGUUGCAUAUUGACCAUCGUACAAAUUACAAUCGAACAAACUUUAGGCCGGUUACUAUCGAUAAGCUGUAGGUGAAGUUGGACUAAAAAACACGAGUCGUCAUGUAAAGAACUUAGGGUGUUGUCGAAUCUUGCCUAGCAGAUAAGGAGAUGACAAAAUUUUCAAUUCCGACGAAUAACUUAAAUCCAAUAUCCUUAAUAUUUUUUCAAUCAUCCUUAUUGAAUAGCUUGGAUUUUUCACCACAAUUUAAUUGAAUCUUCUCAAUUGGGACAUAGUCAACAUCUAGGACAAGAUGAAAGAGAAGCAACAAAGAAGCAUUAAUGGUAAAAAGCUUGGGAAAUGAUUGAGUACCAAAUGAGUUCUUCAUGGAUUUAGUACAGGAUCCAAGAAAGGAAAAUAUAUUUAAUCUUUAAGAACAAAUGAAAAACCAAAGGAAACCCAUAAUUUUUUUUGCUAGAAAAGAGCAAAUAUUUGAGAGAUUAAGAGAGAAAACAAGAAACUAGCUAAAGAAAAAUAAAGGGGACAAAAACAAAAGAGAAGGGCUUUGAAAUAAAUUUACCUAUGAGUCUUUGCUACAAGAAAAUGACAACACUUUCACUCAGCAAGUGAUGAGAGGCUUAAGGCUCAAUUUUAGGCCCAUAGACAUGUAAGGCUUACAAUAUCUCAAGGCCCAAUAGUGAGGUCAAAGACAAAGCAAAUCAAAGCAGAAUUGAACGGGACCAUACAAGGCUUUGUUACAAAGGCCCCCAAUAGUUAGUUAAGUUAGUUAUUUGAUAAGUUGUCAUGCUUAGUUAACAUACACCAAAUCUUAUUAGGAUUAGGAGACUAGUUAGGGAUUGGGAAACUAUAUAUAGGGUGUGUUAUGCCCUAUUCAUUCAUUGAUUAUUCACUUUUGAGUUAAUGAAAUUCUCUUUAAGUUUUCAUUUGAAGAAUUUCUCUUGGGUUUUCUUUUAGAAAACUUUAAACAAUUUUUUUAGAUUGUAGGAAUCAUCUUCAAAUUUUGUCUUGCCAAUGAGUCUUGCUUGGAGGGAAAAUUUGAGUCGUUUGAAAGGAGUUGUGGAUUCGUCUUGUUUCCAAUGCUCCCUAGGAUUUCUACACGCCACUCUCUUUUUUUCCAUCUCUCUUAUUUCUUUUCUUUGUUUUUCUAUUCUAUUAUUUGUACUUUGAAUCUAACCUUUGAUUUUACUUAAUUUCAAGUCUUGCUUCAAUCAAGAGGGGUGUUCUAUUGGAUCUGGUGCCCUAAGUGUAGUAUUUUUGUCCAAGUACACUUGUAAUUUUUCGAACAGAUUGAUUAAUAAAAUAAAUUAAUUGAUUACAAUUAAUAUACUUUGUAUUAUUGUCCUCAAAUGGUUUUCACACACAAGGGGGUUUUGCACACUAGGGGUUUUUGUUAAGGGUUCACAUAUACAGGGGUUCGCCUAUAUUGAUUUCUUACUUCAGUUAUACAAAAUGAUUUAAGUUUAGAUCCCACACAUGAUUUGAAGACACAAAAACCUUAAUUUGGGAGAGGAGAUUGAUGAUCUACUUGGAAAGGGACGAUUUUGAAAAGCUUAAAUCCUUUUUCUUUGAAAAUUGAUUUGGAAAAUGAUGGAGAAAGAGAAGAACUUGAGAGUGUGUUUCUUGAAAAUUUACUACAUUAAAAACUCUAGGGUUUGAAUAAAAUUGGCUAUUUAUAAAGCUUUCUUUACCUAGUUGAAAUAAGUUUUAAGAAUUCAUGUAGAAUUAGGAUUAUUUUAAAAUAGUGACUAAAUUUAAAAAAAAAAACAGUUUUUGGAUGGGUUAUUUUGAAAUUUUAACACUUUUAUGGGGUAAAAAUAAGAAAAUAAAAUAUUCUGGUUAAAUGCACUUUCAAACUUGGGACCUAAGGAUAAGUUAACUGUCGUAACCAUUCUUUUGGAAAACGGGAAUCGACUUGGAUUUUGUAAAUGAAAAUGAAAAACGGAUGUGGGAGUCGCCACCAAUCUUUUUUGAUGAGGUGUGAUCAGAUCACCUUAAUUAAUCAUUUUAAUAAAAGUUAAGAUUUACUAAAACGAUAAUUUUUGAUCUACGAAAAUCAGAAAAUGAGUUCGGGAGUCGGUUACGCACGAGGAAGGAUUAGCACCCUCGUAACGCCCAAAGUUGGUACCUAGUUGAUUAAUUAGUGUCUUUGUUAUUGAAAAUUUGAAAACUUGAAAGACUUUGAAAUACGAUCCCUUUUUGUAUUAAUGCUAAUUUAAAAAUGAUUGAAUAAAUUAAGCGGAUGUUAAGGACUCUCUCAUCUCGAAGUAAUAAAAUAUCAUGCCCAGUAAGUUAGGACACGACAUCUCGAACUUUGAGACUGAGCUUGCCUUUUAUUUAAAAUUAAUGUAUUUUAACUUCUUUUAAAAGGAUAUUCGGUUAGUUAGAGUGAACAAGGAAAAUCAAAACCCAGUAAGUUAGGGUAUGUUUCCUCGAAUUUUCGAACACUGAAUAUUGCCUUUAUUUGCAAAAAAUCUUAUUUCGAGGUAACAAAAUGUCAUACCCGGUAAGUUAGGGCACCACACCUCGUAUCUCCGAAAAUAAGCAUUUUUUUAACUCACAUUAUGAUUAAAAGGAAUAUUUCAUUAUUUAGGUUAAAUGAGAAAAAUCGAAACCCAGUAAGUUAGGGCACGAUUAUCUCGAAUUACCUAAUACGGAAUAUUACUUUUAUGAAAGAAUUGUUUUAAUAUAUUGAGUAAGAAAAAUAACGUAAUUUAUAGUAAAACAUAAAAGCAAUUUAUAAUAUUAAUAUGAAUAAUAACAUAAUAAUAGGUGCGACAGUGUCAAAAACGAUAAUAUGAGCAACUAUAAAAGAUGAAGUAAUAGCAAGGCUAGUAAUAUGCAAAUAUAAACAAAUACAUGAGGAAAAUGAAAUGAUCGAACACAUAAAAAUAAAUAAAACACGGCAAAAUAAAAAUGACAAUGAUAAUGAAAACGAUAAUAAUAAUAUAAAUAAUAAUUGUAUGAAACGAUAAUAACACAUGGUAUUAAACAUGAUGAUAAUAAUGUAAAUAUGAAAUAGUAGGGAACAUAUAUAUGUACAACAUAUAAUACUAGAUUAAAAAUAUAUAUACAAUUUUUAUUGAAAACAGUAAUAAUAAAAAUAACUAAUGCUAACGGUAUAUAAAUAUAUACAUAAUAUAUACAUACUAGAAAUGAUAGUAUUGAAACACAAAUAUUACAUAAUAUAUACACACAUAUAUAUAAUAAUGAUAUUAGAAGUAUGUACAAAAAUAAAAAUAGUAUAAUAAAAAGUGGAAAAUAAUGAUAAUAAUACAUGAAUAAAGAAAAAAAAACAUAUAUAUAUACAUACAUAUAUCAAGAACAUAUUUAUGAUAAUAGUAUUGAGUAUUAAAAGUAUGUAUACAAUAUAGACAAAAAUAUAAAAUAUAGUAUUGAAAGUAUUUACAUAAUAUAAAAUAUAUAUAUGAAUAAUGUGAUAUUAAAAAUAUAUACAUAAGAAUAUAAUAAAUAAAAAAAUAUAUAUAUAACAUAAAAUAUAUACAUAAUAUGGUAUUAAAAAUAUAUAUAAUACAUACACAUUAGAAAUAAUAAUAAUAAUGUUACAAAACAAUUAUUAAUAAUACUUCAUAAAUAUAUACAUAUAUAUGUUAAAAAUAAAUACAUAUUAAUAUUAAGAUGAUGAUAAUAUUAAAAUAAUCAUUGAUGACUUUACAUAUAAAUAUAUAUACAUAUAAGUGUAAUAAUAGUAAUUAUAAUACUAAUACUAAUAAUAAAUAUAAUAAUAGUAGUAAAAAUAAAUACAAUAAUAAUCAUAAAAAUAAUAUAAAUAAUGUGUACAUGAAAAAUAAUAAUGAUAUGAUAAUAAUAAAAAAACAAAAAAGGACGAUACAAUAUAAUAAUAACGUAAGAAAAAUAAAAUAAUAAUAUUUAUAAUAAUAGAAAAUAAAAGAGUGUAUUUAAAAGUAUAUAUAUAAUAUUAUUGGAACUAAUAUUAAAAAUUAAAAUAGCAAAAAUAAUAUAAAAAUCAACUUAAAUUAAAAACGAAGUUUUAGGGCAAAUUUAAAAUAAAAAAAGAAGAAAAGGGCUUAUUUAAACGCACGUGAAACAACGGAGGGCCUAAAGUGCAAUAACUCCCUUCCUAAAACGUACAACAUCAGCUAGGAUUAAAUUGGAAAUCGCGACAGAUUUUGGGGCCAAAUUAAAAAUAAAAAAUGACUUAAUUGCAAAGUAAUAAAAAAGCGAAGGGGCUAAACGCGUAAAUAGCCCCUCCAAUGAAAACACGCGGAUCCUAAAGUUGGAGCGGGUCGGGUUGCGGGUCGGCCAUGGGUUAAGGGCCAAAACGACGUCGUUUUGGCAUUAGUGACUUAAGCUCAAAACGACGUCGUUUUGAUGGGCUAUAUAAGUCAAAUUUCCCUAAAAAAAAACUCAUUUUCUCCAUUUCAUAAAAAAAAAAACUAACCCAUUCUCUCAAACUCUCUCAAGGCCUUCUCCCUCCGGCAAAACUUCGGCUAUGUCCACCGCCGUCCUCCGCCGCCGGCCACCGUCGCUGGCCACCGCGCACGGUGGCCGAAAAUUUCAAAAAGGUAUUUUUUUCUCUUUUUUUGUAUAUUUUUUUAUAUAUAUACCUUGAUAUAUUUUAAUAUAUGAAUGAGAAGAGAUAGAUUCGAAUAAUAAAAUAAAAAGGAAAAAAAGAAAAGAAGAAAAAAAAUCUUAAGCCGAUUUGCACUUCUUUUUUUCGAUGGCUUUGUUAUUAUCUUUGUUCUUGUAUUGCUUGCUGUUUUUUUCCAAGAAAAAUCUUCAGAGAGAUUAAACUGUUUUUUGCUUAAAUCUAUUUUUGUUUUUAUUUUUCACAAAUGCUCAAUGUUACAAUGGUUUUAGAUUUGGCUCUUUAUAGCCACUUAUAACUUGUUUCCCAUUUGAUUGCUCUAUUCCUUUUGCAGGUGAAUGGCGGUGGAGAAAGUGGCCGAUGUGAUGGAGGCAGGUGGUGUCAGAAGGUGGUUGGCCAAAAGCCAAGCAUAGGGGUGGUGGCUAGGGUUUUUCUUAGGUUUCUUUUUUCUGAUUUUUUUUGUAUUGGGCUGUUAAUUUUGGGCUUGGGGUAUUUAGGUUUUGUUGGGUAAAAAUUUUUUUUAAGUUGGGCCAAAAUUGGGCCUCAACAUUAACGCCUUACCAUUAAACCAAUAAGCUCAUUCUGAUUAAUUCUUAGUAGAACUUAUUUUUAAGACUUUUUAAUUUUCUUACCCUAUACUUUUAAAAAAAAUACUAAAUUUUUAUCCUUAUUUCUUCUAACUCUAUUUUUGGGAUGUGACAACAGAAGCCCUACUCGCUUAAGCUUCUCUGAUUUUGAUCUUUUCGUCCUCUGCUGUUUGCAGUGAUCAUUGGUAGCUUGGGUGGCUAGGGUUUAUUUUCCUUUAGGAUGGGAUUAGGCUUGGUUAAGCCCUUGUACUUUAUGUUUGUUUGUUUUUUUUAAGUUGAUGGACCCAUUUGCUUGUACUCUUUUAUGAUACAAUGAUAUUGAUUCAUCGUCUCAAAAAAAAAAAGAGAGAGAGAGAGAGAGACAUAAAAGAGGAAAAAGAAGAACACUUAGAGGGAGAAAGUGAAGAUAAAAAAUGAAAAUGAAAAUGUAUUUUAAAAAUAUUUUUAAAAUGAUUUUAUGUUAUUUAUAAAUAUAUUUUAUUUAAAAGUUAAUUCUUGUUUAAAAUAUUAAACUAUGUUGGUAAAUGUAUCAUGUUUAAUAUUUUUAAAUAUUAUUAUUGUAAUUUCAAUUUUAUAUUAAUUUAAUAAAUUGAAAUAAUAUAAAUUUUAAAUUUUAAAUAUAAAAAAAUUAUUCUUUAAUUAAAAAGUAAAAUUAUUAUUCUUUAAUAAUAUUUUAGCCAAACAAACAACAUUGAAACAUUAUUACUCUAUUCCAUUUAAUUAAUCAAACUACGCAUACUAAAAAUCUUAUCACACAUGAAUGCAUGUGAAAACUAUAAAUAUAGAAUAUAAAUGUGUAAUUAAAAAUAACAAACAAUAAAUAACGAAAUAUAUGGCUUGAAACUAAUUAUUAAUAAUAAUUACACAUGAAAUAUGUAUGCUACUAAAUUUAAAAAAAUAGAUUUAAUUUAAGAAAGUAAUAAAGUGUGCAUAAUUAAAAUUAAAAUGUAUAAUAUAUUAAAUUACGGCUUUAGUUGAGUGGUAAAUAAAAUGUUUUAUUAAUGCAAUUGGUUUUGGUUCAAAUCUCAUCGUAUGAAUAUUUUUAUUAGUUUUUUUAAAGAAAAAAAACUAAAAUACCAUCAAAUAAUUUAAUUUAAUUUAAUUAAAAAAGAUAUUUUCAUAAUUUAACAAUUGAAUUGAUAGCUUGAUUGAGGGUUAUCCCAACUUAAAUAAUAGAUAAUAUAUAUGAUAUCUUUUACCUCAUUCCCACCAAAUUACUAUUAUUUUCUUACUCCAUCCAAAUAUAGUAAAUCAAAAUUCUAAAGUGGUGAAAAAUUUAUCCAAUCUUGAGAAUUGAGAUGACAUUAUGGGAAAAUAUUAGGUACACUAUUAAUGGGGUUUUGGACUUCAAAAAUAGAGUUAAGAGGUUGACAAAAACUCUAUAAAAAUAUAGUAAAAUAAUAAAUAAAUAACAUAAGAUAAAAUUUAAAAUUUAAUUAUAGAGUAAAAAAUAUAUAUUGUACCAAAAUACAAAGUCCGAAAUUGAUGCUGAUACAAUUAGAUAAUUAUAAUCCAAAAAAGAAAAGAAAGGGGGCAAAGGCAAUGUCAAGUUGCCGAUUCCCAUACACAUGGGUAAAUUGGCAAGUGGGGUCAAACUUUGAUUAGGAAACCCAGUAAUCCACGUCAGUUCCACGCUUAUUUGACUCCACCUUCACUUUCAUAAUUCCGGAUAUUGAUUGCUUGCCAGAUCAUACAUAUUCUUCAUUCAGAUCCCACAUUGUUUUCAAGUACAAUUUUAUCUCAUAUAAAUAUCUUUUAAAAUUUUUAAAUUUUAUAAUACAUAUCAUAUUUUUAUUUUCAUUUGUAAAAUUCAAAAUAUUAGGUUAAACUUUAUUAUUAGCCCUUGUACUUUAUGAAAGUUGUGAAUUUAAUCAUAUAUUUUAAUUUGAUAAAUUUUAAUAUCAGCACUUUUCGAAUUUUAAAACUUCAGUAUUUACCAAACAAUAAUUGUUAAAUUUAUUAUUAUUAUUAUUUUUAAAAUCUAAUGCAAUAAACAUAUUAUCAUAUAUAUAAUACCACGUCAGCUUGUUAUUUUCAUACAUUACUUACUACAAUCCCCGUUAAUGAAUUAAUGAUUGUCAUUUAUGUCAAGAUUGAAAUUUCAAAACUCAAACAAUAAUUGGAGAAUAUAGACUAAGUCCGCAACUUGACACAUUGUAAAAGAUUAGUAUUUGAACUUAACCAAACAAAUUUAACUACUACUGUUUGAGUUAGGACUAAAAUUUUAAAAUUCGAAAUGUACAUGGACUAAAUUUAACCAAUUCAAAAAAUACAUGAAUUAAAUUUGAUCAAAUUAAAGUACAGAGAUUAAAUCCACAAUUUUUGAAAAAUACAAGAACUGAUAGCAGAAUUUAACCUUUAUAUUAUCAUGUAUUAAAAUAUAUGCUUUUGUUAGAACAUUUUUAGUUAUACUUCUAAAAUGCAAGUAUGUUGCAAUAGACUUUCUAUUUGUUGUUUACAUCUGGCCUAAACCAAUUUUCAUAUUUUGAGUGUUGUUUAUUUUUUAUGUGUAAGAUAUUUAUUGAGUGAUUUUUAUCAUAAUUUUUAUGCAAAGAAUUAUGAAUUUUUAUAAGAGUAAACUAGAAUAAUUAUGUAGUUUUAAGAGUCCUUGAAUUGUAGGAUUUUAUGUUUUUUUUGUGUGUGAUUAUCCUUUGACUUCAAUAUGAGACUUUGUAGGAGUUUAUUUGGAAAGAGAUCUUGAUUAGAUUAUGGAGGAUUAUUUGGAAAGAUAUUGAAUGUGAGAUUAAGUAAGAGGUUAUUUGGAAAGAAGUUUGUUCCUUUAGAGUGGUGUCGAUUGGAGCUAAUAUUGGAAAGCACUAUUCUGUCUAUUUUGAAAGGCUUUCUUUGUGCCUUUUGUGAGAGCUUAUUAUACACAUAUUUGAGUGUGUUUAUUAGCCUUACAUAAGGAGGUUUGGGUGGAGAGUGACUGCACACAAACAGUAUGAUCUUUGUUGUUACAAUUAUCUUUUGGUGAGCUUGGGUAGAUUGAGUUGAUUAGUAAAGUUUGUACUAUGGAAAAUUUGAACAGUGGAUUCAUUCUCUAAGUAAGGCCCCACAAAGGUGGGUUGUUGAAUUGAACCGCGUCAACAAAUCAUUGUUCUCCAUCUUUUAUUUAUCUUCUUUUUUUCUCAUUACAACUAUCAAAAAAAACUUUUAAUGCAGCACUAAUUGCAUUUGCCAACUAAAAUAGGCUAUUUACUAUACUUAAUCAAACUUUCAAUUGGUAUCAGAGCUACACGUCGAACAUAAAGUCCGGAGAGCUAUGGAGGCCAUAAGAGAAAAAAAAUCUACCUUUAGUCCACAUUUAUUGAUUAAUGCUUCAAAUUAUACCUAUUGGAAAGCUCAAAUAAGGUUAAUUGUGAAAUCCAUUGAUGAGGGAACUUGGAUGGCUAGAGAAAGCCUACAACUACUAAUAAAAAUAUGAUUGUGUCACUGAAGGUAAUAAGUAGUUGCACUACUGAAAAAGAAAAAGUUGUUAAUUAAAACUCAACGUCAUUUUUAAUUUUUUUGACAUUGAGAAAUUAAGAAUAAUAUUGAUGUAUGAUUCAGCAAAGGAAGCAUGGACUAUCUUGGAAAACCAACAUAAAGGAACAACCUUUGUAAAAUUAUCAAAGCUUCAAAUACUUAAUAUCAGGUUUGAAAUUUUAAAAAUGAAUAAAGAUGAAAAUAUUUAUGAAUUUUGUACUCGUUUAUGUGAGAUUUCUAAUGGAGCUUUUGAAAUUGGUGAGUGUUUUUCCACGGAGAAAUUGGUGUAGAAAACGCUUCAAACAUUACUUGAAUUUUUUUCUAAAAGUGACCAUAAUCGAAGAAGCCAAUGAUAUUACCUCCAUGUGGCUAAAUGAGCUUGUGGGUUCUCUCAGAACCAUUGAAUUAAUCCAUAAAAGCCUAAAGAAGAAAUAGUAACACUUAAAAAAACAUUACAUUCAUUAUUUAAUCAGUUGUUGCAACAAUAGUUUCGUUUUCUACCACUUUAGAAGACUUGGAAGAAAAAGCGGACUAUUGUCAAAGAACUUUACCCGAGCACUCAAAAGGCUAUCCAUGAAAAACAACAAUGUUGAUGGUGGGAUAAACUUCCCAAAGAACAAGGGGAAGGUAAUGGUUAAAGAUAAAGAACCUUGUGAUAAAAAGAAAGACAUUCAUUGUUAUGAUAGGAGGGAUUUAAUCAUAUUGAACAUGAGUGUGCUAACACCCUAAAGAAAUCUUUCACAAUUACUUGGAGUGAUGAAGAAGCAAGGGGUAAAGACUCUGAAGAUGAUGAUAAAAUUAGUAACUAUGUAGCUUUUACAACUACUAUGGAUCUUAUGUUGCAUCAUCAUCUUUGCUAGUAAAGACGAUUCUGAUGUGAUUGUGAUAUUUCUUUUGGUAGUAUUGAAAAAGCUUACAAUGAGAUGAUAAAAAAAUAGGGUUGGUGGUUCAAUUAAAUCAUGCCUUGUCAAAACCAUUCCCCAUUUAAUACAAUUUGAUUUCUAUUAUGCUAGCCAAAUUGAGAAAACUAAUUUUGUUUUGUUAUUCACAUAUACUUUUAUUAGGCAAUAAAGACCCCAAACCCAUAUGUUUCAUCUCCUAUGUGGCAGAGUGAUAAUAACGCUAAAAGAUAUAGUGUUGCUAACGAGACUUCUAACAUUUUAUAAUGAGAAGUUUUGAGCAUUAUCUAGGGUAGGUCAUUUAUCGAGCAUUUGGAAUAGGUAUCAACCUUAAGUCUUAUUUUCAAAGGCUUUAAAAUAAGUUAAACUAGUUGAAGAUAUGCUUCGAGCAUCUUUCACAAAAUCUAGCAGUAGAUGAUAUUGAUCAUCAUGCUAGAGUGUACAUUUUUUUAUUGACAAAUGUAUGUUUUUUUCUGAAAGUAUGACAACUUAGUUCGUACCAUUUACCUCUCAUUGCUAUUAAAUUUUCAAAUGGUCGAAACAUAUAGUUGGUAAUUUUCCAUUUUGGCAUGACUAUACAAGGCAUUAUGCAAGGUGCGUAGAGCGUCAAGCAAUGAAGUAAAAAAUUUCCUUUCAAUUUUACAAUUGUAUGAGGGGGUAUCGACUUUCUUGGAUGGCGUUUAUACCCUUUCAAGCUCUCGAUUUCUUUCUUGCUAGAAGGUAAGAGUAGAACCCAAAAUCAUAAAAUCUAUAACAUUCUAAAUGUGUUAUUUUUAUAGGUAAAAUUUAUUAUGACAUUUUAUAUUUUAUAGAUGGUCUAGUCAUUGAACUAUAUAACUUACUAGAAAAGCAAUUUGUUAACCAUACAAGCAGUAAUUGAUGCACAAUCUAAAGAUUCAGUAAUUUGUGUUUAAUAUUGUUGAGUUUAUUUUGCUUUAAUUAAUAUCACAUCAUAAUGUAAUUUAAAUGCAAUAUUUUUUUUUUCAAUUUAUGUGGAUAUCAUACCAAGUAGAACAAAUUAUAGCCAUAUUAGCAUCGAAGACACUUUCACACCUUCAAGUUUUUAACCUAUGCAUGUUGUUUAUAUGCUUUUGCAUUAUAAUCAAGCAUUCUGAUAGUUUGAGAUAGUCUAACAAAUUUUGGCAGAUUCAAAGAACAUAGAUCACUAACAUCCCACAGAUUUGCAUUUGGGAAGAAGUAUAAUCGUAACACCCCUAACCUGUAUCUAUCGCCAGUAGGGUUGCAGAGUAUUACCGGAGUUCAUAAGACAAUUACAGAUAAUUCAUGUCAUUUAAUAUUCAUAUCCGAGACUAAUCAUAUUGUCCCUUGAAUGGACCAUCGAGCCCUAAUUUAAACAUUAGAAACUAGUCAAGAUUAAAUCGGAAUCUCAGUGAAUUUUUCACGAAAUUUAAAAAAUUCUUUUAUAUACAGGGCACACACGCCCGUGUGAUCAAGGCACACGCUUGUGUAACCAUAGGACACGUCUGUGCCGCAGGCCGUGUCCGACCCCGUAUAACUCUCUGAUUUAUGCCACACGACCUACCACACGCCCAUGUGUUAGGCCGUGUGGUCAAUUUAAUUAUCAUAAACUAAGUGCAGGUUUCACACGGCCAAGACACACACCCGUGUUCUAAGCAGUGUAUCACACACGACUAAGACACAUGCCCGUGUCUCUGCCCGUGUGCCAAAUUCUGAACAUUAUGUUUCUCAAAUUUAAUAUGUAGGGGACACACGGCCAAACCACAUGCCCAUGUGCUAGGCCGUCUGUCACACCCACUGUCAAGAAACACGCUCAUUUGUCUACCCGUGUGGACAAAAUAAGGCCAUUUCUUUGUCUUAUUUCUCACCCAAAUUUAACCUUCAACCUACAAUAACAUUUGCAUACAUUUUCCAAUCAAUUCAAGUCAUAUAAAUAAAAAAAACAUCCUUAACAUGUAUGAAAUAGUAUCACAUAUUUAUAUGAUCAAACUUACCUUCUUGUAAUGAUUUAUAUUUUACCCUAAUUCACUUUAACCAAACCACAUACAUAUAAGCUAAACAUGACAUAUAUCCUUAUAAUAACAUGCCAAAACAAUCCAUUUUAAACCAUUCCAAUGGCUAAGUUACAAACAACUAUUUACAUGCCAACAAAUUCCAAGUUAACCUAUACAUUCUGUUAUAUCAAAAUGAGAUUACUUUUUAUACCAAAACAAGCUGGAGGAUAGCGUGAUGGUUCUCCGGCCGUUCUCCAACCUUAACGAGCUUCCAAAACUUUAUAAAACAAAGAAACUAAAACCUAGUAAGCAUUUAAUGCUUAGUAAGUUCGUAUAACAGAAAGUAAACUUACCAAUCAUAUUCAUUUAAAUAAAUAUAACAAUAACAUACUUUUCAACAAAUUAGAAAAUUUGCCUAAUCACAUACAUUUAAAUAAGCAAGUUAGUCAUAUAAUUCACAUGUACAUUAAGUAAGCAUGGAUGAGCUCAUCAUGCCACACUCCUUUUAGGUAUUUCAGAAGUAUUCGGGACAUAACUCUUUUAAUCUCAUAAUUUCUCAUGUCAGAAGUUUUGUCUGUUCAAUUAUUGAAAUAUCGAUGGAUACUCAGGUAAUACACACAAGGUGUGCAAAACUAUAAACCGCCAAUUCGUAAUCAGUGGUACCCAUUAGGGCACCUAAUUAGAGAGAACACUCUCGUGCCACAUAUUAGGAUGCUCAGAUGAGCCAUGUAACAGGACACUUAUCUGGGUUAAUCAGGAAACCCAUAAGAGUUUUAAUUAGGGAGUUCAUAGAGCUUAUCAGAUAACUUCAAAAAGUUAAUAUCAGGGAGCACCGGAUAAGGUAAAAAGGAGUUCAAAUAAACCAUAUCAAGAAGCCUAUAAGAGUUAAUAUCAGGACGCUCACGUAGAGCUGCGUUUGUGUCUGCAUUAUAUGCUGGAUCACAACCGAUAGAGUCAUGUAACAGGACGCUUACACAGAGUUACGGUAGUGCGCAACACAUGUAGAAUCACUAUCGAUCAAGAUGCUCGCAGGAACUAUAUAACACGAUGCUCGAGAGGGCUAUAUCAGGAUUGCUCGUUCGAGCUACAUUCUGUCCGCAACAUAUGUAGGACCACAUUUAAUACAUUAUUCAAACGAAACCUAACAUCUUAAAAACAUUUCCGGGCAUGUGAUCAUUUCAUGUAUUUAUAACAUUCAUAUAAUUCACAUAAAUACAUAUUAUACUCAAUCCAAAUACAACAUUCAAUUGAAACAUAUUAACAUGUAUAAUAUAGUUACACGAACUUACCUCAACAUUUGUUUGUAUAUAAAAAUCUACUAAUUUGAAACUUUUUCUUUUCCUCGAUCUAACUUCGAAUUUGAGUUGUCCCGAUCUAUAUAAAUGAAUUUAAUCAUCAAUUUAAUACAAUUCAUAUACGAUUGGAUUCAAGUUACACCCUAGGCAUAUUACCAUUUUGCCCUUAUACUUUUCAUAAAUUUCAAUUUCAUCCCUAGUUUCGGAAAAUGAAAUUCAUGCAAUUUAAUCCUUAUUCUAAGCCUAACUGAAAUUUUCUUAUAACAUUACAGCAUAUGUAUUUCAAAAUUUUUAGAAUUUUUCUAUAACUUUUACAUCUUUACAGUUUAACCCAUAAAUUACAAUUUCAUGAAAAUUAACUUUCAAAAGUUGUUUAUCUAUCAACAACCUUUCAUUUUCUACCAUAAAUUCCAAAAUUUUAGCAUAUUCAUCCAUGGCAAAAACUUUGAUACUUUGAUAACCUUUCAAAUUAAUCCCCAAAAUAGAUAGAUUAAACUAUCUCGAUCUCAAAAUAUAAAAAUUACUAAAAAUGAGACAAGAAAACAUACAUAAUUAAGCUUUAUUAGUUUCCUUUCUCUCUCCUAGGGUUUCCUUGCAAAUUUUGGGGAUGAAGAUGAUAUAUAAUGAUAAUAUUUCUAUUUAAUUAUUUAUCAUCCAUUAAUUUUUCCACUUUCUAAUUUAGUCAUUGCCUUUUUCUAAUUUUUCCAUAGAUGAUUUAUCAAAAAUAUCUACUAAAUUUUCUUUAAUGGUCUAAUUACAAUAUAAAGACCUCAAUUUUUGAAUUCCGUAACUAUUUGAUGCUUAUAGAUACUAGAACUCAAUUUUUGCAUUCUAUGAAAUUUGGUCCUUUCCAUAAUUAAACACAUAAUUGAUAAAAUUUUCUUAUCAUAAUUUUCAUAUAAUAUUUCUAUCAUAAUACGGACCAUGCAAUAAUAUUAAAAUAAUUUUUUUCUAGCUUAGAUUUAUGGUCUCGAAACCACUGUUUCGAUUUCACUGAAAUUGGGCUAUUACAACUCUCCUAUUUUAAGAAUUUUCGACCUUGAAAAUCUUACCAGUAAAAAGGUUCGGGUAUUGCUUUCUCAUGGUAUCCUCCGGUUCCCAAGUAGUUUCUUCAAUCUCGUGUCGUUGCCAAAGAACUUUUACUGAAUCUACCUUUUUAUUUCUUAAUUCUUUUAUUUCACGAGCCAGAAUUUUGAUCGGUUCUUCAUUGUAAGUCAUAUCAAGCUGGAUCUUAAUUUCUGUCGGAGAAAUAAUAUGUGAAGGAUCUUAUCUAUACCAUUGUAACAUGGACACAUGGAAAACAUUAUGUAUUUUGUCAAGAUCUGGUGGUAAUACCUACAGAUAAGCAAUGGCCAAACCGGAGAACUUUUUUUCACGGUAAUACUUUUAAAAUAUCUUGUCGUCGACUUGAAACUCUAUUUCUUUUUGUUUAAGAUCAGCAUAGGACUUUUGACGAUCAGAGGCUGCUUUCAAACUAUCUCGAAUCAUCUUUACCUUUUCUUUCGUUUCACGGAUCAAGUCAACUCUGUGUAUCUUUUUCUCACUGAGUUCUGUCCAGUACAACAGAUUUUUACAUUUACAGUCAUAUAGAGCCUCAUACGGUGCCAUUUUAAUACUAGAUUGAUAACUAUUCUUGUAUGCAAAUUCAACCAAAGGUAAAUACUUUUUCCAAUUACCUUCAAAUUCCAAAAUAUAGCACCGAAGCAUAUCUUUCAAAAUUUGUAUUACACAUUCAGAUUUGCCAUCAGUCUGAGGAUGUGGUAUAAAAAUACAAUUGAGUACUUAGAGCUUCUUGCAAUUUGUUCCAGAAUCGGGAUGUAAAUCAAGGAUUUUUGUCUGAAAUAAUGGAGACAGGCACUCCAUGCAGUUUAACAAUCUCUGAAACAUAUAAUUCGACCAAGCUAUCCAAAAAGAAACCUAUACGUACCAAAAUAAAGUGUGCAGACUUUGUCAACCAAUCGACAAUUACCCAAAUAGCAUUUUUCUUAUUCGGAGAUAGGGGUAAUCCAGAUAAAAAGUCCAUGGUAAUUCUUUCACAUUUCAGUUCUGGUAUUGUAACUGACUGUAAAUAAUCCUGAAGGUUAUUGAUGUUCAACUUUUACUUGCUGACAUAUCAAACAUUUAGAUACAAAUUCAUAAAUAUCUCAUUUCAUUCCCGGCCACCAAUACAUCUUUUUCAGAUCAUUGUUCAUUUUAUUACUACCAGGAUGAAUAGAUAUGUUACCGUCAUGAGCUUUAUGUAAAAUCUUCUGUACAAAUUUUAAGUUCUUCAGUAUACAUAUCCUGCCUUUGAAUAACAAACAACCAUCAAACCCAAUCUGAAAUUCUAAAUCAAAAUUUGACUCACAUUGUACAAGUUUAGCCUAUUACUCAUAUCACCCUUCUAAGCUUCACAGAUCUGUUGUGGAAAUGUCAGUUUUGCUUUUAACUCGGCUAUAAUUAAACCAUCAUCUGACAAUAACAAUUGAGUAUUCAUCACUCGCAAAGCAAAUAAAGACUUUCUACUUAGGGCAUCAGCAACCACAUUAGCUUUUUCCUGGAUGGCAGUUAAUAACAAGAUCAUAAUCUUUCAAUAAUUCAAGUCACCUGCAUUGUCUUAAGUUCAAGUCUUUUUGUGACAUUAAAUACUUCAAAAUUUUAUGAUCAGUAAAGAUGUGACAUUUUUCACCAAACAGGUAAUACCACCAUAUUUUCACUGCAAAAACAAUGACUGCCAACUCAAGCCAUGUAUCGGGUAAUUUCUUUCAUGUGGUUUUAGUUGUCUUAAAGCAUAGGAUAUUACUUUAUCUUCUUGCAUAUCAUUUACUGAUGCAUCACUGUAAAUUAUAAAUUCUUUACCUAAUUCAGGCUGAACUAACAUAGAUGCUUUUGUCAAUAAGGCUUUCAAUCUAUCAAAACUUUGCUAACAUUUAUCAGACUACUCGAAUUUCACAUCUUUUUGCAACAGACGAGUCAUCAGAGAAGCUAUCAUUGAGAACCUUUUAACAAACCUUGGAUAACACCCAGCUAAUCCCAGAAAACUUUUGACUUUUGACACAUUUUUCGGUAGCUUCCAAUUAAAAAUAGCUAAUUUUUUUUCGGAUCCACCCUGAUACCUUCAGCAGAUAUUAAAUGUCCAAGAAAACCAACUUCUCGUAGCCAAAAUUCACAUUUACUGAAUUUGGCAUACAAUUUUUUCUCACGUAGAGUUUGCAAUACAAUUCUCAGAUGAUCAGCAUGUUCAUUUUCAUCUCGAGAAUAAACCAGAAUAUCAUCAAUAAAUAUCACUACAAACCUGUCUAAAUAUGGUCUGAAAAUUUUAUUCAUUAAAUCUAUGAAUACUGUAGGUGCAUUUGUCAACUCGAACAACAUCACAAUAAAUUCAUAGUGCGCAUACCUGGUUUUAAAAGUUGUCUUUGGCACAUCAGAAUCUUUUACUCAUAGCUGAUAGUAUUUAGAACAAAUAUCUAUUUUCGAAAAUACAGUGGCAUCUUUCAAAUGAUCAAAUAGGUCAUCAAUUCGAGGCAAUGGAUACUUGUUCUUUAUUAUGACUUUGUUAAGCGGUCUGUGAUCUAUACACAAUCUCAAUGAUCCAUCUUUCUUCUUUGCAAAUAGAACUGGUGCACCCCAAGGUGAAAAACUGGGUUGAGCAAAGCCUCUAUCAAUCAAUUCUUGCAAUUGUGCUUUAAACUCUUUUAACUUAAUAGGAGCCAUUCUAUAGGGUGCUAUGGAUAUCGGUGAUGUCCUCGGAACAAGAUCUAUAGAGAACUCCACUUCUCUCACUAGUGGUAAACUAGGUAAUUCCUCUAGAAAUACAUCAGGAAAUUCACAAACAACUGACAUUGACUAAAUUUUCGAUCCAAAUACUUUAGUAUCUAACACAUAUGCAAGAUAAGCAUCACAUCCCUUUCUGAUAUAUUUCUGUGCUGAUAUAGCUGAAAUAAUAAUAGAUAACCCAUCCAGUUUAUCAGAUUCAACGUGAAGUAACUCACCAUUCUGACACUUUAAUACAAAGUAUUUCUAUUUACAAUUUACCACUGCAUCGUGCUGCAUUAGCUAGUCCAUUCCCAAAAUCACAUCAAAUUCAUCAAAUGGAAAUAGCAUCAAAUCAACCGAGAAAAAAUAACCCUUUUACCAUCAACAGGCAAUUUUUACAAAUUUUAUCCACCAUAACAUAUUGACCCAGGGGGUUUGAUACUUUAACCACAAAUUCUGUGAAUUCAACAGGUAAGUUUUUAACAGACACUAAAUUUGUGCAUAUGUAUGAAUGUGUGGAACCAAGAUCAAUCAAAGCAGCAAUAUCAGUAUCAAAAAGAGAAAAUGUACCAGUAAUGACAUCUGGUGCAGAGGCAUCCUCUCAAGCACAAUAGCAUAUGUUCUUGCCGGUGCUUCAGAUUUAACUGUUGAGUCUUUUUUAGUACCUCAGCUACCACUGAUAUUGUCGGGGUAACGAGGUGGUCUGCCUCUCGAGGCAGGAUUACUCGGCUUUGAAGUUUGAUUAGUAUAUUUUUCAAUCCUUUCCGAGCAAUCUUUGAGGAAAUGAUCAAGAGAACCACAUCGGUAACAUGCUCCACUUCUCAAACGACAUUCUCCAAAAUAAAAUUGUUGCAAUAUUUACAUUUCAAUUUGGGAUUACUGACACUUCCCACACUUGUUACAGAUGGAGACGAAGAUCUCGGAUUAGAGUGUUUAGAACUCUGCUCUUUUCCAAAAUACCCCACUGAUGUGGUAAAACGAUCAUGAUACUUCUUUGAUUUCUUUGAAGCAGAUAAUUGUGAUUUACCCAUAAAUCUUUUACUAAAAAUAUGAGCUUCUCUCUCUGCUUGUUUCUUUUCUUUACUUAAUUCAUCGACUUUAUGUGCUUGAUCAACCAAAACCACAAAUUCCCUCAAUUCAAGAAUUCCAAUCAAUAGUUUGAUAUCUUUAUUUAAUCCCUCUUUGAAACGUUUACACAUAUCAGCCUUAGUCGGAACCCAUUCUCUGACAUAUUUGCUCAAUCUAACAAAUUCUUAUUCAUAUUCAGAUACUGUCAUACUUCCCUGUUUAAGCUCUAGAAAUGCUUUUUUUUUCUGAUCUAGAAAUCUCUGAUUAAUGUACUUUUUUUUCUAAAUUCAGUCUGGAAAAAUUCCCAAGUAACAUUUUUUCUCAGUACAACAGAAAUCAGAGUAUUCCACUAAUGGUAGACUGUGUCUUUUAAUAAAGAAACUGCACAUUUCAAACACUCAAAUGGUGUGCAUGAUAAUUCAUCUAAAACUCUGAUGGUAUUUUCCAACCAAAACUCGGCAUUCUCAGGAUCAUCAUCGAUAGUAGCCCUAAAUUCCUCUGCCCCAUACUUACGAAUUUUAUUCACCGGAGGCUUACCGAUUCUACCAGGUUCAACAACUUGUGGCAUCUCAAGAACUGAUUGAGGAGCAGGUGUAGGAGGUUGUUGUAAAACAAGAUUUGUUCUUGUGAAUUCUGUAAGUCAUUAAUUCAUCAUUUGAAAGAAGGCUUAUGUUGCUUCCUCACCUCGGCCCUCAGAUUUGGGCCUUUUACUACUAGAUACAGCUCUUUGAAUUAAAGCUGGAGCAUUGCUCUGAGCUUCCUCGGAUUCAGCUCUAGCUUGGUUAGAUGACAUUACUAUAUAAAAAACGCAUUUAAAAUAGACAAGAGAUAUCAGACUUUCACAAAUUAUAUAAUGGCAUAUAUAGCUAAACUCCUACUUGCUACGUUAUUCUGAGAAUCAACUAAACCGUAGUUUUGAUACCAAUAAAUAUAACACCUCUAACCCGUAUCCAUUGCCCGUAAGGUUACAAAGCAUUACCGGAGUUUACAGAACAUUACAGAUUAUUUAUGUCAUAUACUAUUCAUAUCCGAAACUACUCAUAUUGUCCCUUGAAUGGACCCUCGAAGCCUAAUUUAAACAUUUGAAACUAGUCGGGAUUAAAUCGGGAUCUCAGAGAAUUUUUUCGCGAAAUUUAAAUUUUUUUCUUAUAUAUAGGGUACACAUGCCCGUGUGGCCAAGGCACACACCCGUGUGACCAUAAGACACGUCUGUGCUACAGGCCGUGUCCGACCCCAUAUAACUCUCUGAUUUGUGCCACACGACCUACCAUACGCCUGUGUGCUAGACCAUGUGGUCAGUUUAAUUUUCACAAAUUAAGUGCAGGUUUCACAACACCAAGAAACACACCCGUGUUCUAGGCCGUGUGUCACACACGGCUGAGACACACGCCCAUGUCACUGCCAGUGUGCCAAAUUCUGAACAUUAUGUUUCUCAAAUUUAAUAUGCAGGAGACACACGGCCAAACCACAUGCCCAUGUGCUAGGCCGUGUGUUACACCCGCAGUCAAGAAACACGCUCGUUUGUCUACCCGUGUGGACAAAAUAAUGUCAUUUCUUUGUCUUGCUUGUCACCCAAAUUUAACCUUAAACCUACAAUAACAUUUUCAUACAUUUUCCAAUCAAUUCAAGUCAUAUAAAUCAAAAAAACAUCUUUAACAUGUAUGAAAUAGUAUCACAUAUUCAUAUGAUCAAACUUACCUUCUUGUAAUGAUUUAUAUUUUACCCUAAUUCAAUUUAACCAAACCACAUACAUAUAAGCUAAACAUGACAUAUAUCCUUAUAAUAACAUGCCAAAACAAUCCAUUUUAAACCAUUCCAAUGGCUAAGUUACAAACAACUAUUUACAUACCAAUAAAUGUCAAGUUAACCUAUACAUUCCAUUAUAUCAAAAUGAGAUUACUUUUUAUACAAAACAAGCUGGAGGAUAGUGUGAUGAUUCUCCGACCGUUCUCCAACCUUAACGAGCUUCCAAAAUACCAUAAAACAAAGAAAAUAAAACCUAGUAAGUAUUUAAUGCUUAGUAAGUUCGUAUAACAAAAAGUAAACUUACCAAUCAUAUUCAUUUAAAUAAAUAUAACAAUAACAUGCUUUUCAACAAAUUAGCAAAUUUUCCUAAUCACAUACAUUCAAAUAAGCAAGUUAGUCACAUAAUUCACAUGUACAUUAAGUAAGCAUGGAUGAGCUUAUCAUGCUACACUCCUUUUAGGUAUUUCAGAAGUAUUCGGGACAUAACUCUUUUAAUCUCAUAAUUUCUCAUGUCAAAAGUUUUGUCUGUUGAAUUAUUAAAAUAUCGAUGGAUACUUAGGUAAUACACAAAAGAUGUGCAAAACUAUAAACCGCCAAUUCGUAAUCAGGGGUACCCAUUAGGGCACCUAAUUAGAGAGCACACUCUCGAGCCACAUAUCAGGAUGCUCAGAUGAGCCAUGUAACAAGACACUUAUCUGGGCUAAUCUGGAAACCCAUAAGAGUUUUAAUUAGAGAGCUCAUAGAGCUUAUCAGAUAACUUCGAAGAGUUAAUAUCAGGGAGCACCGGAUAAGGUAAAAAGAAGUUCAAAUAAACCAUAUCAAGAAGCCUAUAAGAGUUAAUAUCAGGACGCUCACGUAGAGCUGCGUUUGUGUCUGCAUUAUAUGCUGGAUCACAACCGGUUAAGUCAUGUAACAUGACGCUCACACAGAGCUAUGGUAGUGCGCAACACAUGUAGAAUCACUACCGAUCAGGAUGCUCGCAGGAACUAUAUAACAAGAUGCUCGAGAGGGCUAUAUCAAGAUUGCUCGUCUGAGCUAUAUUCUAUCCGCAACAUAUGCAGGACCAUAUUUAAUAUGGGAAAUCACAUAUAUCCAUCGAAUUUUAUUAUUCAAACGGAACCUAACAUCCUAUAAACAUUUUCGAGCAUGUGAUCAUUUCAUGUAUUUAUAACAUUCAUAUAACUCACAUAAAUACAUAUCAUACUCAAUCCAAAUACAACAUUCAAUUGAAACAGAUUAACAUGUAUAAUUGAGUUACACGAACUUACCUCAACACUUGUUUGUAUAUAAAAAUCUACUAAUUUGAAACUUUUUCUUUUCCUCGAUUUAGCUUCAAAUUUGAAUUGUACGGAUCUAUAUAAAUGAAUUUAAUCAUCAAUUUAAUACAAUUCAUACUCGAUUGGAUUUAAUUUCACUCCAGGAAAAAUUAUCAUUUUACCCCUAUACUUUUCAUAAAUUUCAAUUUCGUCCCUAGUCUCAAAAAAUGAAAUUCAUGUAAUUUAAUAUUUAUUCCAAGCUUAAUCAAAAUUUUCAUAUAAUGUUUACAGCACAUAUAUUUCAAAAAAUUCAAUUUUUUCUAUAACUUUUACAUCUUUACAAUUUAGUCCCUAAAUCAUAAUUUCAUGAAAAUUCACUUUAGAAAAGUUGUUUAUCUAUCAACAACCUUUCAUUUUCUACCAUAAAUUUCAAAAUUCCGGCAUAUUCAUCCAUGGAAAAACUUUGAUACUUUGAUAACUUUUCAAAUUAAUCCCCAAAAUAGAUAGAUUAAACUAUCCCAAUCUCAAAAAUAUAAAAAUUACUAAAAACGAGACAAGAAACAUACCUAAUUAGGCUUUAUUAGUUUCCUUUAUCUUUCCUAGGGUUUCCAUGCAAAUUUUGGGAAUGCAGAUGAUAUACAAUGAUAAUAUUUCGAUUUAAUUAUUUAUCAUCCAUUAAAUUUUCCACUUUCCAAUUAAGUCCUUACCUUUUUCUAAUUUUCCAUGGAUGAUUCAUCAAAAAUAUCUACUAACUUUUCUUUAAUGGUCUAAUUCCAUAUAAGGACCUCAAUUUUUGAAUUCCAUAGCUAUUUGAUACUUAUAGCUACUAGAACUCAACUUUUACAUUGCAUGCAAUUUGGUCCUUUCCAUAAUUAAACACAUAAUUGAUAAAAUUUUCUUAUCAGAAUUUUCAUAUAGUAUUCCUAUCAUAAUACAUACCAUGCAAUAAUAUUAAAAUAAAUUUUAUUUCUGGCUCAAAUUUGUGGUCCCAAAACUACUUUCCGAUUUCACUGAAAUUGGGCUAUUACAAUAAUUGGCCGAUUAGAUCUGUCGAGCACAUCACACAUUAUGCCAAUUAUCUUCAACAUAGGCCAAAAGCUGCAUUUUUUUAUCAAUGAUGGUAAUUUUGCAGUAUCUCAGAUUUUAUAUGGAAUGGUCUGUAGUGAACGAUAAACCUUAUAUGUAUCCAUAAGAAUAGGCUCAUGUACAUUGGAUUGAACAUCUAUUUUGCAAUGUCGAAAGAGGAACAUAAAAGUGCAAACCCAACUUGUCGUCUUAGGCCAAUAGGGAGGAGGGAGGAAUCUAUGAAUGUGUUGUGCCAUAGGUGUACCUAGCAAUGAAGCUAGUAAAAAUGGUUGCAAUUAAGACAGAGGUUGAGAUCACGACAAAAAGCAUUCCUAUUGAAGAUGCCUUAGCUAUUAUACUUGUGAAGCUGAAAAAGGUUUUAACUUUUCAAAUUUAAAAGUCGAUCUUGUAUUUGUUGAGAUCAUGGAUGAAGAUUCAAUGUACCAACUAGAUGAGCAAUGUUGUUUUUGAUAUUAUGAUGUAUUACUUGAAGUAGAUAAUUUUAUAUAUUUAUGUUAUUAGUUCAAAUAUUUAAUGCAAUAGGGAUUAUAAAUAUUGGUAAUUGAAUAUAAUUUAGACAAUAUACACAAUUAUAUCCUUUACCUUCUAUUAAGAGGGAACUCCCAUGAUUGGGAAUGGAAUGAUACUAACCAUGACAUCCAUGUCCAUACCCAUGUUUGUAGAUGUAGGUAGCAACUGUUAACCUUGACGACCCGUUCUCAUAUUGUCCUGCAAAAUGCCUAUACAAAUAUGCCAAAGUCGCAAAACCCAAGUUGUAUCUAUCGACUGUCUUAAAAAACUCCAAUAGAGAAAUAUACAUUGUGUUCCUCCUAACAUCCAAAGCAUUAAAGGACUAGCAUAUCAAUCCAUCUCCUUCAUUGUUGCAUGUGAUUAAAGGGCUAGCUUGAAAAGCCUUUGUGACUAUGUAUGUUUCACAUGAUUUUCAUCUAAUUCCUUUUUGUUGUUAUCCUUCGAAAGGGGUGACAACCAAAAUUUGAUAGCACUCACACUUCACAUUGAUGGUGCUAGACCCCUAUGAUGAUUUGACAACCCCGAUACCCAUAAAUAUCAAAAUAACCUUAAAACAAUAUAUUUUAAUAAAUACCUUUUGAAAGUGGUGAUUUGCAUAAAUAAUAUUAAAAAACACUAUAUUUGAGUAAAAUAAACUACACUCUUACGAGUUCCAAGAGCUUAUUUUAAGAAAUACAAAUGAAAAAGAAAAAAAAGUUAAAAACAUAAUAAUAUUUUGAUUUCAUCCUAUGUGAAUGGAACAUUAAAAAGAAACUUAUUAUUAAUGUAUUGAUUUUUUUGGUUUUACCUUUUAGCCUAAAGUAUGUUAUAUUUAUUACAAAUUUUGACACAUUAAAUCGUAUUUUAUUUGAAUGUUAUAUUUAAUAUUUUAUUAUAAUUUUUUUGGGAUUCACUCAUAAAAGGUUGGAUACAUUGGAAGUAAAAUUUCAGUUUCAAUUACAAAAAUUGUAUGGUGUUUUAAGUACUUAAAAGAACAGUUGAAACUUUACGUGAGACCAAAGAUUUUGGUUGUGUGUAAAUUUGUGGUAUGUACAUUCACAUCCACACGAAAACCAAGUGGGCUCAAACAAGGACUAGGAUCCCACUACAUCUACUCACUGCCACGGCAUCUGGGACCUGCCUCUUUUGUUCCUUAGCUGCUAUGGUAAUCAAUUAAGCAAAUCUAUGUUGUUAUUUAUUGUUAUUGUUAUUAAAAGUUUCUUUAGUUAAAUUUAAGAAAUUUAAUCUUUUUUUAUUUUUUUUCUUUAAAAAUAAAAAAUUAUUCUUCAUAAUGAAAACCUGUUCGGUAACUGUUUUUUUAAACAUGAGAAAUAAAAAUUUAAUUUUUAUAAUGAAAGAUAUUACGUGCUCAAGUGCACUUGCAAGCUUAAGAAAUCUAUAAAAAAUUCAGACUCAAUUCAAAUAAUUAUUUAAUAAUGAGUAUUAAGAUUAAAAUCAAACUUUGAUGCCUAUAAAAAAAAUACUUUUACUAUCAAACUAAAAAGUAAUUUAAGGGUAAAAGCAUAUAGAUAUUAUUUUUGAAGUUUGUACACCCAAUACACAGACUACUAGUGUUUAUUAAUGAUUUGAGUAAAAAAUAUUUGUUUUGGUACGAAAUACACUAGAGGUUUGAAAUAAGUCAUGAAAACCUUUAAAUAAUAAUAAUAGCAACAUAGUUAUUAUUUUUACUUAAAAUUAAUGAAUAUUUAAUUAUUCAAAAAUUAUAUUAAAGUGUUAUAAAAUUAAAUUAUGUUUAAUUUCAAGUAAAAUUAAGUAUUUUGAACUUGAUGUAUUCAUUAAAAUAAUUUUAUAAGAUUAAAAAUAAUACAAAAACAAAAACAAAACUGAAGUACUGAUUAUCGAAUUUGAAAAAAGAAAGAGAACCACAGCCGGGAUCCCAAAUUAAUGUUUUCUUCCUUCGCAUCCAUUCCACCAAACAUCUUCACAAUUUUGUGGUGGUUGCUUUUCUUUCUAAUUAUUUAAAUUUAUUUAAUGUACUUCUAAUUGUAUUUAAAAUAAGUUUAUAUAUUUUUCAAAUUUUUUUUUGUUAAAUUUAGAUUUAUAAAAUUUUAAAAACAAAAUUUUUGAAGCAGUUAAAUCAGUUUCCCAAUGAUUUUAAAAAUAAUAAAAUCAAGGUAGAAUUAUAAAUUCAAAUACUCAUAUAUUUGUUACCUCUACACUUAUCUAGUUUUAAAUAAGCCAAAAAAAAUGUAGUGAAAAUAGUAAAUCGUCUUCAAACUGGCCCCUCAAUGGAACCCAAGAAAUGGUUUAAUUUUCUGUUCUUGAAGGAACGGCACAAUAAUGCUCUUGGUUGGCCUCAACCACCGCCGGUUACACUAUCUAACACGUUCAACCAAUAUGAUUACAUUUUAAUAUAUAUAAAUUAUUAUCAUGUACACAUUGAAAACAAAAAUACAGGAUACAUCAAUAGCAAUCAUUGUAACAUUUGCAGGAUUCAAUUAAAAAAAAAAAAAACACCCAGAAGCCUGCUUAUGAAUAACCCAGCUAAUAAUGAUAAUGAUGUAUAAAAAAUGGGGAAAUUGAGAUCUUCCAACAUCAAAAUUGGAGGGUGGAUCCAUUUUUAUCCACUUCCAUAACAAAACUCUUAGAUUAGUUUCAUAUCGAAACCUAUAGCAGAGCACCCUCCUUUUGGAGCAUUAUCCAAUUAUUAUCUGCUUUGUUCAAGAUACCAGACAGUUCCAUGGUUCUGAUGAACAUGGAAUCGUUCAAGGAAGGUGAUUGUAAACUACUUAAUGAUAAUUCACCAGCUGAUACUAGUUUCAUCACCUCAGACUCAUCCAAACCUUUGGCAGGGCCAAGGCUGCAUUCAUCCGAUCCGUGCUUUGCCAAUGCAGCUUUGAAUUUCUUGAUCUGCAAACAUAAUAUAUGUCAAACACUUACUAAUACGAAAUGAAAGAAUGCUAUACCGAAAAGCUUACCGUAGCAUUGGUGCAGCUGAAGCUGCCGACUCGCCCUUCAGCACCUUUAUAAAACCUAAAGAAGGGUAAGACAUGAAUAUUGAGACAUUGACACAUCUUCUUCAGUUCUUCAUAGUUAACUUCAAGGAAAAUCGCAUUUGGAUUCUGUUCAGCCAGUUGACAGAUCUGAUACAAACAUAACCCAACCAUCAACAAACCUUAACACACACGGAAAAUAAACCAAGACAAUUUUUUUUUUGGUUAAAAAUCUUACACACAAAAAUACCUUAGGAUGGAGGGCUUUGCAACCACCACAACCGGGUGAAUAGAAGUCGAUAAUGACCAAUCGAUCACCAGCAUUUUGUAAGGAACAUACAAGUUCUUGAGCAGAGUGGAUCUUCACCAUGUUGGGUUUAAGAUUUUUUUCCCACCAUCUCAUACAUCGGCUCACACAGGUUCCUUCAGCCUGGGAAAAAAAUCAAUUGCUUUAAACAUCAGCUUCCAGCCCAAUCUAUUAAAACAAAAUGAACCCAGAAAAGAAAAAACCUUUAAAAUCCAAAAGUAAAGCAAGGUUUUUUGACAUACUUGAACAGAGAAUUUGUUUUCAGGUUUGGUGGUGCAGUUUCUUGAACCAUUCUGAUCUGGGACGACAAGUGGUUUCCCCCAAAAAUCAAAGGUUAAAGCAGGAAACUUUUUUGAUGAUGAAGAAGCCUUGGAAUCUAAAGAAGUGCAUGAUGUCGAAAACCAGGAAGCUUUCUUGGAAUGGGAGCUCAACAUAGUCUCAUUGAACACAGAAAAAUAUGAACCACACUUCAAUGAAAAAGAAGCCAUUCGCAGUUGUCAAAAUGAACCAAAAGUGAAGAUUUUGAACAAAAUAAUGUGCUCUGUUUUUUGCCCUUCGGAUGGUUGAAGAGAGAGAAAGAAGAAGGUCGAAAAGGAGGACUGGGUGUUGGUGUGGAUAUAAAACGGAAGUGAGUCGAGUGGGGUCAAAAUGAUUUGGAUUUAAGGUUAUCCAAUUUGUUUUCCUUUUUGUAAUCAUAAUCCAAUUUGUCUUGUAUUGAUUGAGAAGUAUACAAACCAAAUAGUUUGGAGUAUGAUUGCCACCGAAUUUCAUGAUAAUCAACUAACUAGUUCUGAAAUUAUGAGGAUAAUGAGAACUACUUCUUUUUAAUGUUUGAUUUCAAAUUUUGGAUAACAUACUUCCAACUCUUUAAGGAAAAAUAACUAUCAAUUUUCACUCAAGUUCUCUAACUUUAAACACUUCUUUUUUGCUUUUAACUACAGCUGCUGUGAUUUCUCUACAUAAUUUCUCUUAUAUUUCUCUCCUUUUCUUAACCUCAAAUUUUCUUUUUUUCCAUCCAAACAUAUAAAAAAAAAUUCAUUUCAGGCUCUCAAAAUAAAAGGUUUGUUGUUUAAGCACUCUCGUUAUAUAGUUCUGCCAUUUUGGUCACUUCCGUUAAAAUCACUAACGGACAUAAGAGUUAAAAAUUUGGUAUAAUAAUAAAUUUACCCCUUAAAUUUUAUAUAUUAUUUCAAUUUAGUUAUAAAUUUAAAAAAACAAAAUUACAAAUAGUAACCUUAAUUCUAAAAGAAUUAAAGGAAUAUAUAAAAAUACAUAAAUAUUUUCAAAAAUAUAAUAAUAAAUUUUAAUUUUUAUAUUAAUAUUAAUAUUAAUAUUAAUAUUAAAUAAAAAUAAUUAUAUUAGUAUUAAUAAAAAUCCCCCACUCAAAAUAAUUUUGUAUUAUUAUAUUUUUUAAGAAUAUAUUUACGUAUUAUUAUAUAUUUCUUUGAAUUUUUUAGAAUUAUGACCAAAUUAAGACCAUUCAUAAAUUUUCAGAGUUAAUUUUUUAAACUUAUGACUAAAUUGAUAUAAUCUGUAGAAGUUGAGGACUAAAUUUGUUACUAUACCGAUUUUUAAAUUGUCACGUCAGUUUGUAGUUUGUGAUUUUACCGAGAGUGACCAAAGACCUAACUAUGUACCAUGGGUGCGUAAAUUAUAAACUUUUUAUUUUGAGUGCCUAAAAUAAAUUUUUUUUGAGAAUUAACCGACUAUUUGUGUAGUUCACCCCAUUUUAUCCAUUAUUAAAAUAUUUUUUGUUAGGUUAUGAGACAGAUCAACGGUAAAUCUUAUCCAUUUUUAGAUGACAGUUUAACCAUUUUAUUGUAUCCCAAAAACAAAAUCAUAGAUCAGUUACUUCAAACAAUUUUUAUUUUUAUUUUUUACAAUUAUUUAAAUAUAGCUUUAUUCGUAAUUAAAUUAUCUUAUUUUUCUAACUUGGUUCUUUUUUAUCGUCAUUGGUACUUAAACUAUUUUUUUCUCAAGUUAGGAUAUUCGUUAGUCAAACUCUGAAGUCUAUUUAAAAAAAAAAACUUAACCCUUAAAUUAGUAUUUAAACUGUGCAUUUUUAUCAUUUUCAUACCUAAACUUUUUUUUUAUUCAAAUGCACUUAAAUUAUUUUUUUCCCAAGGUGGUACCUUUGUUAGUUCAAUAAUUAGUUAAAUCGUUAAGUCUAUUUAAAAAAAAAUUAAAAAUUGACAUGUGGUAGAAAAGGACAAAAAGCAUUAUUUUUUUCUUAUAUGUUUUUUUCUUUUUUUUUUCUUCCUGUAAAACUAAAAUGAUGGUUGAACCAAUUGGACCGCCAGUUCUCUGUUUGAUCAGAUAAAUUAUUAAAAGUUCAUAAAAUAAAAUAAAAAACAUAUAAACUCAGUUCAAAUGAUUUUUAUAGCUCACUUCAAUUAGUUUGUAUCGAUUUGUGGGGCAAUUGGGUUCAACCCUUAUCUCCAAACCAAUACCUUAACUGGCUCUUGGUCUAGUCGAUUCGGUUUUGAAAAUACUAAUUUUGAUCGGUGAAAUAAUUUUUUCAACCCCGGCAAGUUAAGCAAAUAGGCAGUGAAGUUGAAAACAAAAUUAAUUGCUAGCGUCUAGACCUCAGGAGGGCAAAUUUCGAGCAUUGUUAGUAUUGCUAGACAUUAUAAAGGAAUAAGAAAGGAAAAAAAAAAAGAGAACUAAUGUAAAAGGAAAAUAAAAUAUUUUUUAAGUUUAUAUUAUGUGGUCAUUUAUUAUUAGUUGGGUUUUUUUCUAACAGAUAUAAUAUUUUGGUGUAAAAUGGGUAACAAACAACUAUAUUUUAUAGGGAUUAAUAUGUAGUUUGCCCCAUUCAACUUGUCUAAAAGUUCCUAUCUGGUAUCUAAAUUUUUUUUUGACCUAGUUGGUAAUUGAAUUUGUAUUUAGUCACCCAAGUGGGUGUCUCCUCACUAGCAUUGUUAAUUUGUGUUGACUUGACACUAAUAGCCAAUUCGAUACUGAUACGUGGCAGCCUCUCAAUGUGCCAUGUGAUGGACAUGAGUAAAAAAUAUUAAAAUUUUAAAAAUAUAUAAAUUAAUAAAAGGAAUAUAUUUUUCAUAUAAAAAAUGAAUCUAGACAUAUGAUUGUCCGUCACGUGGUAUAUUGAAAGGCUGUCAUGUGUCAUCAUAAGAUUGACUAUCAAUGUCAUUCGUGAAAAUUUAAUCGAAACGAAUAAUAUACGAAAUAAUUAAAUAAAACUAUAAUAUUUUAAAACAAGCGUAUUGAAAAAUUUAAAACAAAACUUGAGAAAAUUGAGAGAGAUAAGAGUUUAGAGAGAAUAGAGAGAGUUGGAUUUGAGUAAAAAUAAUGAAAAAUGGCUUGAUAUUUAUAGAAAAUAAAAGUUACUAUUAGCUCUUAAAAAUUUUUAUUGUUGUCAACAUUCAAAAAGUCGUUGGGAAAAUGAUCGUUGGAGCUGAACGCGUUUCCACACACUCUCUCCUAAAAUGACUUAUUUGUUUAAUUAAAAAAAUCUAAAAAGCGAAUUAAAAAAAAACAUAUAUCUUUCUAACUUAGCUUAACUAAAGAAAAUACAAAUUUAGAGAUAUUUUAACCUAAAAUAAUGUAUGGGGUACAUUCUUAAUCCAAUUUGGAUUAGGAAAAUACACAUAGCGGGACUCCCAAAGCAUCAUUGGCACAUACAGUAAACGUUAAAAUAUUCUUAAAGAAAAAACACUUACAACCUAAAAAAAAUAUUUUCGUGGGAUCUGAAUGGAGACAAGUCAAGGGACAAAAUAUGGAAAGAAAGAAAGAAAGAAAAACCCUCAAAUUGAGCAUUUUUUAAUCAGAAAAUUAUUUUCUUGUCUAGGCUAGUGAUAAAUUUUAAAAAGAUUUUACGUUUAUAGAAUUAAUAAUUCAUAUUAUAUAAAUAGUAAAAUAUUUUAUAUAUUAAUGUGUUUUGAUUAAUUUUUAAAUUUUUUUUUUGGUAUCAUAUUAUAAGAUAGGCCAAACCUCUGGAGCAAAUACUAUAUAUAAAUAAAUAAAAUCUUGAUUGGGAACUAAAAGUUCCAAAAUAGCCACAUUCAAUGAGACAGAUGAAAUUAUAUGGUAUUCUGUGUGAAAAAAGAAACACUCUCUUUUGCCAAAGAUGAAGAUAAUGUCAGGUUUAUUAGUAUUUUUAUAAAAUUUCUAUUUUUUUUUUAUCACAAAACUUUAACGAGUCAUAGCAUCUCACAACCACAUGAUUGUAAUUAGCAUUGGAUGAACAAAAAACUUAAUGUUCAGAAAGUCUGAUUGUUUGUAUCAUAGUUGUUCGUGAGUAGGAUUGAUUUUUUAAAAAAAAGUUAAUUUUUAUUGUUUGAAAAUGAAGUAAAAUAUUUUACAUCAUAAUUAAAUUUAAUAAAAAUAUUACUUUUAACAAAAAAUAAUGUGGAUGGAAUCUAACAAUUUAAAUAGAAAAUAUAUUGUACUUGUGAAACCAUCUUUAAAUCUAUUAAUCCACGUAACCAAUCAAAUUUGUUGAAUAUUAGUUACUAUUAAAAUUAAUUUAAAAUAGAUUAAAAUUUAAUUCGAUUAGUAUAGAUAUCGUUAUCAAUGCAAGAGGAUAUAGAUUUGAGCGCGUUGCAGUGCAUUAUCCUCCUAUUUAUGAGUUGAGGAGGGGUUAUAAAUAGUUGUAGAUAUUGUAUAAAAAAAUAGAUAUAAUCAGAAUUUAUAAUAAAAUUUUUAAAAAAUAAUUUUUUAUUCUAAAAAAUUUUUGGAAUGUGUUUGGUUAAAUAAAAGUUACAUUUGCCGAAACAAUGUGAGAUUUGAUUGAUUAUACAUUUAGUAAUAAGUUUAGCUUAUUUAAAAAAAUAUUUAUUUUGGUCCAUUAAUUUAAUAAUUUCGUACAUUUUGGUAUUCACGUACUUUAAAAAAAAAUGAUAUUUACUUGAUAAUUAACUUCAUUUUGAUCUUUCAAUUUAAAUUUCAUUAUAUUUAUUUUCAUGUCAUUUUAGUAGUAUAUCUACGUAGAUAAUUGCCAACAUUAUAUAUUAUUUUUAGGAAAGAGUUUAUAAGAAAUAUAAUAUAAUUAUAAAUGCAAAAAGUAGAAUUAAAUUAAUGUAGAGUAUAAAAAAUUUAAAAAAAAUUAUAAUAUAAUUAAACAAAAUUCACACAAAAUAAAUACGCAUUUAUACAUAAUAAAAACAAUUAUCAAACUUGAUUAUUCAAGGAUCCUAAAACUUCAUUCACUGCCAUCAUACAUGAUUAAAUUAACAAUGAUAGACUUGAUAAAAAUAUAAAUUCGAUAAUCAAUGGUAUUUGAUUUUACAAGUGAAAUUAAUAUAAUUUUAAUUAAAAAUAUCUCCUUUUAUAAUUUCAGAAUUUGCAAUGGAUAGAAGCAAUUGAGAUUAGGAUAGGGAUGCUGCUGCCUUAUCUUCAAGUUGAAGAACAAUAGAAAGAGGAUUGUAGUUCAGCUUUUGUUUCUGAAAGCCGAAAAAAGCAAUCCUUUUAUCCACAUUGGAUACAAAGAUAUUGAGGUUGAAACCCAUGCCUUGACCACCAAGGGACUGCAUGUGGAUAUUUAUUUUAGGAUUUUUGGAUAAAUAAAUGUGGGGUAGCUUUUAAAGUAUUGCCCACGGAUUUUGGAAUUUUCUUCACAUACAUAUUAUACCCAUUGUUUUGGAACCCUAGUUUUGCUAAAACCAAGGCUAACAUUGACUUGGAAUUUUUUAACCAGUUUUUGCAAUAUGUGUUUGUUUUGUAUUUUUUAAAAUUAUAUUAAUUUAUUUUAGUUUUAUAUCAUUUUAAUAAAAAGAUAUAUGAUUUAAUGAUAUAUUAUAAUUUUAAAAUUAUAUUCAUCAACAAGUAUUGAGUAUAAUAGUAAGAUAUAUUAUAUUUUCAAAGUAAUAACAAGGUUUAAAAUUUGAAAACGACAUUGUUAGAAAAGACAACUAUGAACCCUAAACAUUUAUCGUAAUACAAACAUGAAAAACACCAAAAAAAUAUAUUAUAUUAAUUUAUUUAAUUUAUCAUCUUAAUAAAAAGGGUAAACUAUGUCUAAAGUCACUAAGCUAUUAGUAAAUUUAUGUUUUUAUCACUCAACUUUUAAAAGUUACAAAAUGGUCACUAAACUAUUUAAAAGUUUUCAUUUAAGUCCCUAGGUUGUUAAAAUCGAUGUUGUAUAGUCUUUUUUGUUCACACUGCCUAUACCAACUAAAAAUUCUCAUUCCCCAAUUCUCUUCUACAGAGAAACAUCUUUGAACAUCACAAAUCUACAAACUAAAAUCCAAACAACUUUCUUCUCCGAUCUUCAACAAUGAUUGUCAAAUCGAUUUGGAUCUAAGGUAUGUUCUUCCACUCAUUGAUGGGUACUGAUCCACGGUACGGAUCAUCGAAUAGUCUUUUGGAGCUUACUAGCCGGACUUUAAAAAAAAUUAAUCGCCCAAUGACUUAAAUAAAAACUUUCGAAUAGUUCAGUGACUCUGGGUUUAGUUUAUCAUAAUAAUUAAAACUAGAUUAUGGCAUAUCCAUAAUGUAGGUGAAACAAAUUUAUAUAUAUAAAAAAUAGUAUGAAAACUAAAUGUGGUUUUUAUUAAAAUGGUAAAAUUGAGAGGGUGACAACCAAGUUAUUUUAAUUUCAAAUAUCAUGAUUCCCAACACUGUAUGUAUUUUUCUAGAUUUAUCAAAAUAUAAAGACAAAAUAAUAUUCGUGGCUUUGUAAAUGGAAUGAGAUUUCAAUAAUUUUACAACAAUGAUAAUAUGUGACACUAACUCAGCCGAACACAUUACAAUAGUACUAGAUUUUGUCACAUCCAUAAUGUGGAUGUUAAAAAUAUUUUAUUUUUUGGAAAAAAUUUAGAAAAUGGAGACUUUUAGCGGUUCUUUCAACAAAGAUGGCAAGGGAGAAGAUUGUCAAAAUAAGGAAGCAAAUUCAGAUGUAAGCAAAUUCAGAUGUGGUGAUGGCGGUAGAAUUGGACUUAGACUCUCUAUUAUCAUGGAAGGAGGGGUUGCUAGGGGAAAGUUCUCGUGUUUUGAGAGGGAAGAAUAGUUCAUCAGGCAUCGAAGAUAAUGAUGAUUUUACUUUCAUGGAAGGAGACAUUAUGAGAUCCUUUAUGAACGAUAUCCCAUCAAUUAAUUUCUCAAAGAGAAUUAAUCAGUUGUUAAUUAAGGAUAUGACUUUCACAGUGGUGGUGAAGCUCUUAGGUAGGAAUAUUGGGUAUGCAACGCUUCAAAACAAAAUCUAUGCUUUGUGGAAGCCAACCCAACCUUUCAGUUUGUGGCUUUGGAAUGUUCAGGUUCAUAUUAUUUGAUUUGUAAAGAGAUGGAGAUUAGGGAAGAGCUUGAAAUUGUUCUUUAUCACAAAUAAUUACUUUAGAAGCAGAAAUUCCGAUGUGAGUAGCUUAAUUUGAGAGAUCGAAAUACUAAGUUUUUUUAUCGUCACACAAUUCAAAGGAGAAAGGCUAAUCAUAUCAUCACCUUGUGAAACCAAUUAGGGGAUUAGAUUUAUGAUCUAGAUGAUAUUUAGCAAGAGGUAGUCAAUUUUUUCCAAAAAUUGUAUGGGGAACAGUCGAAUCCUGGGGAAGUUUCACCUUCUAGUUCAUUUCCUUAAAUUAAACAAUGUGGUAAAGAUUUGUAACGCCCCAAUUUUCGGGAAUUCUGUGAAUAUUGGCAUAGGUUUAAUUAUGUUAGUGGGCCUCUAGAAGGCCCAAGCUUAAGAUAGAACCCGAAAAUUUUAGUUAAUUUUUUUUCCAUAAGAAAAAGCGGGUGAAAUUAUGAAAUAGGACCUAUGUGAAAAUGUUUGAAAAUGCUAUAGGCUAAAUUGAAGUGGCCAAAUAAAUAGGAGUGCAAAAUAGGAGGAUUUGCAUGACAAACCUCCCAUUUUACAUGAAGUGGCCGGCCAUCAUGUUGUUGAAGACAAUAUGUGCAUUUGAUAUCCAUAAUUUAUGGUACAAAUUGAUAAAAAUUGAUAAUGGGUUAGGUAAAUUUUCCAUGAUAAUGGGUUAGGUAAAUGUUCCAUGAUAAUGGGUUAGGUAAAUGUUUCAUGAUGGGCAUUUCAUGUCUUUUGUAUUAAAGGAUUAAAUGGAUGAAAUAUGAAAUUUUAUUAAAAGAAAAAGGGGUGAAAAGAACAAAGUUUUGUCCAUCUUUGUUCAUCAUAGCCGAAAGUUAGAGAAGAGAAAGGAGAGGAGAAAGCUCUUGAAUGUUCGGUCACUUGGGGAAGAAAAUUGAAGGUAAGUUCAUGGUAGUUUGCUUCUAUCUUGAUGUUCAUGAGUUCUUCUUGAUUCUACCUUAACUCUUGAAGCAUAUUUUGGUUUUUUAGUUGUGUUGUGAGCAUUUAGUCAUGAAUUAAAAUGAAGGAAAUGGUUGUUGUUUCAUGUUCUUUUGAUGAAAAAUGGAAGAUAGGUGAAGUUGAGCCAAACAAAUGAGCAUGCAUGUGCCUUAGAUGCUAAGGGGAAAAAUCGGCUAAUAUGUUGUGCUUUAAAAUGAUGAAAUAGAGAUUAUACUUAAGUAAAAUCAUAGAUAUGUGAUGAUUGAUUGGUGAUAUACAUGUUUAAAUAACAUGCAUGCAAGUUAGGUGUGUGAAAGAGUGAUUUGGUAAUAAAUCUGCUUGAGACAGCAGCAGUAACGUGACUUUGGAAAAUCACCAUAAAUUGUGGGAGAUGAAUUAGAAGCUGAAUAAAUUAUGUAAUUAAAUCUUAAUGAGUCUAGUUUCAAAUGAAAUAAACAAGAACAUAUUUUGAAUUCUGUACAAUGAGAAAUUUGAUUCGUAAUAAAGAGUGGUCAGAUUAGUCAAAUAGUGAAACAUGGGAAACUUUAAGAAAAAUCUGGUAUUGAUUGGCCAAACCAAAAAUUCUGAAAAUUUUAUGGAUAGAAGAUAUAUGAGUCUAUUUUCAGGGAAAAUUAACGGCACUUGAUUUGGAGUUUCGUAGCUCCAGUUAUAAAUGAUUUAGUGACUGUUGCUCAGAAAGACAACUUGCAGUGAAAUUUUGAUUAUGUGGUAAACAUUGACAAAAAUUUGUUAAUGAGUUGCUUAUUGAUUUCUUAUAAGCUUACUAUGAUCUGUAGGUGUGGUUGGCCGAAUAUGGUAUGGGGUUAAUAUGUAGUUCGUGCUUGAAUAGUUAGAUUAACGUGUUAGUAAUCCAAUUGUAGGCAGUUCGUGUGUGGAUCUCGUCAGCAUAUCGUCGCAAACAGGUGUGUAACUAACACCCUCUUAUAGACUAGAUCGGCACAAGCCGAAAAGCUGAAAUGCCGAAAAGCCGGUAUUUUGAGAUCUUGCGAGUGUGUGAAUGCUCAUGAGAUUAAUAGUUUAAUGUAUAUGGUAAAUUAAAGUGAUAAGACUGUAGAGUGCGCGAUUCCGUGCAUUUCGAUGUUUUUAGGCUUAAUGGGCCAAAAAUGGGAUAAUGGGCCAACGGGCCCAAGUUGGUAAGAAAACGCGGAAAGUGUUUCUAAUCGUACGUAAAUGGCUAUGUUAUGUAUGAAAACCUUAAGAAUAGUGAAAUUACUUGAACACCCCUAUGUAUGCAAAAUUACCGUUAUACCUAAGGUUUUUUUUUCUGAAAAGCAUGAUGUUCUGUUUCUGUAUACGUAUGCCAUGACAUAUUAUUUCUGUUGCAUGGGGACAUGGGUUAUAUUAUGGAGGAAGCGUCCUGGUGGCUAUGCCACAAAUAUCUGAUCUGGUGGCUCUACCACAUAUAUCUGUUCUGGUGGCUCUGCCACGAUUAUCUGUAUCUGGUGACUCUGUCACAUUAUCUGUUCUGGCAGCGAUGCUGCAAAUUCUGUGGUGUGUAGCGGUUGGGUUGGUCGAGUUGUCUCCCCACACGGUGUAAGCUUGGUACGAGGGUGUAUACGGUUGGAUAUGGUUGGGUUUCUGCACAAACAUGUAAUAUUUGUUCUGUUAUGGGCCUAUGGGCUUUAUUCUGAAUUUCUGUUCUGGGCUAAGGCCAACUUAUUCUGUUUCUAUAGUUUGAGCUGAUAUAGGCUAUGGUUGGGUUAAUUUACACACUGAGUUUCCCCAAACUCACCCCUUUUAUUUUCAUCCACGCAGGUAAUCCCCAACCAUAGUGGGCUUGGAGCUGUGAGGGAAUUUGGAGUGGCCACCCGUUCUGAAAGUUUGAUUUUCUUCUUGUGAACUGGAUAUCCUUUUAUUUACGUUUGAGGUUUGGGUUUUUAAAUGUAAUAAGGCCGCUUAAUUAUUUAUGAUGGUUUUAAUAUGUGUUACUAAGAUAAGUAUUACUUAUUUUAACUGUUGAAAUUGGAAAGCUUUAGGGCGCGUUUUCAAAUACAACAAUUGAUUUCAAAAUACCACGGCAACAAGCAAAGCUUCCGCAAUGAAAGUAUUUUCCAAAAUUAAUCACUUUUCCUAAAAAGGACUUAAUCAAAUUGGUUUCCUAUAAAUAUACAUGACGUUAAGUUGUGGCUGUACAAGCCCAAUUUUGGGCCCAAAACCCACUGAGCCCACUAAGCCUAAAACCCAAAACCCAAUUUCAAAGGAAACCCUAGCCCAUUACAUUAAUGAAAAACAAAAGAAGAAGCUAAGGAAACCCUAGCCGUCAGCACAUCUCCCCAUCCACCACCGACGCUUGCAAGUGGCCUCUGCUCCACCAUCGUUCGCCUACAACAUUUAAAAAGGAGAAUAGACAAAUAUUAAAAAAAGAAAUGUAGUGGCUAUUUAAAGCCAAAUCAGAGAACCAUGUAAGGGAGGGGAUUUUCUUUGAAAUGAAAAUGCAAUAUUAGAUUGUAAGAAUACUAGCAAAAAAACAGAUCCCAGCAACAUCGAAAGCAAAAAAAAACAGUCCAAACAAAGAGUCAAAAUCCAAUAGCCGAAGGUGAUUAUCAUCGUUAAUUCCUUUCCCUUUUUUAGUCUAUUUACCUAUAUACACCUACAUAUUAUAAAUAUAUUUUAAAACACAAAAAAGGGGAGAAAAUUUUACCUUUUCGAAACUCCAGCCACCGUGCACGGUGGCUGGCGACGGUGACGCACGGCGCUCCGGCGACCGGCCGGUGAUCCCCCCUGGCCGGAAAUCGCCCCUCUCCCCUCUCUCCUUUUUUUUUCUCUCCUCAGCAGCUAAAAUGAAAUUUUUUAGAAAUUUUCAGGCUUUUAUAGCCUACCAAAACGGCACCGUUUUGGUGCCUGGUCUAAAAUGCAGAAACGACGCCGUUUCAAGCAAUGACCCAAAGACCCGACCCGCCUAUGCCCAAGGUCCGCGUGUUUUUAGACUGAGGGGUUAUUUGCGCCCUCAGUCCUUCCGCUUUUCCAAGGCUUUACAAUUGAGCCUCGUUUAAUUUUAAUUUGGCCCUAAAAUUCACUUUGUUUUCAAUUUAGUACCUUUGCAAACUGCGCCGUUUUAGUAGAUCGGGAUAUUUACUCCUUUGAUCCCUCCUGGUCGCUCGCGUGUUCAAAUUAAUCCCUUUUUUCCUUCAUUUAUUUGAAAUUCGCCUCAAAAUUCCACUGUUAAUUCAAUUUCAUCCUUUUUUUUUACUUUUCCUCAUUAUUCUAAUUCAAUUCUAAUAUUAUUUAACAUAUUUUAUUAUUCUUGUAUUUUUAUUAAUAGUUCAUUAUUAUCAUUUUAUUAUAUAUAUUAUAAAGUGUUAUUGAUAGCUUAAUAUUAUUUUGUUAAUGUGUUUAUGUGUCAUAUAUGUAUUCAUUUAAUGUAUAUACAUUAUACUCCAUACUACGUAUAUAUGUAUUAGUAUUAUUAUGUAUAUUUACUCUUUUUAGACAUUACAUAUAUUUUACGUAUAUUAUGUAUAUAUUUUAAUAUAUUAUGUGUAUAUUUUGUUUUGUAUACAAUGUAUAUACAUCGUUAGUAUAUUAGUUAUAUGUAUUUAUCUCAUUUCAUGUACAUGUUAUGUAUAUGCAUCCAAUGUUAUCAUAUAUUUAUUUUCAACAUAUAUUUAUACAUAGUAAUACCACAUUAUUGUUAUUAUCAUCAUCUUUGUGAUUACUAUUAUCAUUGUAUUAUUACCCUUUUUUUUACUACCAUUAUUUUUUAUACAUAUAUAUAUCAUUAUUUGCAUUAGUACCAUUUUUAUUAUUAUUACUUUAUUACGGCUACUACUAGUAUUACUAUUAUUUCUUUAUUUUAUUACUAUUAUUAUUUUAUUUUAUUAUGCUGCCCUUAUUUUUACUACUAUUAUUGUCAUCGCUAUUAUAUUAUUAGCAUAUUAUUUUUAUUAAUACACUUUUUACCUUUUGUCAACAUUGUUAUUGUUUUUCUAUUUUAUAUAUUACUUAUUUAUUUAUCGAUUUAUUAUUAAGUUUCCUUUUAACUUAUUCUUCUUAUCCUUAUUUACUUUUAUCAUCUUAUUAUUUUUACCUAUUAUUCUCUUCUUCAAUUACAUAGCUCGUUUAUUUCUUUCAUUUUUUUGUCAUUCAUAUUACUCAUUUAUUAUAAUGCUUGUUAAGAUCAUGAUUUAUUUCUUUUUUCACGAAUUUGCGUUAUAUGAUCCUUCACCCAACAAAAAUAAUCCUUUCACAAAAAUAAUAUUCCGUAUUUGGAAAUUCGAGAAUCGUGCCCUAACUUACUGGGUUUCGACUUUUCUCAUUUAACCUAAACAACGGAAUAUAUUCUUUUUAAAUCACUAUAUGAGUUUUGAAAAAUGUUUAUUCUCGAAGAUGCGAAGUGUUGUGCCCUAACUUACCGGGUAUGACAUUUUGUCAUCUCGAAAUAAGAAUUUGUUUUGGAAUAAAGGCGAUGUUCGGAGUUUGAGAAUUCGAGAAAACGUGCCCUAACUUACUGGGUUUCGAUUCCUCUCGUUUACUCUAAAUAAUCGAAUACCCUUUUAAUAAAAUACAUAGAUUUUAUAAAAGGCAAGCUCGCUCUCGAAAAUUCAAGAUGUUGUGUCCUAACUCACUGGAUAUGACGUUUCAUAUUUUGAGACGAGAAGGUCUUUAAUAUUUAAGCAUGUUCUUUACAAAGAGAGAUCGUAUUUCAAAAGUCUUCCAAGUUUUCAAUCUUCAACACUAAGACACUAAUUAAUCAACUAGGUACCAAUUUUGGGCGUAUCGAGGGUGCUAAUCCUUCCUCGUGCGUAACCGACUCCCGAACCUGUUUUCUUGAUUUGCGUAGACCCAAAUUGUUGUUUAAAUAAACCAAGAUAUUUAUUAAAGACAACCAAUUUAACGAGGUGACCCGAUCACACCUAGUUAAAAAAAAAAGAUCAGUGGCGACUCCCGUUUCUUGUGUUCAUUUUCAAAAUCCAAGUCGAAUCCCGUUUUUCAAAAAAAAUGGUUACGACAGCUUGGCGACUCCACUGGGGACCAAAUAAGAGAGUCAAGCCACAAGUUGAUUAACUUUUGUCUUUCUGUCGAGAACUGAAAAUUUGAUUUUGAUAUACGAUCCUUUCAUUGCAUUUCACCCGUUUUUCUUGCAGUUUUCAUUAUUUUACUCCUAUUUUCUUUAAUCGCUUCGAGUUUUUAUGCAUAUAUCCUUGCACAUUGCAUUGCAUGACCGCUGUGGUCACACUCCUUUAAGUGGGAGUGAGAAACUACUCUUUCGUGAGGUUUUCACCUCCGUGCAGGAUAGUGGAUCGCUUUCGGGAUACAUCCGUACCUAUGUCUUCGUGAGAUUUUCAUCUCCGUGUAGCCAUAGGGAAAUGUAUUCCCCUGAACUGAACUCGGUCUGUAUGAGCCUAUAAUGGGUGAAGAUUGAGGAAUUUGCUGGUUCAGGUACCCUUAUUCUAGAACCAAACCCCAUGUAGCGAGCCUUAAGAACCCACCCUAGGUAGAGCCACUCUGAAACCCUAGUGGUCACCUGAGCAAGUGCUAUAUUUAUUAUUCUUUGUUUGCUUUGAAUUAUGUAUGAAUUACUGACUAGCUUUGUUUUACUUUGAUUGUAUUUGCAUGGCAUUUUCAUCAUAAAAGGUGUUGAUUCGCAUUUGGUUCCUAAAUAGAUAGCUUAUCAUGGAAAAGGGGUUUUUUGAUAAAGUAGAAGACAACGCGGCUGUCCGGAUAUGGGCUGAGACAACACAACGAGAGAAAGGUGACAGUCUUACCGAUGGGUAUGUGUCAGAGCUAUGGAAUUUUACUCGGAUCAGCGUAAAUCAGAAUAAUCUCCAAGAUAUGAAAGAAAUAUGGGGCCAGUGGGACGACGAGGUCAAACAGCUAUUCUAUUGUCAUUACGGUGAUUUACCUUAUCUGCUCGACGUCAAGGUAGACGAGCACUUGUUUAAAGCCCUUGCCCAAUAUUGGAAUUUUGCUUACAGUUGCUUCACUUUCGGGAAGGUAGAUUUGGCACCUACUAUAGAAGAAUACACGACCUUGCUCCAUUGCCCAAAGAUUCAGGUAGACAGAAUUGCUAACGUCCCAGCAUUUUCAAAAAAAUUGAUGAACAUCACAGGGAUGAGCGAACAGUGGGUGACAACUCGGAUCAAACAAAAAGGAGAUGGUAAAUGCAUUCCUUGGAGGAACCUGAGGGAUCUAAUCUUAGCGCACCCCGACGUAAAGAAAAGGGUAGAUGUCUUCGCCUUGAGCAUUUAUGGACUGGUCAUCUUCCCCAAGGCUUUGGGGCAUAUAGACGAGGCUGUUACCGACCUUUUUGACAGGCUUGGUAAAGGAACCACCCCCGUACUCGCAAUCUUGGCUGAAACUUUCAGAUCAUUAAAUGCUUGUAGAAGAGCGGGUGAAGGGAGAUUUAUUGGAUGUGCACAGCUCUUGCUAUCCUGGUUCCACAACCAUUUUUGAAAAGUGGAAAAGAUCUCGUAUCGCAUCUUCUCUAAAAAUUACUCUCCGCUGAAAGAGUUAAUGGCUACACCGAGGCGAGAUGAUGUGACAGAAGAAAAUUGGAUGACGGUUCUCCAAAAUCUGCAAGAAGAAGAUAUCGAAUGGAGAGCCCCGUGGAUGGUUCCUGAUGAAAUAUUAUACCGAUGCGAAGACUUUGAUUGGGUUCCCUUGUUAGGAGUAUGGGGGGCCGUCGGGUAUGCUCCUCUACUUGCAUUGCGACAAUACAGAUCCAGACAGUUCACACCACCAACAUACGGGUUAGCCCAGUGUGAGUUCGUGUUCACAGGGAAUAAUUACAAAAAGAAAGUUCGCGAGAUAUCAAAUACCUGGAACCAGACUCGUAGAAUGAAGAAGUUUGCCGCCAAUCCCAUGACUACUCCUGAGUACAACCGAUGGUGGAAUCAGAGGAUUAACGACAACAUCCCUACGUCAGAUCAAGGGAAUCCUCAGUCGAUAGAAGAGCACUUGAAAGUAAUCCCAUCUGAGCUAGAAAUCAUCAGGCAAGAUUUCGAGAGAAAGAGUCUGGAGCUAGAAAAAAGGAUCGAGCAGUUGGAAGAAGAAAAGAUGCAGUUAGGGUUAGACGUCGAUGCCCAGAAACUAGAAGCUGAAAGACUCAGAAAAGGGAAAAACAAGGCCGAAGAGGGCUUAGACAGUUUGAAAACGGACUAUAAGAAGCUGCGUAAAUCAAUGAGAACCGCUAGGUUAGGAAAAACAUCCGAACAAUGGCGACGUGAAGUUAAAGAAGAAUAAACCAAAGCCAACCAGUGGGAGGAAAAAUUUCGCGAUACUCAAGCUCGAAAAGGUACGCUGAAAAGAAGUUUGGUAGAAAGCCAGAAUGAGAAAGAAGGGUUAAAGACUCGGGUAUCAGAGUUAGAGAGGUCAUUGUAUCAGUAUCGCUCGCGUAACUCUGCAAUCGAGUUGAAAGCUAGUCAGAACAGAAUCGAAGAAUGAAAAGAGAAUAUAGAAGAACUCAAAACAGUGCUGCAAAAUCGUGAACUUCAGAUAGAACUCCUCGAGGUAAAUAACGAGCGAUGGAAGGAGCAACUUCAUCAAUCUCAAGACCAAGUCAGGAGCAGGGACUACAUCAUGGGCGAAGCUUUGAUUCAAGUACGAGAAGUGGCUGACCACUUGCAAACAUUAGCAGUACAAGCCGAUAUGCUGAGUUUAAAAUACGAGUCAGAAUCGGACCGAGGCCAAAAGCUAGCUCAGAUUCUUAGACAGGUCAAGGCCUUAAGUAUCAGGGCCAAGCCUUAUAUGUAAUCUAUUUUAUGUAAAGAAACUUGUUUUCUAGAAAAGUUACUCUAAUGAAAUCGAAUUGGAAUCAACGCUUUUUUGCAUUCAUUACAUUCAUGUAUCGGCAUUGCAUCGCAUGCACUAAAACUCACAGAAAACCCUAAAAAUCGUGACAGUUACCCUGGAACAUCGUUACGGUACAAGAGGAAAAACAAGAGCAAUGGAUCAAAGGUUAGAGAGAUUGGAACAAAUGCAAAAAGAGAUACAGGAUCAACUACAAACACGUAUGCAAGAACAGCUGGCCAAAAUCCAGCAAGAUGUAAGGGACCAGAUGCUGGAGUCCCAAAGGAGUAUGAUGGAUCAAUUAACGCGUCUAUUGGCUGGUGGAUUAGAAAAAGGGAAAAGCCCCAUGAUCAAUGCUGGAGAUGACAACGAAGACCCCGUCUACCCUCCGGGGUUUGUCCCAGCGGAUAUUCAAACACAACCUGAUGUGUACCCAAGAAGGCCAUCAGUCACAAUCAGGCCUCAACCAUUUCAAGCCGGUGUCUCGGCACAGAUGAAUUAUCAGGCCGGCUCGGGCUCUAAUCCGGGGGACAUUCCAACCAACCCUGUGGUCCUCAAUCUUGAUGAAGUAAUAGAAGCAGAAAAGACAAGGGUAGAACUCCCGAGAGAGCUUGAAGAAAGGUGUAGAUGGUUGGAAGAAAAAUUUAAAGAAAUGGAAAGCACCGACUAUCGUGGUGGAAUCGACGCUAAGGAAUUAAGUUUGGUUCCAGACCUGGUACUCCCUCCCAAGUUCAAAACUCCGGAAUUUGAGAAAUACAACGGGACUAGCUGUCCCGAAGCUCACAUCACUAUGUUCUGCAGACGAAUGGCAGGCCAUGUCAACAAUGACCAGCUAUUAAUUCACUGCUUCCAAGAAAGUCUGGUUGGGGCCGCUUCUAGAUGGUACAACCAACUGAGUCGUGCCCAGAUCAGUUCAUGGAAAGAUUUAGCACAAGCCUUCAUGAAACAGUACGGUCAUGUGACAGACAUAGCCCCUGAUAGAAUCACUUUACAGAAUAUGGAAAAGAAGCAUAAUGAGAGCUUUAGGCAGUACGCCCAGCGAUGGAGAGAAGUGGCCACACAGGUCCAACCCCCUCUGUUGGAAAAGGAAACUACUAUGCUCUUCAUCAAUACCCUGAAGGCACAUUUUAUUAACCAUAUGUUGGGUAACGCAACCAAGAGUUUUUCGAACAUAGUAAUGUCUGGAGAAAUGAUAGAAAAUGCCAUAAGAUGUGGGAAAAUAGAGGCUGGGGAAAAUACUAAGAGGACAGCACCGAGAAAGAAAGAGUACGAGGUGAAUAAUGUGAGCUCAUAUUCGAAGCCGAUCACCGUAAGCCAACCAAGGUCGACAACUACUGGACAGCAGGGCCCACCCCGACAAGAGCCCGACACAAAACAAAACAGGGAGAAACUUCAAUUUACGCCCAUUCCAAUGACGUACAAGGAGUUAUACUAGAGUUUAUUUGAUGCACAUGUCGUGUCUCCCUUCUAUCUAAAGCCAAUGCAACCUCCAUACCCCAAAUGGUAUGACGCAAAUGCCCAAUACGAAUACCAUGCGGGAGCCACAGGACACUCGAUAGAAAAUUGCACCACUUUCAAUAAAUUGGUUGAAAGACUCAUCAACAUGGGGAUUGUGAAAUUUGAUGAUGCAUCCAAUACAGAGAAUCCAUUACCUAACCAUGGGGAUAAGGGAAUAAAUGCGAUAAUCCAGAGUUUGGGGAAAGAAAUUAAAAUGAAUGUUGCAGAAGUGAAUACCCCGUUGAAAGAAGUAUGGAAGAAAAUGGUGGAAAGAGGUUUGAUGACACAGAAUUCGGGGGUCAAGCCUCAGGAAGCGAAGAAUUAUUGUGAGUUCCACGAUCAAGAGGAUCAUGAGAUUCAAAAAUGCAGCCAAUUUAGGGCUUUAGUACAAGGAUUGAUGGAUAAUAAGGAGCUGGAAUUCUUCGAAUAUGUCGGGAGCCUGGAAGAAGCAGAUAUGUGUGCCUCCGAAGAGGGGUCAAUGAAGGAUAAUUACAAAGUCAACCACCCAGUGGUUAUCAUAUCAUGUCCGAGAAUGAAUGAAGCCGGGGCACGAGUUGCGCCAAAGGUCGUAAUCCAAAAGCCCGUUGCUUUUCCUUAUGAAGAUAGCAAAAGGGUACCGUGGAACUAUAGCUGCAAUGUGACAUUCCCAGGAAAGGAGACCCCGAUUAAUGCAUUAGAGAAAGUUCAAGACGAAGGUUUUUAUACGAGCAACGGAAGGCGUUAUACCUUAAAUACAAAAGUCGAGCAGGUUAAAGAAAAAUCAUUAGCAAUUGAGCAAAAGAAAGAGAAGCUGGCGCGGCCUGAACCAAUUGUUAAUGAAUCAGUGACCGAAAAAGAAUCCAAGAAAUUCUUAAAAUUCCUAAAGCAUAGUGAAUAUAGUGUCGUAGAACAGUUGCACAAACAGCCAGCGCGUAAUCGGUACUGGCCUUACUUUUAAGUUCCGAAACUCAUCGCAGCGCAUUGAUGAAGGUGCUGAAUGAAACUUAUGCUGCUAACGAUACCUCUGUAAACAAACUAGACCGCUUAGUCAACAAUAUAAGUGCCGACAAAUUCAUAUUCUUCAAUGACGAUGAGGUACCGCCAGGGGGCCGAGGAUCAACUAAAGCUUUGCACAUCACGACUCGCUGUAAAGGGUACACGUUACCGGGGGUAUUGAUUGACAAUGGGUCUGCACUGAAUGUCUUACCCCUAUCUACGCUGAGUAGGUUGCCAGUAGAUAGUUCCCAUAUGAAGAUAUGCCAAAGUGUAGUGAGAGCAUUUGAUGGCACAGAAAGGAGGGUAAUGGGGGAAUUGAAGUACCCCUCUUAAUCGGACCGAGCACAUACGAGGUAGAUUUCUUGGUCAUGGACAUUAAGCCUUUGUAUAAUUGCCUAUUGGGGAGGCCAUGGAUACACUCAGCGGGGGCAGUCCCUUCAUCACUGCAUCAAAAGUUGAAAUUAGUGACCGAAGGUCGGUUAGUAACAAUCAAUGCUGAAGAGGACAUCAUCGCGGCAAUAACCAAUGAUGCCCCAUAUCUGGAGGCAGAUGAUGAAGCGAUCGAGUGCUCUUUUCGAUCUUUGGAGUUUGUGAACGCGACGUUCAUCAUCGGAGGAAAUAAGAUUCCAAUGUCCAGGUUAUCUGAGACUACAAGAAUGGGACUACGGUUAACUGUUGGAAAUGGGGCUCUACCCGGAAGAGAACUCGGGAGAUACCUCCAGGGAAGGAUUAAUGUACCAAUGAUGAAGGACAAAUAAGACCGUUUUGGGUUAGGGUUUAAGCCGGACAUGAAACAAAGAAAGAAGGAACUUGAGAAGAAGCAAGAAAGAAGGAGAGCGCGAUUGAGCGGGGGAGAAAUCGAAUGGGAACCAAUGAUCUUCACCCAUAUAUCGAAGACUUUUGUGUCUAGAGAGGUCAUUCACUCCGAGCAAAAGACGUCAGGAAAGGAAAUCUUGAAAGGAAUGAUGGAGAGUUUGGACAUCAACGCCACAUAUGAAGAGGGGACGGGGGUAGAGAAUUUGUCAGGCAUUCGCCCCUAUGAGUCGGGAAGUGUUCUGAAUAAUUGGACUGCGGAAAAGAUUCAUGUAGUCUUUAGAACUAACUCAGAGUAAUGUCCAAAACACACUUAUUGCUCUAGGCCUAGGAGUAACAAGUGUCAUUUUGUGAAAUAGGCUUAUGUUCGAAAUCGUUAUUUCAAUGAAAUGCAUCCUUUUGACUUAUUCCGUGCAAAUAUUCUUUUAUUAUUUCAUUCAUGAUCAUACCAAACAUAUCAUUGUUCUUAGAUUCUCUUGUUCUUUGCAUCUCCCUUCACACCUACAACAGGUCUCCAGAUAUCAAUGAUGCGAGUGACGUUGCUACUAAUUCAGAAUCCACUUUUGAGCAAGAUAUGUGUUUAGAGGGAUCCCAAGACUUUGAGGAUGACGGAGACUGUAACUUAUCCCCUGAUUUGUUAAGGAUGGUAGAACACGAGGAGAAACAAAUUCUACCCCACAAAGAGACCGUAGAAGUCGUGAACUUGGGAGAUGAACUAGAAAGGAGAGAAGUAAAGAUCGGAACUUGCAUCACCACAAAGACAAAGCGGGACCUUAUUGAGUUACUCCAAGAGUUCAAGGAUGUCUUUGCAUGGUCAUAUCAGGAUAUGCCUGGGCUAAGUACUGACAUUGUGGUACACAGGCUCCACAUCAAAGAAGAAUGCAAGCCAGUUCAGCAAAAGCUUCGAAGGAUGCGGCCCGAUGUUCUGUUGAAGAUAAAAGAGGAGGUCAAGAAAUUUGAUGCUGGUUUCUUACAAGUAGUUAAGUACUCGGAAUGGGUAGCCAACAUCGUCCCCGUCCCUAAAAAAGAUGAAAAUGUACGGAUGUGUGUAGACUACAGAGACUUAAACAAGGCCAGCCCGAAAGAUAAUUUCCCGUUGCCUCAUAUCGACACCUUAGUGGACAACACGGCAGGUUACUCACUCUUCUCCUUCAUGGAUGGUUUCUCGGGGUACAAUCAGAUCAAGAUGCAUUCUGAAGACAUGAAUAAAACCACAUUUGUGACCAUGUGGGGAACCUUUUGCUAUAAAGUAAUGCCGUUCGGAUUGAAAAAUGCGGGAGCAACAUAUCAGAGAGCCAUGGUAACCCUAUUUCAUGAUAUGAUGCAUAAAGAAAUUGAAGUCUAUGUCGACGACAUGAUCGCCAAAUCUCGGACUGAAGAAGAGCAUGUGCAAGUCUUGAGGAAAUUAUUUUUGAGGUUGAGAAAAUUCCAGUUAAAACUCAACCCCGCAAAAUGUACCUUCAGAGCCAGGUCUGGAAAACUGCUAGGAUUCGUGGUCAGUGGAAAGGGGAUUGAGAUUGACCCAGAUAAAGUCAAAGCCAUACAAGAGUUACCCCCACCACGUACUCAUAAGGAAGUUCGAGGGUUCCUAGGAAGACUAAAUUACAUCGCUCGAUUUAUUUCACAACUAACCGAGAAAUGUGACCCCAUAUUCCGUCUCCUUAAGAAACACAACCUUGGUGGUUGGGACGAGGAAUGCCAGAAGACUUUCGACAAAGUUAAGCAAUAUUUGUCUAAUGCCCCAGUGUUGACACCACCUAAUCCAGAUAAGCCAUUGAUACUGUAUUUGACGGUAUUUGAAAAUUCUAUGGGAUGCGUGCUUGGCCAACACGAUGAAUCGGGAAGGAAAGAAAGAGCGGUAUAUUACCUCAGUAAAAAGUUUACUGAGUGUGAGACGAGAUACUCGUUCAUUGAAAAAUUGUGCUGUGCCUUGAUCUGGACAACCCGAAGACUGAGACAAUACAUGUUGUAUCACACAACUUGGCUAAUCUCUAAAAUGGACCCUCUGAAAUACUUGAUGGAGUCGACUGCCUUGAACGGGAGAAUGGCCCGAUGACAAAUUCUACUUUCCGAAUUCGAUAUAGUCUAUGUGAACCAGAGGGCCGUAAAAGGAAGUGCGAUAGCAGAUUUCCUAGCCAGCAGAGCCCUAGAAGACUACGAGCCUCUGAACUUUGAUUUCCCAAAUGAAGCUCUAAUGUGCAUAGCAACCGCGGAAGAAAACCCUCAAGAAAGUCACCCUUGGAAGCUAAACUUUGACGGAGCAUCAAAUGCCGUGGGUAACGGAAUCGGGGCAGCUCUGGUGUCCCCGAAUGGAGAUCAUUAUCCAUUCACUAGUAAAUUGGAUUUUGACUGCACGAACAAUAUGGUAGAAUAAGAAGCAUGCAUCAUGGGAAUACGUGCUGCCAUAGAACGUAAAAUCAAGGUGUUAGAGGUAUAUAGAGAUUCUGCCCUAGUGAUUUAUCAACUCAAAGGUGAAUGGGAGACAAGAGACCCCAAAUUGAUCAAUUACCGAAAGUUGAUCCUUGAGUUAAUUAAAGAGUUUGAUGAUAUUGUCUUCUACUACCUCCCACGAGAAGAAAAUCAGAUGGCUGACGCCUUAGUAACUUUAGCUUCUAUGAUCAAGGUGAACCAACCAGAGGAUGUGAAACCAAUCCAAAUGAACAUUUACGAGGCCCCGGCUCAUUGUUACAACCUUGAAGAAGAAGAGGAAAAUGAUGAUCACCCUUGGUACCAUGAUAUCCUACGAUAUGUGAAGAAUCGUGAGUACCCCAACCAAGCUACUGAAAACGACAAGAGAACGUUGAGAAGACUGGCCAGUGACUAUGUCUUAGAUGGGGAGAUCCUGUACAAAAGAAGGAAGGAUCAGGUAAUAUUAAGAUGUGUAGACGCCAUUGAGGCUAAGAAAAUCUUGGAAGAAGUCCACGAAGGCGUCUGUAGGACACACGCUAAUGGUUUUACAAUGGCCAGGCAAAUUAUGAGGUUCGGUUAUUAUUGGUCCACCAUGGAAGGAGACUGUAUUAACUACGCCAAAAGAUGUCAUAAGUGCCAAAUCUAUGGAGACAAGAUUAAUGUACCUCCCUCACCUCUGCAUGUCAUGACCUCGCCAUGGCCUUUCUUGAUGUGGGGCAUGGAUGUGAUUGGGCCAAUUUUGCCAAAAGCUUCAAAUGGGCGUCGUUUCGUCUUUGUGGUCAUCGAUUAUUUCACCAAAUGGGUGGAGGCCGCUUCAUAUGCCAAUAUUACUAAAUCAGCAGUUAGCAAGUUCUUGAAAAAGGAAAUCAUCUGUCGAUAUGGAAUGCCGGAAAGGAUCAUAUCUGACAACGCAUUGAAUUUGAACAACAGCACGAUAGUGGAUGUCUGCAGUCAGUUCAAGAUCAGACACCACAACUCGUCACCGUAUCGUCCGAAGAUGAACGGUGCAGUCGAAGCAGCCAAUAAGAAUAUCAAGAAGAUUGUAGGAAAGAUGACAGAAACUUAUAAAGAUUGGCAUGAGAAGCUACCAUUCGCCCUCUAUGCUUAUCGAACGUCUAUCAGAACUUCUACUGGAGCAACGCCUUUCUCAUUAGUCUAUGGAAUGGAGGAAGUUUUACCUAUCGAGGUCGAGAUCCCUUCCCUUAGAGUUUUGUCAGAAGUAAAGUUGGAUGAAGCAGAAUGGAUCCAGUCCCGAUACGAUCAGUUGAAUUUGAUUGAAGAAAAGAGGCUACGGGCUAUUCGCCAUGGUCAGAUGUACCAAAAGCGAAUGAUGCGAGCUUACAACAAAAAGGUUCAUCCCAGAUAGUUCCACGAGGGAGACCUAGUACUGAAAAAGAUCCCGUCCAUACAAAAAGACUUCAGAGGAAAAUGGAUGCCGAAUUGGGAAGGGCCUUAUGUGAUGAAGAAAGCCUUUUCUGGCGGAGCAUUGAUAUUGGCUGAAAUGGAUGGCAAGACCUUAUCCAAUCCCGUGAAUUCGGAUUCGGUUAAGAAAUACUUCGCCUAAAAAAAAAGGGCCAGGGUGAAAACUCGCAAAUAGCACCUUUAGACCAAAGGGAUUUUGAAUUGAAAACCCGUAAAAGGCGAUUCAAAUUUUGAUCAAAGGUGGGGCAUGCGAUGGUCUUAUGAUACCUAAAUUAACAAGGAGGAGAGAUGUUACAUCUUGGGGCAUCUGCAAGAGUACUCUAGAUCCCCUAAACACAUAUUGGGCAAAAAAAGAAGUCCUCAAGAAGUCAGUACAGAAACUCACGCUGCAAUAUCUGGGGCACCUAUUCCCUUUUAUUCAUUUUGUAUUCCAGCAAUGUUUGUUGACUGUGAUUAAUAUAUUCCCUUCAAAUGUUGUUUCUGAUAAAUUUCAGUUUUGUCAUUGUUAUAAUCUUUUUCAAGCAUUUUGCAUUGAAAUGAUGAUUAAUGGACUAAAACCAUUUUUGCAAAAAGAGUUCUGCACAUUACUCCGAAAGUUUCUAAAUAGUACAGGAACCUGAAACAGGACUAUUAUUUAGAACUAACCAAACUCAAAGAUUGGAAGCAUCUGAGAAGAAAGAGUUUAAAUUGGGACUACCUCUUCGGGUUUUCUGUUCAAAAUUUGAGCUGACCAAGAAGACAAGGUACCAUUUCAGUAAAGAAACCUUGAUUAACAAAAAGCAAUGGCAACCUAAACAGGGAUUCACGCUCACAACAUGCUAUACUCAUACAUUCAUAGAUCAUUCAUAAGUGCAUCUAAUUAGGAACAUUUGAUUCAUUUUGAUCAUAACAUCUUAAUUCUUUGACAUAAGCAUAAAUACAUGGAACUGAUUCUACAGGUCAUGUCCCUAGAAUCAGUGAAUUCAUAGAUCUUAUCACCCUAAGCAGUAGGGAAAUAAAUCGAAGAUAAUGAGCUUUAACCCCCUAAGCAGUAGGGUAACAAGCCAAAUUUACAGACCUUAAUCCCCUAAGUAGUAGGGUAAUAGGCUGAAAAUUACAGAUCUUGUCUCCCUGAAGUUGCAGUGGAAUAGAUCGAAUCCAGCGAAUCUUGUCUUCCUGAAGUUGCAGUGAAGCAGAUUGAAGAUUUACAGAUCUCACCCCCUAAGCAGUAGGGAAGCAGAUCAGAAGACAGCGAAUCUUGCCCUCCUGAAGUUACAGUGAAGCAGAUUCAAACUACCAAAUUUUAACCCCCUAAGCAGUAGGGUAACAAGCCAAAUUCACCAGACCUUAACCCCCUAAGCAGUAGGGUAAUAGGCUGAAAAUUACAAAUCUCGUCUCCCUGAAGUUGCAGUGGAACAGAUCAAAUCCAGCGAAUCUGUCUUCUUGAAACCUCAGUGGAGCAGACUGAAGUUACAAGUCUCAUCUCCUUGAAGUCGCAGUGGAGCAGACUAAAUUUACAGACCUUAAACCCCUAAGCAAUAGGGUAACAUGUUGAAUUCAAAGGGCUUUAACCCCCCUAAGCAGUAGGGUAACAAGUCGAAUUUGCAGAUCUUAUCACCCUAAGCAGAAGGGAAACAAAUCAAAGAAGAUGGGCCUUAACCCCCUAAGCAAUAGGGUAAUAGGCUGAAAAUUAUAGAUUUCGUCUCCCUGAAGUUACAGUGGAGCAGAUCAAAUACAUCAAAUUUUGCCUCCUCGAAUGCAGUGAAGCAGAUUCAAACCACCAAGCUUUAACCCCCCUAAGCAGUAGGGUAACAAGUUGAAGUAUAGAUAUUAUUGCCCUAAGCAAUAGGGUAACAAGCCAAAUUUUCAAACCUUAAAACCCCUAAGCAGUAGGGUAACAGGUUGAGUUUACAGAUCUAAACCCCUAAGCAGUAGGGAAACAGAUCAAUGAUGACAAGCCUUAACCCCCUAAGCAGUAGGAUAACAGGUUGAAAAUCAAAUAUCCUCUCCCUGAAAUGGCGUUGGAGCAACUAAAAACCACAGCAGAUCUCCUUGAAGUUUCAGUAGAUUAAACGAAGCUACAGCAGAUCUCCUUGAAGUUUCAGUGGAAUUGAUUGAAGUCACGUGUCUUAUCUCCAUGGAGUUGUAGUGGAGCAGAUCAAAACAAACCUUACCUUCUUGAAGUUGUAGUAGAGCAGUGAAGUGAAGUGAAGCAACAAGAUUGGAAUAAAGCUACCUGGAGAAAAUGAGCGCUAAACAAGUCCAGACACAGUGAGACCGGCAAAAUUGGUCUUUCUUAAGUCUUUGCUUUGUUCUCGUUACACGACAACAAGCAAACAGGGGCAGCUGUACAAGCCCAAUUUUGGGCCCAAAACCCACUGAGCCCACUAAGCCUAAAACCCAAAACCCAAUUUCAAAGGAAACCCUAGCCCAUUACAUUAAUGAAAAACAAAAGAAUAAGCUAAGGAAACCCUAGCCGUCAGCACAUACUCCCCAUCCACCACCGACGCCUGUAAGUGGCCUCUGCUCCACCAUCGUUCGCCUGCAACAUUUAAAAAGGAGAAUAGACAAAUAUUAAAAAAAGAAAUGUAGUGGCUAUUUAAAGCCAAAUCAGAGAACCAUGUAAGGGAGGGGAUUUUCUUUGAAAUGAAAAAGCAAUAUUAGAUUGUAAGAAUACUAGCAAAAAAACAGAUCCCAGCAACAUCGAAAGCAAAAAAAAACAGUCCAAACAGAGAGUCAAAAUCCAAUAGCCGAAGGUGAUUAUCAUCGUUAAUUCCUUUCCCUUUUUUAGUCUAUUUACCUAUAUACACCUACAUAUUAUAAAUAUAUUUUAAAACACAAAAAAAUGGGAGAAAAUUUUACCUUUUCGAAAUCGCCCCCUGGCCGGUGAUCCCCCCUAGCCGAAAAUCGCCCCUCUCCCCUCUCUCCUUUUUUUUUUCUCUCCUCAGCAGCUAAAAUGAAAUUUUUUAGAAAUUUUCACGCUUUUAUAGCCUACCAAAACGGCACCGUUUUGGUGCCUGGUCUAAAAUGCAGAAACGACGCCGUUUCAAGCAAUGACCCGAAGACCUGACCCGCCUAUGCCCAGGGUCCGCGUGUUUUUGGACUGAGGGGUUAUUUGCGCCCUCAGUCCUUCCGCUUUUCCAAGGCUUUACAAUUGAGCCUCGUUUAAUUUUAAUUUGGCCCUAAAAUUCACUUUGUUUUCAAUUUAGUACCUUUGCGAACUGCGCCGUUUUAGUAGAUCGGGAUAUUUACUCCUUUGAUCCCUCCUGGUCACUCACGUGUUCAAAUUAAUCCCCUUUUUCCUUCAUUUAUUUGAAAUUCGCCUCAAAAUUCCACUGUUAAUUCAAUUUCAUCCUUUUUUUUACUUUUCCUCAUUAUUCUAAUUCAAUUCUAAUAUUAUUUAACAUAUUUUAUUAUUGUUGUAUUUUUAUUAAUAGUUCAUUAUUAUCAUUUUAUUAUAUAUAUAUUAUAAAGUGUUAUUGAUAGCUUAAUAUUAUUUUGUUAAUGUGUUUAUGUGUCAUAUAUGUAUUCAUUUAAUGUAUAUACAUUAUACUCCAUACUACGUAUAUAUGUAUUAGUAUUAUUAUGUAUAUUUACUCUUUUUAGACAUUACAUAUAUUUUACGUAUAUUAUGUAUAUAUUUUAAUAUAUUAUGUGUAUAUUUUGUUUUGUAUACUAUGUAUAUACAUCGUUAGUAUAUUAGUUAUAUGUAUUUAUCCCAUUUCAUGUACAUGUUAUGUAUAUGCAUCCAAUGUUAUCAUAUAUUUAUUUUCAACAUAUAUUUAUACAUAGUAAUACCACAUUAUUGUUAUUAUCAUCAUCUUUGUGAUUACUAUUAUCAUUGUAUUAUUACCCUUUUUUUUACUACCAUUAUUUUUUAUACAUAUAUAUAUAAUUAUUUGCAUUAGUACCAUUUUUAUUACUAUUACUUUAUUACGGCUACUACUAGUAUUACUAUUAUUUCUUUAUUUUAUUACUAUUAUUGUUUUAUUUUAUUAUGCUGCCCUUAUUUUUACUACUAUUAUUGUCAUCGCUAUUAUAUUAUUAGCAUAUUAUUUUUAUUAAUACACUUUUUACCUUUUGUCAACAUUGUUAUUGUUUUUCUAUUUUAUAUAUUACUUAUUUAUUUAUUGAUUUAUUAUUAAGUUUCCUUUUAACUUAUUCUUCUUAUUCUUAUUUACUUUUAUCAUCUUAUUAUUUUUACCUAUUAUUCUCUUCUUCAAUUACAUAGCUCGUUUAUUUCUUUCAUUUUUUUGUCAUUCAUAUUACUCAUUUAUUAUAAUGCUUGUUAAGAUCAUGAUUUAUUUCUUUUUUCACGAAUUUGCGUUAUAUGAUCCUUCACCCAACAAAAAUAAUCCUUUCACAAAAAUAAUAUUCCGUAUUUGGAAAUUCGAGAAUCGUGCCCUAACUUACUGGUUUUCGACUUUUCUCAUUUAACCUAAACAAUGUAAUAUAUUCUUUUUAAAUCACUAUACGAGUUUUGAAAAAUGUUUAUUCUCGAAGAUGCAAAGUGUUGUGCCCUAACUUACCGGGUAUGACAUUUUGUCAUCUCGAAAUAAGAAUUUGUUUUGGAAUAAAGGCGAUGUUCGGAGUUUGAGAAUUCGAGAAAACGUGCCCUAACUUACUGGGUUUCGAUUCCUCUCGUUUACUCUAAAUAAUCGAAUACCCUUUUAAUAAAAUACAUAGAUUUUAUAAAAGGCAAGCUCGCUUUCGAAAAUUCAAGAUGUUGUGUCCUAACUCACUGGAUAUGACGUUUCAUAUUUUGAGACGAGAAGGUCUUUAAUAUUUAAGCAUGUUCUUUACAAAGAGAGAUCAUAUUUCAAAAGUCUUCCAAGUUUUCAAUCUUCGACACUAAGACACUAAUUAAUCAACUAGGUAUCAAUUUUGGGCGUAUCGAGGGUGCUAAUCCUUCCUCGUGCGUAACCGACUCCCGAACCUGUUUUCUUGAUUUACGUAGACCCAAAUUGUUGUUUAAAUAAACCAAGCUAUUUAUUAAAGACAACCACUUUAACGAGGUGACCCGAUCACACCUAGUUAAAAAAAAAGAUCGGUGGCGACUCCCGUUUCUUGUGUUCAUUUUCAAAAUCCAAGUCGAAUCCCGUUUUUCAAAAAAAAUGGUUACGGCAGUGGCAAUGGCGACAUGCAUGUCUAGGACUGGAUCCGAAGGGAGCUUGGUACUUAAGCAGUCCGAUGGACUCACCUCCUCUUUUCUGGUUUCCUACCUGGUGCACAACUUCCAUUCACUUUAACCUAUAAUGAAAUUAUCUUUUGAAACACUAAGUAAGUUUUUCAGGAUAAAAAAUGUUCUGAAUGCUUCGAUGUGGCAUGUCGGAUCCGGCCAUAACGUCUAGGCCGGGUUUGGGGUGUUACAAGAUUUUUUAGGGAGAGCAAUUUCUAAUUAGGAAAUUAAGACUGUUCUAUUUGAUAUGACCCCUUUAAAGUCUCUUGGUAGUGAUGGUUUCCAUGCCUGCUUCUUUCAGAAUCAGUGGGAUGUUAUUGGGGAGGCUAUUCGUGAUUGGGUUAAAAGUGUCUUUAAUAGAGAUUCUAUUGAUCAAGAGCUUAAUAUUACUUUCAUUGUUCUUGUGCCUAAAGUUCCUAAUCCUGAGGAGUUUUCAAAAUUUUGACCUAUUAGCCUCUGUUCCAUUUUAUACAAGCUUGUUAUGAAGGUAAUAGCCAAUCACUUCUGUCGAAACCCUUUUUUCGAGUUAGAAAAAAUGGGGAUCGACUUUUAAAAAUGAAUAUGGAGUCGCCACCAACCUUUUGUUUAGGUGUGAUUGGAUCACCUAAUAAAACAUUUUAAAACAAUCCUGGUUCACAAAAAUUUAAAAAUGGGUUCGGAAGUCGGUUAUGCAUGAGGAAGGGUUAGCACCCUCAUUACGCCCAAAAAUUGGUACCAAAUUGAUUUGAUGCUGUCCUUAUAUCAAAAGUUUUAAAAGAAAAGAUUUUCCGAAGUAUGAUUUUUUUAAAAUGCUGAAUAGCUCAAAUUAGCGGUCAAAAAUCUCUCGUUUCAAAGAUGUGCAGCAACAUACCCAGUACGAUUGGAUACGAUCCUUUAUACCUUUAAAAAUACGAUUGAUUUUUGACUUUUGAAAACUCGUAUGCUAAAAUUAUAAAAAGGUCAUCCAAAUAUUUGGUUCACCGAAAAAUCAUACCCAGUACGAUUGAGCACGAUUUUCCGAACUCCCCACAUAUUGGAUAUUGCCUUAUUUUAGAAUUUUUGAAUGAUAAAGAAAAUUGGAGACUUGCUCAAAACACGUUUACCCGUUUUAAAAUGGAAUGCUUAAUGAAUUGUAUCAAAACGUUUAUAUGAAAAAGGGUAGUGAACAUAAAAAAUAGGAUAUAACAAGUUACAAUUAACAAAUCCAACAAAUUAUAUAAAACUAUUCUAAGUAAAUCGUGACCAAAUCCUUAAUCAUGGAUGAUGAAUAAUCAAUAAAAAUGAUAUACAACAAUAAUUCACAUGACAUAAUAUAAAAUUAUCCAUAAAAUAUGUACAAAAUAAAAUGGAAUUAUAGGUUAAUAUGGUAUGGGAUAUUUUCAAAAAGUUUGAAUCGAAUUAUGUGCACAUUAUUUUAAACAGGAAUUCAUCUAAAAAUGACCAAAUGCAUAGUAAUUUGAAUAACGUAUAAAAAUAUGAAGUAAUAAUAAAAAUACAUGAUAAGAUAUAAUAUACAUAAUAACUUCAUAAAACACACAUAUAUAUAUAAAUAAAUUUGAAAAUAUUUGUUUUAAAAAAAAUGGCACGGAAUUGAUAAUGUGUGAAAAAUUAAAUAAAUAUAUAAAUAAUACAUAAGCAAAUUUAGAAAACAUAAUCAUAUACACUAUAAGGGUAAAAAACCUAUAUUUACAAAAAAUUCACAUUUAGUGAUGUAUACUUAUAAAAUUAUAGUUAUACAGGGAAAUUUAAAAAUAAAUAAUAUAUAUAACAUAAUUUUACAUGUGACAAUUUAAUUCGGAUUGAUAAAACAUAUAAAUAAUACCUGCACAAAGAUAAUAUAAGAACGUAUACAAUAAAUAAGUUGCAUGAUUUAAAAUAUGGUUCUUAAAAAAAUAUUAUAUGCAUAAAUAACUUUAAAGAAAAAUAUAUAUACAUAAAAAAUAUUGAUAUGAAAACAAUAACGUGGACUAUAAAAAUAAUUUAACAUGAAUUAUGUACAAUAGUAAUUUUUUUUUAAAAACACAAAAGAUGUAGGACUUUUCUUUAAACAACAUAGAUGUGUAAUAAGAUAUAGAAAUAAAUUUAAGAGAAAUUAUGUGCAUAAAAUAAUACAAUAUUAAUAAUAUACAUAGAAUAAAACUAAUUUUAUCAUGAAUUACAUAUAUAAAUAAUAUAAGGGUAAUUUAAAUUAAAGAUUAUAUCAAGGUUUAUGAUACAAAAUGGAAUAAUAAUUUUAUACUUUUAAACAAAACAAAGCAAACUUAUCCACGUAACUUAGAAUGCAUGUAAUUAAGAUUUGCAAGAUAGAUGUUAAAUGAGUAGAAAACAUGAUGAAUUAUACGAACUGAAAUAGUAACUUAAUUGAACUAAAAUCAAAUUAAAAGGUAUAAUUAAUAAAUAAAAUAAGCCAUUAAGAAAGAAAUAAGGACCAAAGUGUGACGCACGUGAACGUAUGGGACUAGAAUUGAAAAUCUCCCCUAUCUCAAAAUACAGCACCAUAUCGUGGACUAAAGUGAAAGCACGCACAAAUCAAAGAGCCAAAUUAAAAAAUCAGGCAAAACAAAUCAGGCGCAAUUGACUAGUUCAACAAAGUACAAGGACCACGCGCGAAAAUUGACCAUUCAAGGUCAAAAGCGCGGAUCCGGGGCACAGAAUGGGUCAAUGCGCGGAUCUUCUUCCCUUGGCCAGCGCCGUUUAUUAUUCUGCAUAAAAUGAAGUUAAAAAAACCCUAAAACUAACAUUUAUCACCUAAAAACAAAUCAAAAUAAAGAAAAAAUCUAAAGCCUAUCUCUCUUCUUCAUUUGGCAGAACUUAAAGCAUCCUUCCACCGUCGUUUAGCCUCCGUUUUCUGUAGACGAUCGUCGCACGAAGGCUAAUCGACCCUACUCGUCCAUGAAUCUAAAAGUUUUACCAUUCCUAGACCUCACAAUCCUUAUUUAAGCUCCGAUUUUUUCAAAACCAACAAGGUUUUGAGGGCUAUCAUCAAGAUAAGUACUCUCCCCUUUCUUUAUUUUAUAUUUUCAUCCUCAUAUAGUAACAAAAUCAAAUAUAUAACAGCAAAAUGAAAAGAAAAAAAAAUUCAAUUACCUCCUAAAAACUGUUUUUUAUUCAAACUUUUGGUAUUGAUUUUCAUAUGCCUAUCCCCCUUUUACACUUGAUUUCACUGGCUUUUUAUAGCCAAAUCUACAAAAUAAAAAAAUACAAUGGCCCUUGAUUCUUUUUUGUUAUACAUUUGCUGUCAUUUGUUCAAUAUUUGCUGUGUGCUCUUUCUGUUACAGGUAUGUACGGCGUGGUGAUGCUAACAUGGCGAGGCCGUUCGUGGGGUGUGACGCGAAGUCUUCCAGAAGUUUCACUGUUUGGGGCUGCUGAUGGUGUUUGCGGUGCAUGGGAACGGCUGCUUGGUGGCUUAGGGUUUCCACUAUCUGAAAAUAGUUAAUGGGCUAUGUUUUUGGGUUAGGAUUAGGUUUAAUUUAGGUUUGGGCCUUAUUGUAAAAUGAGUUUAAAAUUUGGGCAACAAUUGUAUGUGGGCUAAACGUAAAUUUGGACUAUGGACAUUUAUUGAAUUUUUAUUUUGUGAUUUUUUUGUUUUUUAAUUUCUGGUUUUUUUUUGGAUCUUAACGGGCCCAGGCGAAAUGGGCCUAUUACAACUUCCAGAUAAUCUUCCCAAAAAUUAUUUCUCAUGAGUAGACUAAUUUUAUUGCGGGAAGAAAUAUUUCAGAUAAUAUUGUUAUUGCCCAGAAGGUCAUACACUCUAUGAAGGCUAAGAAUAAAAGGUAGAUGGCUAUUAAAAUAGAUCUUGAAAAAGCUUAUGAUAGGUUACAGUGGGAUUUUAUUGAUUUUUCCCUUCAGGUUGCUGGCAUAUCGAAGUUCUUUAGGAAAGUGAUCAUGUCAGCAGUUUUGAACUCUACAAUGCAGAUUUUGUGGAACGAAAUUCUAACUCCAAAGUUUAAGCCUUUGAGAGGCAUUAGACAGGGUUACCUGUUAUCCCCUUAUCUGUUUAUGCUAUGUAUGAAAUGGUUAGGACAUGGUAUUCAGUCAGCCAUUUCUAGCAGCAAGUGGAGUCAUAUCAGAUUAUUUUGUUCAGGACUUAAUUUAUCCCACUUGUUCUUUAUAGACGACUUGGUUAUUAUUUCUAAGAUGGAUUUGAAGCAUGCUUUGGCCCUUAGGGAUAUCCUUGAAAAUUUUUGUGUAUCUUUGAUCAUCGGGUUAAUGCUCGGAAAACUAUUAUCUUUUUUUUUCUAAAAGAGUGGACAUUGAUCUUGGUGAUAGAUUGAGCAACCUUUUUGGGUUUCAAAAGGUACAUAACCUUGGUACCUAUUUGGAGGUGUCGUUAUUCCAUGAUAACUCACUUGCUCUAGUUUGAGGUUUGUGGUUGAGAAGGUACGAAGUAAACUAAAUCAAUGGGACGCUAAGUAGGUGUCACUAGCAGGUAGAAUUACUCUUGCUUAAACUAUUUUUCUUUUAAUCCCUAACUAUUUUACGCAGUCUAUGCGGACUCCUAAAGGUAUAUAUAUGAUGAAAUUGAACACUUGGUAAGACAGUUUGUAUAGGGUUCUUCUAAUGGUGUAAGGAAGAUGUCACUGGUUGACUGGGAUUCUAUUUGCCAACCAUGUUCUUGUGGUAGCCUCGAGUUUCUUUAUCUAGAGGAUCAUAAUUCCUCUUUUUUUAUUAAAGUUGGAAUUUAAUCUUGUAUCCAAAUAUGAUAAACUAUGGGUUCAGGUUCUCCAAGAAAAAUACUGGAUAAUGAAAAAGGCAUCCAAAAAUAUAGCGCAAGGAAACUGUUUAGCUAUCUGGAGAGUCAUUGUUAAGGUAUGGCCUUUAUUGCGUGAAAACUUAGUUUGGUCUGCAGGAACUGGGAACUCUAUACGUUGUUGGAAGGACCCUUGGAUACCUAAUUUAGGUCUUUUGAUAAACUAUGUACCUACUCAUAAUAACCUUAUAUCAAAUAAUUUGUUGCAUGACAUGGUAACUAGAGAUGGGGUCUGGAAUCUGAACUUGUUUAGAGUAUGGUUGUCGAAGGAUAUUAUUCAAAGAAUUGUUAGUAUUCCCCCUCCGUAUUUCUUUGUAGGGGAAGAUAGAAUUAAUUGGAUUAGCACUUCCACUGGGGCUUUUAUAGUGAAAAGCGUGUAUAGAUCACUUUGAGAGAGUUCUUGGCAUACUAAAGAUAGAUGGUAAAAGGUUAUUUGAAAGUUUUUGGGACCUCAACGUAUUCAACUAUUUUUAUUGUUAGUCUUCAAACAACACUUUCUAACAAAUAUGGAACGAUUAAGGAGGAGUAUCGCUCAACAGUUACGAAGGAUACAUAUGAGAUUACAAUAUAUACAACAUUAGAGGAUAAGGCACAUUCCAAGGGAGAGGAAUCAAGUUGCAGAUCGUAUUGCAAAAAUGACCACGACAAUAAGUACAAAUAUGCAAGUGUUUGAAGACAUUCUUGAAGAUCUACCACUUGUUCUUGAAAUUGAUCAUGUUAGCUUAAUAUAGUUAGUAUGUUUUCCACACAAAAAAUAUUUCUUUUAAAUUUAUUUAAUAAUGAAUAUAUGUGAAGUCGUAAUAAAAUUUUAUUAUAAUACUAUUAAACACAUGUUCGAUUCUUGAGUUGGUAAUGUGUAAUUCUUUUAUUUAAAAAUGAUAUAAAAGUAUGAAAAAGACAAAUGUAUCAUCGUAAUAAUAUUAAUUAUAAUUUAAAAGAAUAGGUGUUUUUUUAAUUUCAUGAAUGAGUUGGUGACCAAAUUAAAGGUGACACCUAGAUAGAUAAUUAUGUUAUAUUUCUUUAAUUUCAUUAAUGAGUUGGUGGCCCAAUUAAAGAUCACAUAAUAUAUUUUUGGUAUAAGAUAAAAAGAUAAUUUAUUUUAGGUCGUAUUUAAUCAAUUUAUGACUAGCAACAACUAAACAAUUUUCUAUCACACUUGAAAAUAUGUGGUACCUAGUAAUACGAAUAAUAAAGAAAUAAAAUAAAAAAAAAGUUGAAUGAUUCAACUUUGGAAAGAAAAGCUCACGUCCAAAGUAUAUUAAACUCAAAUCUCUAUCCUUUACAAUGCUAACCUAAUUCAAAGUAAAAUAAAAAGGCUAAAGCAAAAUUCAAUUUUUAAACUACUAAUGAAAAUACAACUCUUAAAUAAACUACCAUAAUCAAUCAAUCUAAUUACAAUAUAUAUCUAAUAAAUAAAUAUAAAGCUUAGUUAAAAUUUUAAAUUAUUUAACGAGUAUUUAAACUUGUAAAAAUAAGGACAAAGUUGAACGGACAACUUAGUUUAUUUAUAUUAUAUUCAUGUUCACUUUCUUAUGUGUUAAUUAAAUAAAUCAUGUAUGAAUAAUGUUUCUAAUUCUAACGAAAUGAGAGUUAGCUCAAAAUACAUGUGUUGUGUAUAAGCCCAAAUUAGGCCUCUUUUCUCAUUCACACCACAUGCUUUGCUAUCCUGCACCAUUCUUCACACACUCUUCCAUUUGGUCCAGUCUUUUUAGAUUUGGUUAUAUUGACAAAAUAAAUUUUAUUUUAUGGUUUUUAAAUAUUAUUCGAUAAAUUUUCAAAAUAUAUUUUCUAUAAAAUAUAUUUUCAAAGUAAAUAAAAUCCGACCAUAUCAAUUCAAAUCCUACUCCUACGAAAUCAAUUGCAUGUGGUUUUCAAUCUCAUUUUCCAAGAAAAAAGACCGGCCUGCUUCACAAAGCCCAAAGUCAUCACCUUUCCUCUACAUUCUCAGAUAUUAAAAGUGGCAAGUGUAAGGUGUUUACUUUAGUGGGCAUAGCAACACACUUUAAGCCAGCUGAUCAACAAAAUAUACAAUACCGCCAUUAAACCAGCCCAGUUUGUUGCUCAUUUGAAGGAAUUAACUAUUAAGCCACCUUUAAGCUUCAACACCAAUGUCAUCAAAAUAUUCAUCCAAAAUCUAUUCAGCCUCUAACUAAUGGAAUGGAAGAACACCCUACACAGGUCACCAAGAAAGGGCAAAUGGUGAAAAAUUGCUCAAGAAAACUUUUAUUUUUAACUUCUAAGUUUUUUACUUUUUUCUCUUUCUAUGUUAUAUCAAAUACUUACAAACUAUUUAUAGACUAUUAUCCUUAAAAAAAACAGAAAAUAUUAAAAUCUAAUAAUAGCCAACCAAUGACUCUGGACCUUUCAUUCUCCAAAUAAAAAAAAUUCUAAAUUAAACCCAUUAAAAUCAUAUUUAACGUUUAAUCAAUAAAACUCCCCCGUAAACUUAAAUGCUUCUCCCAUCCUUCAUGCUGAUUAAUUUCUUGCAGUUGUCAAGUAGUACCAUCAAUAGCGGUUUCGUGAAGAUAUCUACAACUUGGUCCUGGCUUACCACGUGCACUAAUUUCACACUUCCUUCCUUUACAUGAUAUCGGAUGAAGUGAAAACGAAUGUCAAUAUGUUUGCUUCUCUCAUGAUUCACUGGGUUCUUUGCUAACUCAAUUACUGAUUUAUUGUCAACUGGUAUCUCAGUCGCACCGAGUUGUUGUUGCUCCAACUCGUCUAACAAAUUUCUGAGCCAUAUAGCAUGACACACACACCAAGAUGCUGCCACAUAUUCAGCUUCACAUGUCGAGAGUGUCACAAUUGGUUACUUCUUUGAAAGCCAAGUAAACACCGUGUUACUUAUAAAGAACACAUAUCCCGAUGUACUUUUUCAAUCGUCUAAGUCUCCGUACCAAUCACUAUCAAAGUACCCAAUCAAAUUGUAAUCUCUUACAUUUGAAUAGAAUAACCCGAGUGACAUUAUUCAUUGGAUGUAACGUAGGAUUCGCUUCAACACCUUCCAAUGUGAAUAAACCGACUCCUUCAUGAACCGACUUACAAUGCCAACACUUAGCGAAAGAUCAGACUUUGUACAGUGAGAUAGCUAAGACUUCCCACCAAACUUCAGUAUUUGAUCGCGUCAACUCGUUCUCCUCAAUUGAAUUUCGAGAGUUUUACACCUGGUUCCAUUGAUGUUGAUACCGGUUUGCAAUAUACCAUAUUGUAUUUCUUCAAAAUUUCCUUUGCAUAUGUCUCCUAUGACACAAAAAUACCUGUCUCUUCUUGUCUUACCUCUAAACCAAGGAAAAACUUCAUCAAUCCAAAAUCUGUCAUCUUGAAUUCCUUCAUUCCUCUUCAGGAAAAGGGCAUGUUCAUAGGGACAUUGUUUGAACCCGUUCUCUUUGAAGUAUGUAUCAAUACGUAUUCCAUGCUCCUGGUGCUUGCUUCAACCCGUAAAGUGUCUUCUUCAAUUUCAGCACCUUCUUCUCUUCUCCACUUUUCAUGUACCCGGAUGGUUGUUUGAUGUAGACUUUUUUUCGAGCACACCAUUCAAGAAUACCGAGUUGACGUCCAUUUGAAAUAUCGGUCAUUUGAAUUAAGCCACUUGUGAAAAGAGCAAUCGGAUUGUCUCCAUUCUUGUAACGGGAGCAAACAUCUCGUCAUAAUCGAUUCCCUCAUUUUGUUUGUAUCCCUUUGCAACAAGUCACGCCUUGUACUGUUCUAUCUCGCCUUGAGCAUUUAUCUUUCUCUUGAACACCCAUUUCACACCAAUGGGCUGACUUCUUUUCGGCAACUCCAUUAACUCCCAUGUGUUGUUGCGGUUAAUUGCUUUAAUCUUCUCGUUCAUGGCAGUUUGCCACUUAUUGUCUCGCACCGCCUCUUCAAAACUUAUAUUCUCAGAAUCUGCCAAAAGACAUACAAUGUGUACUUAAUUUGUUGAAUCAUACAAAUCUUGCAAACUUUGCAUUUUGGGUUGUUGCGGUUCAUCUUCAUCAUCGAUAGUUUCAGGAUUUGUCGGUAUGAUUGUUGGUGUAGUGGUUGAUGAUUCUCCAUAUUUGAUGAUGACCUCCGUUGAGUUAUUCCAAUCCCACUUGCUUGCUUCAUUAACAUGUACAUCACGACUCACCACAACCUUCUUGCUUAUCGAGUCGAGUAGCUUGUAUCCAUUUUUUUCACAUCAUACCCAAUAAAAAUAAAUCUUUUGCUUUUGUCUUCCAGCUUCGUUCUUCGCUAAUCCAGCACAUGUACAUAGGCCUCACUACCGAAUACUUUGAGAUGAGAAACUGUCAGUUUUUGUCCGCUCCAUGCCUCUUGUGGUGUUUGAUCAUUCAACUUCACAUGUGGACAACGAUUUUGCAUAUAGAUGGCACAUUGCAUGGCUUUGGCCCAAAAUUCCUUCGGCAUCUUCUUGCUCUUGAGCAUUGACUGAACCAUGUCGAGAACAGUAUGGUUCUUCCACUCUGCCACACCGUUUUAUUGGGGAGAGUACAGUGCGAUUAGAAAUCGUCUUAUGCCUUGCUCCUCAUAAUACUCCAUGAAAGUCGUGAAAGUAUACUCGCCACCUCUAUCGGAUCGUACAAAUUUGAUGUGUCUACCAGUUGCCUUUUCCACCAUUCUACUUUGAACUUUUUGAACACCUCGAACACCUCGGAUUUUUCUUUCAUAAAAUAAACCCAUGUUUUUUGUGGGAAAUCAUAGAUAAAGGAAAUGAAAUACCUUUUACCGCUAAAAGAUUCGAGGGUGAUUGGUCCACAUAUGUCGGUAUGAAUCAUUUCGAGAGGUUGCUUAGCCCGAUAUUCUACCUUCUUUUGAAACGAAGUUCUCGCAUGCUUGUCGAGCACACACUCUUCACAAAAUUUUCCCUUAUAGUCCAUGUCAGGUAGCCCGUGCACCAUGUUCUUCUUCACCAACUCGUUUAGACCACCAUAAUGUAGGUGACCAAAACGGAGAUGCCACAACGACGCCUUGUCUUCUACGUCAACUUGCAAAUAUUUUUCUUGAACGCUUCUCAAAUUCAACUUGUAUUUGCGAUUUCUCCCCAUUUCAACUCGAGCGACCAAACGCCCUUACUUAUCUUUCAAGUGUAACACCUGGUCUUUCAUAAGUACCGAAUAACCUUUUUCCAUGAGUUGUCUCAUACUCAAAAUGUUGCUUUUGAAGUCUGGUACAUAAUACACAUCUUGGAUAGACCCAACUAACUCAUCCUUUUGUAAAUAACAAGCGGUACAUUGGCAAAAUGUUGAUUUCUAUUUUUACAAUUUUUGGUGAUUUUUCAAAAUUAGACUACUGCUGCUGUCCAAAACAGUUUUAGUGCAAAACGUUGAUUUCCAUUUUGCCCCAAAUUUCACAAUUCAUACAAUUCAGUCCUUGCUCAAUUAACCCCUCAAUUAAGAUAAUUUUCUCAAUUAAUACUUUUUCUAGACAUUAUAAGUUAUUUCAUAACUAUUGAAAUUCAGAAUUUCCACAUAAAACCCUAACUUCAAACUCUUUUACAAUUAGGUCCCAAACAUUCACUUUCUAUUCAAUUCUUUCAAUAAAAUCAGCAUAUAAACAAUUUAAAGCUCUAAUUCCAUGCCAAAUCAUCAUAUACUUCCAGCACAUAUUCAUAGCAACUUUCAAUUUCUUUCAUAGAAUAAAAAAUUAAUGGAUUCAACAAGUGGACCUAGUUGUAAAAGUCACAAAAACACAAAAAUUUUAAGAAAUAAUCAAGAAUUGAACUUACUUGAAGUAAAAAUAUGAAAAACCAGCUUAAGGGAACUCUUCCAUGGCAUUUUUGCUGAUGAGAAUGCAGAAAAAUAAAGAGAAAUCUAGAUAAUUCCACUUUAGUCCUAGCUUUAUUAAGUAAAUUUUGUAAUUUUCCAAAUUUGCCCUUAAUUCUCCUUAUUUUCAUGCUGAUUUCAUGCCCUUGCCGUCCAGCCCAAAGAGACCUUGGGUCUAUUUGCCUUUUAAACCCUCUUUCUUUUAUCAUUUAAGCAAUUUAAUCAUUUCCCACAAUUUUGCAUUUGAUACAAUUUAGUCCUUUUUGUUCAAUUAACUAUCAGAACUUUAAAAUUUCUUGACGAAACUUUAGUACUAACUUAUUAGCACUCCAUAAAUAUUUAUAAAAAUAUUUAUGGCUCCUUUUAAAAUUUUUGAGUUCUCUAUACCUCGUUUUCGAUUCUAAUUAUUUUAAUAUUUAUUUUUAGUAUACUAUUCACUAUUUCAAAAUUUUUCCUAACUUCACAUUUAACUUAUACUCACUAAAUUAAUAAUAUUUCCUACUCAUUUGUCAGAUUUAGUGAUCUCGAAUCACUGUUCCGACACCACUGAAAAUUAGGCUGUUACAACUCUCCCCCCUUUUAGGGAUUUUCGUCCCCGAAAAUCUUAUCAGAAGAAGUUGCUUUCAACACUCAUGAAACACUUUUACUAACUUCUCAGAAUCACAAUUCAGUUUAACCUUGAAUAUUAUUUAUUUAUUUAUUUAUUUAUUUUCCAGUCACCUUUGAACUCUAGAAUAAAUGUUGGAACUUAUUGUCAAAAUUCUAAAUUACCCUAUUAGGAACACAUAUACUUAGCUGAUCUAUCAAAUAAAAAUUCUGUACCUACUGAAAUGAUCAUACAGAUUUUUCUUUGUCAAAUGAUUAACCAUAAACUAAAUAACAUUUUCCUUUCUGAUGUUAAUGACAAUCCCAAUUCGAAAUCUAUAGCCAUUCUAUCUCAUAUCACACUAGUAUUAUCACUGACUGCAAUAAUCUUGAAUGCUCUUGAUGUUCGGCUUACUUGCUAACAAAUAGACAUGAACUUGAACUAAAAAAUAUUAUGUAACGCUCUUGCAAUCACUAGCACAUCUAACACACAAGAAGAUAAUAAAGAUCUUGAUAAUUCAUCAGAGAAAGCCAGAAGAAAAACAAUGUUUACCGAUUCUGGACUUCCAUCAUAACAAAGAUAAUAUAUUUCCCGUAUGUAUAAAAUAAAAUCAUAAUCAGUAGAAACAUAAUAUUAAUCUCAUAUAAUUUUUUUCUUUACCAUCGACUUCAUUCCAACAUGUUAGAAUAAAAUUCCAAAAAGAUGAAAAAAUACUGAUCAUAAACCGACCAGACAAACAGGGCUUUCAUCUAACUUCAUUGUUAGCUAGCAUUCUCACAACAUAAGAACUCCAUCAAAAACUGAACAACCACACACAUAUAUCUGAGGAUAAAAGAAUAUAUAUAAUACCCAGAAAAUAUCAUCAUAUUCAUUUCAACUAUAACUGUCACACACACAGACAUCUUUACUACUCAAUUAUCAUUUCUCUGACUAAUUCUAUCAUUAUGAACUCUGCAUCAUUCCAUUCGCUAACGAAAACCAAUUCGGGAAAAACUUCAGCAAACACAUACUUUAGACAUCAUAUCUGAAUAAGUCGAUUAGCCGAGGUUAACUUUUUCUUUAACCGUGACAUUACGUAAUCUGAAUGAUCUUUAAAAUAAUAUGAUAUCUUUUUCAAAUCUGUAUUCACUUGUCAAACUAUUUUUAACUCCGUCUGCAUUAUUAAUUAUUCCACUACUGUACUCUUUAGUUUCACACUUGUGAACUAUUCAACAUAAUUCUCGUGAAUUUUCGUUAUAAAAUACCACAUUGAUAAGGGGGUGAGGUCGUAAAGCCUCUAACUGGACUCUCAUAAAUACACGCAUAUGACUUAGCAUUUAUCAUCAACAUCAUAUCCUCACAAUUACAUAAUUCACUUCAAGCAAAUUAACAUACAUAAUUAUGUUACAUGAACUUUUCAAUUAUCCUUUUCAAACAAGUGUAUUUAAACAUACAUUCCAUGAAUUUUGAGUAAGUUUACUCAUAGCAUUUACUUAAUCAAACAAGGUAGGCACAUAAUAUCAUAUGAAUGUCACACAAACAUAGAUGCGCUCAUCACAAGAUAAACUUCCAUUUCAUUUCACUUUUCCCAUAUUUCUCGAUUUAUGACUAUUUCAUUUCGUAGCUCAUCACAUCCAUAUCAUGAACUCUUCUUCAUACCUUUCCAAGUUUCGACUCAUCAUAAACACAUUCUUACUCAGACACCUUAGUGUCACUUUCAACACUUUAUGAAAUAGCUCAAUUGAAAAGUAUUUUUGUCUAUAUGUAAAACAAAGAUUAGAUCGGAUCAUACACAUCACACUAUCACAGAUUUAUAUGGCAUGUAUUUCUAGACACUUUACACAUCUCAUUCGUUCUGAGAAUCGGUUAAACCGAAGCUCUGAUACCAAUAAAUGUAACACCCCCUACCCGUAUUCUGAGCCUAAAAUAGGGUACGAGGUAUUACCGAACAUAAUAUGAUCAAUCAUGUAAAAAUCAGCCAUAAAAUUUCUUCUAAAUUAAAAACUUUCAUACAUAUGUUUAACGUCCGUUAUAUGGGCCUAUGGGGCCCAAAACAUACAUUCAGGGUGGUUCGGGACCAAACCGUAAACAUAUGAAACUUUUGCAACACUUAGAAAUUUUUCACACUUUGGAGAGUCACAAGCCCGUGUUUUCAACCCGUGUAAUUCUCUGUUUAUAACUUCAUCACCCUUGUCAGUCGUACACUUCAUAUAAAUAACAAGAAACGCGUAUGGGCUCAAUUCUCAUUAAAUUUCUCAUAUAUAUACACAAUUUCACGUUAUGUAAUCAUACAACAUAUAUCAGCCAUAUCUCUGUAAUCUAAAUAUAUUUUCAUAACAACUUAUCUUGAUUUCAUACUAUUUCAUAUUUAAGCUUAACUAACCAAAGUAUUUGAAAUAUCAUCUUUAUGCAAAUAGUACACAUGAGGUAUAUAAUUCUAUAAUUAUGAAUAAACACAUUUAUCAAACAUUUUCCAUAUUCAUAUAUCAAUGUCUCAUGUCUCUAUAUAUCAAUAACCGUCAUUUUCAUGAAUUUCGAGUUCAAUUUCAUAAUUGUUUGUCUCGUGUUCAAUUUAUUCCAUGUCGGAACUUUAUUCAUUAAAAUAUUUGAAUUAUCAAUACAUAUGGAAAGUACAUUCAAGAUGAACAAUUAUAUAAUCACAAAUGAAUUCAUUUAUCAACCAAGUUCUAUACUCAUAUCUUAUCAACUCGUACUUCCUUGUAUCACAUAAUUCCAUGUAACAUUUACCAAACUUUGUCAAAUUAGUGAACGUCUUACGAAAUUGAGUACUUCUUUUUCUCGAUGCCAUAGUUCAACUAUGGUCUUACACAUUUUCACAUAAUGAUGCCAUAGCCCAGCUAUGGUCUUACACAUAUUCAUAUAUCGAUGCCAUAGCCCAGUUAUGGUCUUACAUGAAUCACAUAUCUCACUGAUGCCAUAUCCCAGAUAUGGUCUUAUACAGUAGCAUAUAUCACACCGAUGUCAUAUCCCAGAUAUGGUCUUAUACGGAAAUCACUUGUCACUUGUAGCCGAAGCUACCACUAUUCACUAAUCAGGUAGCCAACCAUUUUUCACUGGUCAGGUAGCCGGAGCUACCACUUUUCACUGAUCAGGUAGCAGAAGCUACCGCUUUUCACUGAUCAGGUAGCCGAAGCUACCACUUUUGACUUGUCAUUUGUCCUUGAUCAGAUAAGUGUAGCCGAAGCUAUCACUUACCACUUUCACUUGUCCUUGAUCAGAUAAGUGUAGCUAAAGCUAUUACUUAUCACUUUCAUUUGUCCUUGAUCAGAUAAGUGUAACCGAAGCUAUCACUUAUCACUUGUUACCAUGGUCCAACCAUGGUCUUUUCCUUCAAUUCAUCUUGUCACUAACUGAAAUGCUCAAUUGGAUCAUUUAUUCAAUUUUCAUGCUUUUACAUUAUUCACGAUUUUAUCAUCAAUACAUAUGAAAUAACACAUCAUGAAAUUCAUAAAAUUAACAAAUAAUCACUAAAAUUUAGCCAUAUAAACUCACAAGUUCAAUUUUUGUAUUAUAACGAUAAUCAUAAUUUCAUAAUAAAUAUUCCAAAUAAAACAUUAUAUCAUUUCUAAUCCAACAUUUAUCGACUAUAAUCGAGCAUGUGAUCAAUUUAUACACGAGUCAUCCAUAUAUUUUUUCCUCCUCCUCCUGUCCAUCCACAUCCUUGGUAUAAAUAACACACUUGUAAGUAACCUUAUCCAUAAUUUUCACUAAUUACUUAUGUGAAUAUUCAAGCUACCCAUUCGUGUCAUAGUCACUAAAUUAUUUAUAUCUGAAGCUACGAAACUCCAAAUUAAGAUCCACUAAUUUUCCCUGAAACUAGACUCACAUAUCUUCUUACCAUAAAAAUUUCAUAAUUUUUGGUUGGUCCAAUUAAUACAGUUUAUUCAUUGAAGUAUCCCUUGUUUUGCUGUCUAACAGUUCCGACCCUUAUUCACUAAAAAUUAAUUAUCUCAUCGUACAGGAUUCGAAUGAUGUUCCCGUUUGUUUUUCUUGAAAAUAGACUCAUUCAAUAUUCUAAAAAUAUAAAUUUAAGCCCCUAAUUAUUUUUAUCCAAUUUUUGAUGAUUUUGCAAAGUCAGAACAGGGGAACCCGAAAUCAUUCUGACCUUGUCUCACAAAAUUUAUCAUAUCUCAUGAUUUACAAUUCCAUUGAAACUAGACUCAAUAAGCUUUAAUUUCAUAUUUUAUUCAUCCUCUAAUUCCAUUUCUACAAUUUUUGGUGAUUUUUCAAAGUUAGACUACUGCUGCUAUCCAAAACAGUUUUAGUACAAAAUGUUGAUUUCUAUUUUUCCCCAAAUUUCACAAUUCAUACAAUUUAGUCCUUGCACAAUUAACCCAUCAAUUAAGAUAAUUUUCUCAAUUAAUACUUUUACUAGACAUUAUAAGUUAUUUCAUAACUAUUUAAAAUCAUAAUUUCCACAUAAAACUCUAACUUCAAACUCUUUUACAAUGAGGUCCCAAACAUUCACUUUCUAUUCAAUUCUUUCAAUAAAAUCAGCAUAUAAACAAUUUAAAGCUCUAAUUCCAUGCAAAAUAAUCAUAUAAUUCCAGUACAUAUUCAUAGCAACUUUCAAUUUCUUUCAUAGAAUAAACAACUAAUGAAUUCAACAAGUGGACCUAGUUGUAAAAGUCACAAAAACACAAAAAUUUUAAGAAAUAAUCAAGAAUUGAACUUACUUGAAGUAAAAAUAUGAAAAACCAGCUUAAGGGAACUCUUCCAUGGCAUUUUUUCUGAUGAGAAUGAAGAAAAAUAAAAAUAAAGAGAAAUCUAGAUAAUUCCACUUUAGUCCUAGCUUUAUUAAGUAAAUUUUGCAAUUUUGCAAUUUUUCCCUUAAUUCUCCUUAUUUUCUAUGUGAUUUCAUGCCCUUUCUGUCCAGCCCAAAGAGACCUUGGGUCUAUUUUCCUUUUAAACCCUCUUUCUUUUAUCAUUUAAGCAAUUGAAUCAUUUUCUACAAUUUUGCAUUUGAUACAAUUUAGUCCUUUUUGUUCAAUUAAUUAUCAGAACUUUAAAAUUUCUUGACGAAACUUUAAUACUAACUUAUUAACACUCUGGCUCCAUUUAAAAUUUUUGAGUUCUCGAUACCUCGUUUUUUAUUAUAAUUAUUUUAAUAUUUAUUUUUAGUACACUAUUCACUAUUUCAAAAUUUUUCCUAACUUCACAUUUAACUUAUACUCACUAAAUUAAUAAUAUUUCCUACUCAUUUUUCAGAUUUAGUGAUCUCGAAUCACUAUUCCGACACCACUGAAAAUUAGGCUAUUACACAUAUGGUUACUUGCAUCCGUGUCAAGGUACUACACCAUGUUGUUGUUGGUGUUGACUUCGUUGUGUGCCAUCAAGAGAAAACCUUCUUUUUCCUCCUCAUCUUCCGUAGGUAGGUUGGUUGUCUCUUCUACCUUUUUCUAAAUGUGACAUUCUUUUGCGAAUGCCCGGUCUUACCACAAUUGUAACACUUAUUAGAGUUGCAAUCCUUCGCAUAGUGACCAUAUAUGUCACACUUGUAGCACUCGAUGUUGGAAUAAUUCGACCGACCGCCUCUUCCACAACCGCGUCCUCUUCCACACCAAUUUUUUAGUUUGAUUGCUCAUUCUCCUCAUGAUGCCCUUCUUGACCGCGACCAUUUCCUCGACCUCCACGACCAUGCUAUCUACCUCGAAAGUUUUGAGAAUAGAAAAUCUUUCCAUCUUUGAUUGAAGCCUUGGUUUGAAGUCCUUGCUCGAGUGUUCAUGUGUCUCGAGAAAACCGACAAGCUCAUUGGCUGUGAGCGUUGCAAGAUCCUUUGACUCUUCUAUGGCAUAUACGACAUUCUCGAAACUGUUAGUUAACGACCUCAAAAUCUUCUCUACAACUCGUGCAUUGAUUAACGCUUCUCCAUUUCGGUUGAGUUGGUUCACCACGGUUUGAACGCGCGUAAUGUAGUCGGAGACACCUUCCGAUUCCUUUAUCUUCAUACCUUCCAACUCGCCGCGAAGAGUUUGAAGGCGGACUUGUUUAACCCGGUCGGCUCCUUUGUACACCUUCGCCAAAAUGACCUAUGCUUCUUUUGAAGUUGUCGCACUCACAAUGUUCUCAAAGCCUGACUCGUUAACAGCUCGGAACAACAUGUACAAUGCCGCCUUAUCUUUCAAUCUAUCUCUUUCAAUGUCUUGUUUUGAGCCGCUAUAUAUCCUGCGAUAGUUGUCGGUUCUACAAAACCUUUUUGAACCGCCUCCCAACCAUCUUGAGACUCGAGAAGAGCCUUCAUUUGGAUGUUCCAAUUCUCGGAGUUCACCUUCAUUAGUCGAGGCAGCGACACAUUACUAGUCACUCUUCAUGGCUUUGAUACCAAAUUGAAAAAUUGCUCAAGAAAACUUUUAUUUUUAACUUCUAAACUUUCUUACUUUUUUCUCUUUUUAUGUUAUAUCAAGUACUGACAAACUAUUUAUAGACUAUUGCCCUUAAAAAAAUUGAAAAUAUUAAAAUCUAAUAAUAGCCAUAAACCAAUGACUCUUAACCUUUCAUUAUCCUAAGAAAAAAACUUUUAAAUUAAACCUAUUAAAAUCACAUUUAACGUUUAAUCAACAAAUGGCUGCUAAAGCUGACAAAUUGAAAUUAGAUUGGAUUAAAAAAAUAGAGUGGCAUCAUGGAUAGGUAUUUGAGAUUCAAAGUUCAUUGGUGAGUAGGGUUACCAGGUCAUUUAUACAAUACAACCUUCCAUUUAUUUCUUCAAUCUCACCAUCUCUUUCAUCUUCUAACCUUUUCCAACCUACGCAUCUAAACCACCAGCUUUACUUACUUUAGAAUCUGAGAAUUUUUGUGUGUUUCAAAUCUUGAUCCGAGCACUUUGUCAUUUCGGAUCGAGACUAAUAGUAAACCUAAUGACUUGACUAUGAUGUAAUAGGUUUUUGGCUAUAAUCCUCGGGGAGUGGGGAUCUCAUACACCUAUGGUUGAGGGUUUUAGAACAUCUUGUCUUCGUAUAUUAUUUUCUAAUGUAUAGUGUCGAAACCAUUUUUUUGGGAAAAACGGGGAUCGACUUUGGUUUUGAAGAUGAAAACGAACAUGGUAGUCACCACCAAUCUUUUUGGUUUAGGUGCAAUUGGAUCACAUAGAAAUUUGGUCGUUUUAAUAAAACAUUUUGAUUUACUAAAACAACGAUUUUGGUCUACGAAGUUUGAGAAAAUGGGUUAAGGAGUCGGUUACAUACGAGGAAGGAUUAGCACCCUCGUAACGCCCAAAAUUGCACCUAAUUGAUUAAUUAAUGUCUUGAUGUUUAAAAUUUGAAAAGGUUUUGCAAUAAAUUUUAAAAUACUAUCCCUUGAUAUGAAUGUUUGAAAAACUUGAAAUGGAUAAUAAGAUUCUCUUGUUUCGAAUAAAUACGAUAUCACAUCCAACACGUAGGACACGAUAUUUCAACCUUCGAUACCAAAAUCGUCUCAUAAUUUCCAAAAAUUUGUGUAUUGAAAAUUUAAAAAGGAUAUUCGGUCGUUUAGUCAAGCAAUGAAUCGAAACCCAACACGUAGGGCACAAUUUCUCGUAAUUUCCAAACGCCAAAUAUUGCCUUGUCUAAAACUCUCAAAAAGAAUACAAUAGUAUGAAACAAUUAAGAUUCUCUUGUCUCGAAGAAAUAAAAUAUCACAUCCAACACGUAGGACACGAUAUUUCAAACCUUCGAUACCAAAAUCGUCUCGUAAUUUCCAAAAUUUAUGUAUUGAAAAUUUAAAAAGGAUAUUCGGUCAUUUAGGUCAAACGAAAUAAAUCGAAACCCAACACGUAGGGCACGAUAUUUCGAAACUCCAAAAAACAGAAUAUUGCCUUUAUUUGAGUAAAAACGAGUGCAACAUUUAGCAAUGUGCAUUUAUUUUGUUUGAAGCAAAACAAAUAUGUUGGAGCAUGAUAUAUGGUAUGAUUUGAACUAGAUAAAACGAAAUAUAUCAUAAAGCACGGAGUAGUAAAACGUAAAUUAGUUACAAUGUUCAUGAAUGUUGACAAUAUGGAGAUAUAAAUAGUGAUUUCUAGAACAUGUAAUGACAACAUUAAUGAGCAUAAAAAAACAAAUAAAUAAAAAAUAACUUAAAAUAGAUAAUAAGAUAAUUUUAAACAAAUACCACGUAUAUAAGGCUUAAAAUAGAAGCUAUGAAAACAAUUUAAAGUUAGCAAUUCGAAAUAAUUAAUAUACAAAAAGAUUUUAAAAAAAAUAAGGCAACUUACAAUAUAUAAUAUAUAAUAUAUAAUACUUUGAAAUUACAUGCAAAAGGUUUAAAACAUGUAAAAGAGAAUCUUAAUAUAAGCAGUAUACAUACGAUAAAAGGUUUAGUAUAAAUAAUAUAUAAAAAAAUAAUAAUGUAUAAAGAAUUUAGGAUGAAUUAUAUAUGAAAAUUCAGAAAUAGACAAUCCAUAAAAGGAGUCUAAGAAUAAAGUAUAUAUAAAUUUAUGAUAAUAAAUAGUCCAAAAAAAAUAAAAAAAUAAUAAUAAUGGUAAUAAUAAUAAUAUGUGAAAUGGGUUUAAAAUAAAUAAAUAAAACAAUGUAAAGUAAUUAAUAUAUAUAAAAAUAUUUAAAGUGACAUACGUUAAAACAAUUUGAGAAGAAUACUAAAUAAAAGUUUAAGAAUGAAUACUAUAUAAAGUAGUUUAAACUAAAUAUUAUACGCCAAGAUUUAAAAUACAUAACAUGUAGAAAUGAUUUAAAACAAAUGACUUAUAUAAAAAACAAUAUCUAAGGUAGAUAAUACAUAGAAGUUAAUAGUCAAUAUACAACAAGAUUUAAAAUAAAUAAAACAAGUGAAUUUAAUAAAACUGGUAAAGCAAAUUUAGAACACGGUUCAUAAAACAAAUCUAAAGAAUUAACAUGUAAAUCCAAAAUAAAUAAUGUGCGUAGAAAAUGAAUAAAUAAACGAUGGAAGAAAUAACAAAGAAAAUCAAACUGGAAAUAAAAUAAAAUUAAAAGCAAAAAUAAUGAUAAAAUAGAAGCACGGGGGUCGAAAUAAAAAAAUGCAAGAUUUGAGGACUAGAUGGGCAAAAAUCCAGCUUCUAGACACGUGUCCGUUAUCCAUUGCGUCCAUGCGUUUGGGACCAAAAUGAUAAUUGAGCAGAUUUGUAGGGCCGAAUUUGAAAAUAAAAGGAAAAUAAGCAAGCGGAUUAAAUAAAGACAAAUGAGAACGUGGAGGGACUGGUUUAUAAAUAACCCUUUUGUAUAUUAAUAGGAGAACGUGUCCGUUUUGUACUGCUGUUUAAACUAAUUUUUUUUUACUCUUUUUUUUCUCCAAAACAAACAGAAAGAGAGUAGCCCCCUCUUCCCCAUUUUCGUUGGUGCUCUGCUAGGGUUUCAAAAGAAACCCAUCAUCGCCAUCAUCGCACAAAGCCACCGAGGGCGGUGGCUGGAGCCACGCGAAGAUCAGAUUUUCAGCCCUUUUCAAGAGAGCCCGAAAGCAAAACGCCUCCCAAACUCAGAAAAUGCGAAAGAAAAGGCCUCUCUCUUUUCCCUUUAAGUCAGAUUCUGACGACGGAGAAUAGAUCCGUCGAGGUGACACGGGAUUCCGGUGAGAUUCCUUCUCUUAUUUUUUAAAAAUAGAUUCGUAAUAGAAACAAAAGAAAAAUAAUAGUAAUAAACGAAAUGAAACCAAAAAAUAAAGAAAGAAAAUGAACAGUCAACCUUUUGUUUUUUUUUGAUUGCUCAAUUAUGCUGUGUGUACAAUCGUUUUUUUUUCUCGGUCUUAUACAGCCGAUUUACAAGUCAUUAUUUUUCUAUUGUUUAGCCACUGUUCAUACUGCUCUAAUUUGAUGUUUCUCUGUUACUUUUUCUGCUGUUGUUUCUUUGUUGCCCUUUUUGUUCUUGUUUCUGUUUCUUCCUUUUUUGCAGGCAAAGUCAACGAGGCAGGAGCUGCUAUUUUGGUGCAAGCAGUACCAGGGGCGGUGGUUUUCGGGCGAUGAGCGUGCUGACCCAGCAUGUGGAAGCAGCGGCGCAACAGGAAACCCUAAGGUUAGGGUUCGGGUUAAUUUUUGGGCCACUGAGCCUUUAAUUUAUUUUGAUUUAUUUUUUGUGGGCUGUAGUUUUAAUUGAUUUUCUUUUAUUUUUGUUUUUGUGUCUGAUUUGGGCUUGUUGGGCCCGGGUAAACUUGGGUUCUUACAUAUCGAAUAUUUGAGAGGCAAAUAUUGUUAUUUAUAGAAGGCCAGAUAUUCGUUUCCAGUGAACAAAUUUUACAAUCCACAAUAUUUAACUUGACGACAUCCUCGCACAGAUAUAAAAACUCAACAACAUUAUAUAUUUUUACUCUUUAAAUAGUUGGUACAUUAUUAAAGCGUUGGUAAAGAGUAAAAAAAAUAUAUUUAAAAGGCGAGCGUAUUAAUAGUAUAUUUUUUCAAUUCCACAAAUCAACUUAAAAUAUUGUCAUUUAUUUCAUUUCUUUUAUAUAUUUAAACCUUACAUUCACUUAUCAACUUUAAAUCAAAUAUUUUCUCAUAUUUAAAGUAAAAAGAAGAAAGAUGUUAACCUUCUCCACCACUUGUGGAAUUUGUUUCUUUAAUUACAUACUUUGGGAAAAUCCAAACCCAAAACUGAAAAAGGACUGCAAUUACCAAUCCAAUUUAUUGCUUGUAAUCCAUGAAGUAAAAACUUAAAAUUUCACAUUACUUAAAAGUAAAUUUUACUCUAACAGAAAUACAUAUAAGUUAAUAUUGCACGUGUCAUGUUUCAUGGAAAAUUAAGCAACCACCUCUUUUCUGUUUUUACCUUAACAAUUUAUCCACUUCACUAUAUAUAUGAUGGGUGUGUUAGAAAAUAUGAUUUAUAUUAAUAAAUACCUUUAUUUAAUUUUAAUUUAAGAAAAAGUGUAGAUGUAUGUAGAAGAGAAUCUCAUGUUUUGUUAUAGCUAAGUUUGCUUCAAUUUUAUAUUAGAUUUCUCCAAUUUAUGUUGUCUUGUUCAUUAAUUUAAUAAUUUUUUAGAGCAUGACAUAUGUAUUUUAUACUUAUAAAAUUAUAAUAAAAUAAGUAUCAACAGUAAAUAAACAAUUCGAUUUUGAAUUCAAAAUCUGACCCAUGAUUCUAGCUAUAAUGGGUAAAUGAGGAAUUUGUGGUAUCUUCCUAUCUUAAUUUAUACUAGUUUGGUUUAUAUUAGAUAGAUAUUUGUCUAUAUCGGAGAGAAUUAUGGAUAAAUUUAGGUAUUGUAUGUAUAUAAAAUAAUACUCUUUAAUUUAUUUCAACGUAUAAUAUUCAAAAGGGUAAAUUAUGUCAUUAGUCACUAAAUUAUGUGUAAUACCCAAAUUUUGCCCGGGGUCCAAUAAAAUCACAGCCCAAAUACCAAAACUCAACUAAAACCCAAAAUACCCCAAGCCCAAAUACAACCAAAAAUAAAAAUAAAAAAUAAAAAAAUGAAGAAAAAAAAAAAACCUAACCUCUUCAGCCUAUGUGCCGCCCUAAGCGCUGCCCUAUUCCUCUUUUGUCUACCACUUAUAAAAAGAAAAGAUAGUAAAUAAAAAAAAAUGUUGUAACAAGGCUAUAAAAGCCAUCAUAAAACCAAAUGUAAAUGAGAAGGAGGGAUAAAAAAAAACAUUGUAUUUUCACAUAGAGAUCAAAAAUCCAAAGCAAAAAAAGGUUGAUUUUAAUUUCUUGUAUUCCCUUUGUUCAUUUUUCAUUUUUGUUAUUUUAUUUUAUUUUCUUUAUUUUAUAUAUAUAUAUACAUAUACAUAAUUUAAUUGAAUUACUUAUUUGAAUUCCCUUACAAACAUGUUUAUAUUUUUCCCUUUAAAUCUAUUUAUGUAUACCAUUUAUUCCCCAAUUUUAAAUUAUACUUUGUUUAUUUCAAACACUUGCCUAUAUUACUAUUUUUUUUAUAUACAAUGUUUAUAUUAAGUUUUAUGUUUUAUGUAUCUUGUUAAUUGUUGGUAAGUAAAUCUUGUUUCAAAUUAUUUUGUAUAAUUAUUGAUUUAUAUUAUAUAGUAUGUCAUUCUUAUAUUCUUUUGUAUAUUCUUACAUGGUUGCAUUUAUAUAAUUCAUCUAUGUUACAACUUGUUAGUAUGUACAUUAUUCGUUUUAAAAUUUUAUAUAGGUACACAUUACUAUUGCUAUGCACAUAAUAUAUAUUAUAUACAUAUAUACAUUUUUUGAAUCUUGCUUUUUAAAUUAUUUUGCAUAACACUAACUUUAAAUUUCCUCUUAUAAUACUUAUUUUGAAGCUCAUUUAUAUGUUAAACUUUAUAUACUUUAUGUAUUAUUUAUUUUUAUUUUUUAUUUAUUUUACGAUCUAUUGUAAAUUUUUUGCAUGUAUUAUCUGUUUAUGUAUAUAUAUAUAAUUUAGCUACUUUUAAAUUGUUCAUUCCAAGUUUAUUUGUUUUAACAUUUUUUAUUACCUUUUAAAAUAUUUUUCUUAAAAUAGAUUUUUAUUUAACCAUUAGUUAGAAACGUUAAAUAGUGUAUGUGGUAAGAUUAUUAUCAUUGGGCAUGUUUCAGUUUUCGUGUUUGUACUUUUCAAAAAAUUGUAUAAUAUAUUAUUGAUAUAUGUUUUCCAUAUUUGUUACUUUAUUUUGCAUCCCCAUGUAUUAUAUUAUGAUUGAGAUUGGCAACCUAUUUGCUUGAAAUCAACCUUUUUGCCUGAAAUUAUUCAUUUCAUUUUCUUUGCUUCAAAUGAAUCGAAUAAAUACAUUGCAAGUUUGUUUCCAUAAUCACUCCCUUUUAAAAAAAAUAAAAAAUAAAAUUUCAAAGCGAGGUAAUAUUUCGUGUUUGGUAAUUCGAGAAAUUGUGCCCUAACGUGUUGGGUUUCGAUUUUCUGUUUGACCAAAUAAAUAUUCUCUCGAGAUUUCGUCCAUGUUUCUUUCAAAUUAAAAAUAAGGCAAUAUUUCGAAUUUAGGAAAUUUAAGAAAAUAGUACCCUAACUUACUAGGUUUCAAUUUUUCUUGUUUAACCUAAAUAACUAAAUAUCCUUUUGAAAUUUCAAAAGCAUGAGUUUUGGAAAUUAUAAAAUGAUCUUGUAUCGAGGAUUUGAAAUGUUGUGUCCUAUCGUGCUGGGUUGCGCUUUUUCAUUUGUUCAAAACAAUUGAAGAUCCCUUUGGAAUUUCACUCAUGUUUUCUAAAAACUCUUUAAAAUGAAAGAAAUGUUCGAUGUUUGGCAAUUCGGGGAAUAGUGCCCUAUCGUGUUGGGUUGCAAUUUCCCGUUUGUUCAAAAUAAUCGAAUGUCUCUUCGAAAUUUCACUCAUAUCUUCCAAGGUGAGGCAAUGGUCAAUAUUUGGAAAUUCGAGGAAUCGUGCCCUACUGAGCUGGGUAUCGAUUUUUCGUUGGACCAAAUAGUUGAGCAUCCUUUUGUUAUUUUCGAAUUAUAAAUUUUCGAACGUCGAAACAAGAAGAAUUUUGGCAAAGGACUCGGGUUAUUCAAAUGUUAUUAACAAGAACCACAUUUCAAAAACAUUUUUAAUUUUAGACAAAAGGACAGUAUUUAAUCGAUUUGGUACCAAUUUUGGGCGUAAUGAAGGUGCUAAUCAUUCCUCAUACGUAACCGAAUCUCGAGCCUAUUUUCUCAUAUUUUUGUAGACCAAAAUCAUUAUUUUAGUAAACCAAAAUGUUUUAUUAAAACAACCCAAAUUUCUAGGUGAUCCGAUCACACCUAAAUAAGAAAAGAUUGGUGGCGACUCCAUUUUCGCUUUCCAAAAAGUCGAUCCAUCAUUUUUAAAUCGAAAAAAAAAUGAAAAAAAUGGUUUCGACAGCUUGGCGACUCCAUUGGGGACAAUAAGAGAGUCAAGCUGCAAAAUUGAUUAUUUUCUGUCCUUUUGUUGAAAAUUUAAAAUUUGGUUUUUAAUAGAUAAUCCUUUUACUUCAUUCGUUUUGGUUCAAGUCCCAUAGAAUAAUAUUGCAUGGCAUUGCAUGACCAUUGUGGUCACACAUUCUAAGUUGGGAGUAAGAAACUAUGCUUUCGUGAGGUUUUCACCUCCGUAUGGGCUAGUAGAUUGCUUUCGGGGUAUAUCCGUACCUAUGAUUUCGUGAGAUUUUCAUCUCCGCAUGGUCAUAGGGAAAUGUAUCCCCCCGAGCCGAACUCGAUCUAUAUGAGCCUAUAAUGGGAAGGAUUGAGGAAUCUGCUGGUUCGGGUACCUUAUCUCUAAAACUAAACUGCAUAUAGUGAACCUCAGGAACCAUCCUUGGGUAAAGCCGCGCCGAGCCUUAGUACUUACCCGUAUAUGCGUCAUAAUAGCUAUUAUUGACACUAACUGGUGUUUUGUUUUGUUUUGUCUUUUUUGCAUCACAUUGCAUACUAAAGGACGUGUUAAUCCGUAUUCAAUUACUAAGUUAGAAAAUUUGACAUGGAGAAUGAAUUUCUUAGUAAAGUCGAGGAUAAUGCGGCCGUUCGUGCAUGGUCGAAGAGGCUGCAAUCGGAGAGAGGGGAUAGCUUGGCAGAAGGGUAUGUAUCUGAGCUGCAAGAUUUCACUCGCGUCAAUGUAGUACAAAACGAGCUGCAAGAGUUGAGAGACAUUUGGGCUAGUUGGAAUGAAGGAAUCAAGCAAUUGUUUUACCAAAAUUAUGGUGACGUAUCCUACCUGCUAGACAUUAGAGUGGAUAAAAAUUUGUUCCAAGCCUUGGUACAGUUUUGGAAUUCUGCGUACAAGUGUUUCACUUUUGGAGAAACGAAUUUGGUACCUACCAUGGAGGAAUACACUACUUUGCUCAGGUGUCCCAAAAUUCAGGUCCGGAAGACUUAUGCUCGGGUUUUUAGUAGUCAGACUUUCGUGAAGAAACUGAUGAGAAUUUCUGGGAUGAGCAAGCCUUGGGUCACUACUCGGAUUCAGCAAAAAGGAGAUAACAAAUGUAUCCCUUGGGAGAAUUUGCAAGAUUUGAUCUUGACACAUCCAGAUGAAAGAAAGAGGGUUGAUAUAUUUGCCUUAAGCAUCUACGGAUUAGUGAUAUUUCCUAAGGCUUUGAGGCACGUGGACGAGGCAGUCAUUGACUUGUUUGAUCGCAUUGAAAAGGGAAUCACACCGGUACCGGUAAUAUUGGCAGAAACGUUCAGAUCUUUGAGCUCAUGUCGGAAGACAGGCAAGGGGCGAUUCAUUGGAUGUGCACAAUUAUUGAUGGCAUGGUUCUACAGGUACUUUGGAAGGUAGACAAAGUUUCCUAUCGAGUCUUCUCCGAGGGUUAUUUCCCAUUAAAAGAAGAAGCAGGUAUACAGAAGAGAGAGGAUAUCUCAGAGGAGAAGUGGAUGGACAUUCUUCAGAACCUCAAGGAGGGGGAUAUCGAGUGGAGAGCUUAUUCGAUGGUUCCUGACAAGAUCAUGUACUGAUGUGGUAACUUCGAUUGGGUGCCAUUGUUAGGAAUUUGGGGAGCUACCGGGUAUACUCUAUUAUUAGCCUUGAGGCAAUAUAAGUCGAGGCAGUUUGUACCCACGACCUAUGGGCUUGCUCAUAGUGAAUUCUCAUUUAAAGGUGCUCAUUAUAAGAAGAGAGUUGGGAGUUAUCGGAUGCUUGGAAGCAAACUUGUUGGAUGAAGAGGUUAGCCGUCGGUUCCAUGGUAACGCCCGAGUAUAGCGAGUGGUUUAAGAAGAGGAUUAAUGAUAAUAUUCCUAGGCUAAGCUUGGAGAAUGCUCGACCUAUCAGGGAACAAUUACAUGUGGCCUCAUCAGAAUUGGAAAUUAUAAGGCAAGAUUUCGAGAAGAAGAAUUCGGAGCUCGGGAAGAAGAUCGAACAGUUAGAAGAAGAGAAGAUCCAUCUAAGGUUAGACACUGAUGUUCAGAGGUCAGAGGCUGAGAAAUGGAGAAAAGGAAAAACAAAGGCCGAAGAAGACCUAAACAGCUUGAAGACGGACUACAAGAAGCUGCGCCUAUCUAUGAGGACUGCGGUUUAGGUAAGACUUCCGAACAAUGGCGCCACGAAAUUCGAGAAGAAAAAGCCAAUACCGAUCAGUGGGAAAGAAAAUUUCAAGAAGCUCAAUCACGAAACGAAGAUUUAGAGAAAAGUCUAUCGGUAAGCAGAAAUGAGUGAGGGGAAUUAAGUGCUAGAGUGGCAGAACUCGAGAACUCUCUGUAUCAGUACCGAAACCGCAACAUCGCAAUAGAGUUGAGGGCAAGCUUGAGCAAGAUAGAAGAAAUGAAAGGAAUGAUAGAAGAGUUAGAAGCGUCCCUGCAGAACUGCGAGAUGCGGAUCCAGUUUUUUGAGGAAAACGAGGAUCAUUGGAAAGAGCAGCUUCACCAUGCGCAAGACCAAGUCAGAAACAGAGAUUACCUUAUGGGGGAAGCCAUAACCCAGAUUCGGGAAGUAGCAGACUACUUGCAAACUUUAGCGGUUCAAGCGGACACACUGAGCGUGAAGUAUGAGUUGGAGUCAGACCGUGGACAAGAGCUGGCCUCGUUGCUUAGAAAAAUUAGGACUUUGAGUGUUAGAGCGAGAUGUUAUCUGUAACUCGACCUUAUGUAAAAGAUUUUAUUUUCUAAGGGCAAUUGAAUCAAAAUUGAUGCCUCCUUCGCAUUCAUGCAUUUGCAUUACAUCAUAUCAUCAUGCAUUAAAGGCCAUAAGAGUUUUUUAA
RNAcentral lists this long non-coding RNA (113521 nucleotides) under Gossypium barbadense (sea-island cotton). The record is from RNAcentral. Lineage: Eukaryota; Viridiplantae; Streptophyta; Magnoliopsida; Malvales; Malvaceae.